This 115927-nucleotide long non-coding RNA is filed under the name Medicago truncatula (barrel medic). RNAcentral describes it as "long non-coding RNA (MTRU_LNC000683)". Lineage: Eukaryota; Viridiplantae; Streptophyta; Magnoliopsida; Fabales; Fabaceae. The record is from RNAcentral.
GCCAUUCUAGCAUUGAAUGGUUUCGCAUGUUCUCUGGGAGACAUUCUAAGUUGACACACUCAUUCAAUUUUAGCCGUUUUAAAGACUGUAUACCAUCAAGGAUGGACCACAGACUUAAUGCAUUGAUUUCUGUGCACCCUGAAAGGUCUAGUUCUGUAACCGACAAAAGUCCAUGAUCAUCUGAUAACUUUUUCCCAACAAUGUUAAGCUUGUUACAUCCAAUUAGGUCAAGAACAGUAAGUUUGGUAUUACACCAAAACGAUGAAGACAAUUCACGUAUAGCAGUGCCAUCUAAGAAUAACUCUGUCAUUUCUUCCGAUGUCACCGAAAAUUCUGUGAGAGAUGAACAACCAUUGAGUAAAAGUACACNAAUUAGGAAAAUAGUUUUACACAAACAAACAAUUAAUACCCAAACACUUAACGUCACAAAUAUUGUGAAAAUGCUUAUGAAAUACGCAACUCCCUGUGGACACGAUCCUAUAUAUACUUACGUGUAAAUAGUUUUAUGAGAGGUAAAAAUCCUUCAUCAAAAUGGCGCCGCUGCCGGGGAGUCAUGAUGUGGAUCUUGACAUGGGAGAUGGAGAGGAGGAUCAGUGAUCAUGCCUUUGUAUUUUUAGUGAUGUUUCAUUUAUGCUUUCGAUGUUUAUGUUUUUAAAUUUCAGUCUUGAACUCUGUUAAUUUCCUUUGUAGUUUGUACUUUUUGGGCACUUUUGUUUUAAGUGCUCGACACAUUUCUUUCAGCACUUUAUUUUUAGUUUAUGGUUUAAUAACUUAGCUUUCUGUUUGGUUUAACUAACAGUGCUUUGGUUGAAAAUUUUGUCUAUUCUUGCUUUUGUUUCUCAAAGAAGAAAAUUGCUUAUGAACAUUAAUAUUUGAUGUGCUCGGAAGAGCCAAAAGAUUGAGCAAACAAACAGGUGUGUGAUAAUGGUUUAGUUGUGAAAAAAAUCGCAAUGACAAGGUAUUGGUUUCCUGUUUUUCUAGGUCUUUACUAGAAUUUGAAACUAGUACUUUGCACAAAAUGUAUCUCAUCUAAUUCUCUUCAUAAACAUGAUUAUUCUGGAACCACUUAGUACUUAGCCAAAAAGUGAGGUAGCUUCAAACUGUUAUUUUAUAUGCUGGAGACUGACAAUCAAUGUUUAACUCGUUUUUGUUAUGUUAAAUCCAAUAAUUGUUUGAAUUGUAUGAAAGCAUGGAAAGGAUCAAGGCACUUUUUGAAAUUGAGUGAGACACUUGACCAAAUAAAGCCUACCCGUGAGAAGAGCGAGUAUCUGAUACCCAAAUCUGAGCCAAAUGAAUCAAGUCCUCAAACAUGAACUGUCAAUAUUCAAAAGCACAAUGCUCAUUGAAAUUGCCUAAAAUUGUUAAAAAUCCAGUUCAUGUUUGACGUACUUUAGGACUUUGAUAAUUUUACUUUGUUGAACCCUUACCCUUAGUGUACUUUGUCCCUCGCCUUAGAGUAGGGGAAAAUUCAAUUAGAGUUUUGUUGGGUUCAAGUUGGGGAGAAAGGGAGGUAUUUUGUGUUAAGCAUCAUGGUGAAUUAUUGAAAUAACUUGACAACAUGGAAGUGUAUAUACUUUAGAAGUAGGAAAGUUUCUAAAUUUGAAAAAGAAAAGAAAAAGAAAAAGAAGAAAAAGAAAGGAAAAUCAAAAAUAGAAUAAGUUGUCAAGGUUAUUGUAUAAAUUUUUAAUCACCGAGGGUUUGAAUGAUUGGUAGGGAAGGUUAUUGGUUUUAAUUGUUAAUACAAGGAAUGUUCCUCUAUGAUAGGCUUUUUGAUUUCAAUUUUCCCACAUAUGACAUUUCUUUUGUAGCCCGGCCAAGUUAUAACCCUAUAGAGACCUUUUGAUCCAUGUUUUUGUGUUUUUUGAGAUAAUAUUUGGAUGGAAACCUAACUUAAUCAAGAUGUUAGCUUGAUUGUUGGAUGUGUGUUAUUACCCUCAUUUGUUGAUUAUUGCUUUGUCUCAUCUACUUGCAAAGAAGUGUGUUAGGUGUGGUUCAUAGACGAUCAUGUUUUUUUUUUAAUUUUAUGAUGUAAAUUUGGUGUUUAGGACUUGUUUCACAUUCAUAGUUGUACUUGGAUUGGCAGAGAACUUCAUGCUUGCCCGCGCAUUCACAUUUCAAUCACCACUUGAAAUUUUCAUGUUGAACUGUUUGACACCAGACUAAAAAUCUUGUCCAAAGCCUUGUAAGUUUCCUUUUUGAAUGAUUUGUUUGAGGAACAACAAAAAGCCAAGUUGGGGAGAGUUUGAUAAGUGCUCAAAAUGAUCUAAUUUAGGUGUUAGUUUAGGCAUGUUUGAUGAGUUGUUUUACAAAUUAUUGUUAGAAAAGCUUCAAUUAUGUGCCUAAAUGCCAUUUAUGCUUUGCAUGCCAUGCUUUACCCUUUUUGUGCAGGAAAAUACAAGCAGGGAACAAGAAAUGCCAAAGUUCACAAGAAAGUCGCUAUUCGCGAGAUUCUCGCCAAUAGCGAAAAUGGCACAGGGAGUUUCGCCAUCAGCGAAGCUGGGGGCGAAGUCAUAAGAAGGACUUCAAGAAACUCGCCAUUAGCGAAAAAGUCGCUAUUGGCGAAAAACUCACAAGGAGUUUCGCUAUUAGCGAAACUGGUGGCGAACUUCAGGAAAGUCAAGUGGAUAAGGGACACGUGGAGCAACGCCAUUGGUGCAGAGGCAUAUUUCCCACAUUUCGCUAAUUGCGAAAUAGUUAGCUAUUAGCGAAAUUCUGCAGAAGUGCCCAUAUAAAUAGUUUUCUCUUCUUUUUCCAAUGAUUCUAUUACAUUUUUAUUCAUAUUUUUCAGGUUUUAGAGAGAGACUAGGGCUUUUCUAGAGAGAGAAACAAAAAGCAAGGUAGUUAGGAGUAGAUUCAAGCCAAGAUUUGUUGAGACAUCAUGGAUCUUGUCAUAGAAUCUACACCCUUUCUUCAUCCUUUGCAAAGCUAUCAUAGACAUAUUUAGCUACAUCUAUUCUUGUAGUUUUUAGGUAUUCAAACAAGCUAUUAUGUAAUUUUUUGAUCUUUUAAUAUAUGGUUCUAGCUUAUUUAUUCAAUAUUGUUGUUANACGUAUAGCAGUGCCAUCUAAGAAUAACUCUGUCAUUUCUUCCGAUGUCACCGAAAAUUCUGUGAGAGAUGAACAACCAUUGAGUAAAAGUACACAGAGAGAUUUUGAAUGAAUGUUGGAUUUAAGGCUUUCAAUCUUUAUGCAACCUCUUAAAUCUAGAUAUAUAAUUCGAGGGAGAGAAAAGAUGGAUGGAUGGAGCUGACGCAGGCUUUCACAUUCCGAGAGAUGUAUUCUGUCAAGAUUUAUAGCCCUAGAUAAGUCUGGGAUCUCAAUCAGAUCUUUGGAGGAUUCAAGCCAAAGUACUCUUAGAUUCACAAGAUUCUGUAACAAGAAAUAAACAUCCAUGAGUGUUGAUUAAAAGAGAAACAAAACCUAGUUAAACAUCCUAGCUCUGCUGCAAUUUUGUGAAAAACAUUUGUACCUGAACUCCAUCCCAGAGCUUUUUAAGCUUGCUUUGAUUCAUGCAAAGCUCUACAAGCAUUUCAGCACAAAAGGUUGAUGGCAAAGACUCAAGACAGUAUCUUUUCCAUCGAAGAUACCUCAAUUUAUCCGAAAUCCACUCAAGACCGUCAGGAAAGUACACAUUGCCUGUGCUCCCAUCAGAUUCAUAGAUAUUAAGAUAUCUUAAAUUUGUCAUCCUUCUAAAGGAAUCAGACUUCAAGUAUAGAUCCCCAACUUCCGUACUAUCCAAUAUUAUACCUUCCACAACUUCAGUUCCCUGACAAAUAAAAAUUAGAUUAAUAAUUAGGAAAGGCUGUCAUGUGUACUUUCCUUGUUAUAUUUUAUAAUCACAUACAUGUGUUUUCGUAUAGAAAUGAUUGCAUCCUCUGCUUACCUUGUUUUCUUUUAAUAUAUCAGAUAUUUCUUCAGCUCUCCAUAACCGACUUCGUUUUCCAGGUUCUUUAGACUCUUGAUUAACAAUCUCCCGUCCCAUUUCUUGUAACAAAUCAUGCAUAUCUAAACCAUCAAUUUCCAAUUUGGCAAACGAGUGCCAAUAUGGUUUUAUUUGUAUGAAAGCUUUAUCUAGAAGGACUUCUAUCCCACUUUCUGCAAAGAACUCACAAGCUUCCAAGAAAUGUAUCACAAAUAUUUUAUUAUCUCCUCUCAACAAGCAUGCGAUAUCUAGAAAUAUGUCCUUUUGAAAAAUAUCUAAGUUAUCAUAACUCAAUUUUAACAUAUUGUUAAUUUCCCCAUUUGGAAUCAUUUCAAGCUUUUUCAAUUCAUCUUCCCAUACUUUUUUGCCUCUUGAACGGAGAUUUUUACCUAAAACUUUUAAAGCCAAAGGGUUGCCUCUGCAAUAGGCAAUUACACUUUCUGAUAUAUCUUCAUAUCCAAUUUUAGGCUGUUUUUCUCCGAAGGCAUUCAAACUGAAUAACUGAAGAGAAUCAUGGUUGUUCAAUUCCUUGACUUCAUAUAUUUCACAAUUACUGAACUGACUUAGUAUGUGCUUAUCUCUAGUUGUAAUAAUGACCCUACUACCUGCUCCCAACCCAUCAAUAUUUAGGAUAAGAUCUUCUAUUUUCUCUAAGGUGUCCACACUAUCCAACACAAUGAAAACUUUUUUACGUGCAAUCCUUCUCACGGAGAAAGGGGAUUCUAUGUAGGAUGCAUAAGGAUGAAGAUUUUCUUCCUCUAACAAUGAAGACAGAAGUUUAUUGUAUAAAACAUCGAGUCCAUGCUUUUUUGAUUCAUCCAUUACAUUGAGGAAGCAACGACCUUCAAAUUGGGAAUAAAGUUUACCAUAUAAAGUCUUAGCAAGGGUGGUCUUUCCUAUGCCACCCAUGCCCCAUAUUCCAAGGACUCUGACAUCAUUUGACCAAAUUUUCAGCAUUGAAUCAAUCUGCUCAUAAGUUUUCUCAAUUCCAACAAUCCCCUUAAUUUCAUAUGGGUAUCUAAGAUUCAGCUUCUGCAAGACAUCUUUGACAAUGUCCUUAAUGAAGUCUGAUUCAGUGCUGCAUAUGAAAGAAGGGAAGAAGGUUUUACAAGUCUAACAAAUACAAUAGAAGAACAAUAUACCUAUGAAAACAAUUGUGCUAGAGAGAAGAUAAUGACAAGCUAUGAAAACACAUUUUCAGAAAUAAUAUAUGAAAACAAAGUUUUAUCAUUUUUAAGAUUUCUGAAAAAAUCCAUAUCUAUAUUCAAAAUUUGUAAUAGAAAAUUGUAGGAAAUGAAAACAGAACUCAAAUUUGUAUCAUCCUGUUGUCACAUAACUUGUAUCAAGAUUUUAUCCAGUUGGAUUUUAGAAUCAAAUUUGGCCAACUUAAUUAAACAACAUUCUUUCACAUCCAAAGACUACCACAUGUGAAGGAGAAGGGAAUAAAUGUGAAGAAGACUAUGGGAACCAAGGGUGUUAAUAAAAUGAUGUAUUAUGCUUGAUUGAGUUGAACAAACCUAACUUAUAAUAUAUAAUUGAAUCCUUUCAUCAUCUUAUAUUAUCAAUAAUGUAUACAGAACUAAUUAUUAGAAAAAAAACUUUCACAUUGUAUGAAGUAGAAAUCUGGAGAGUUCCUUUAACUUACCUGUAAUUCUGAAAGUCCCAACCAACUAAACUAGCUGCCUCGGCAAGAGCGGCUUUCCAUUCCUGUAACUUGUCAUUAUUGAGCUUCAAAUCUCGCAUAUGUUUUGUGAAGGCUUGCUCGUAACUCCCAGUCUGCUUCCUCACAUGUGAGGGAUCUAUGUUGUAAAAAACAGGUAUCACAAUCUGUUGCAUAUAUUUCUUGCAUUGAAGAAUCUUCUUGAGCUCAUUCAAGCACCAUUUUGAGGAAGCAUAAUUUUCUGAGAAGAUGAUAAUUGACACGUGUGACUCCUCAAUGGCUUUGAUGAGUGCUGGUGAGAUCUCAUCUCCUUUUUCAAGCUCAUUGUUGUCUAUAAAGGUUUCAACUUUUUUUCGGCUCAGAGUAUCAUAAAGAUGGCUCGUGAAGUUUCUGCGAGUAUCAUCACCUCGAAAGCUAAGAAAAACGUCAUAUUUUUUCUGAGGCGCCACAGAGGAAGAGGAUACAGAGGAAAAAGCACUGCUCAUUUUCUGCUCGGAGAUUAUGAAUUCCAAGUGCCUGCACUAAGCCACUAAUCACAAUGCGCACAAUAAAUAAAUAAAAAAUAAAGGGUUAAUGGUGUUUUAGCCUGUAAUAUAGGUCAUUUUUUGUUUUCCCCUUGUAAAAUAUUUUUUUUGAUUUACCCCCUGUAAUUUUUUUUUUUUUUUUGGAAUACCCCCCUAAUAGGUCAUCAAAAAACGACUUUAUUUUUCCUAUUAGGGGGGUAUUCCAAAAAAAAUAUUUUACAAGGGAAAAAUAAAAAAUGACAUGUAUUACAGGGGUAAAGCACCAUUAACCCAAAAAUAAAAAAGCAAUGUUUAAAUGUGUUCUAGGUACUUGUUGUCAAUAAUACCUUUGACCACACUCAUUCUCAUUGUUACAUAUUAGUGUGUAUUUUUUAGAGAGUGCAACAUCCAAAUUUUUGUUAGACAUUUAGUCCUCAAAAAAAUUUCUUAAUUUAUUUAUCUGAGUAAAAAUGGUGUACAAAUAAGAAGUGGUUAAAGUUAGUGAUAUUAAUUCCAGUUUCUGGUAUAUUUGCUCUAAUACGGGUUGAAUUAAAAGUGGUAUAUAUUCAUAUUCAUUUGGAUAUUGUAAACUGUCGAUCAAUUUUGUCAAACUUCAAUUUCUGGGAAACAUUUUGAGUUUUAAUUAACAAAUAUGAAGACUAAUUUAAAAUAUUUGCCAAUAGAAGGUAUGGCCUAAACUAAUUUUUAUCCAUUUAUUAAUUUCAAUUUGACAAUGGCCUAUGUGAUUAGAGAAACUAGUAGUUAAAUUAAAAAUGAGGGAAAAAGGAUCAUACCAAAGUCAGAAUCCAGCUUCAUGCAAUAGAGGAGAAAGAGACUGUAUGGCUUAGCUUUUCCUGGAAUCAAUUUUGGAUGAAAAUUAAUUAAAGUAUUAACACACACAAACACUUCAUAUAGAUGUAAUGGGUCAAAAUAAAAAUAUAAAAUAACAAGUUGGGUUUCGUGGUUAUCCUCCAAGGGAAAGUUUCGUUUUCUUUAGCAUUAUGAAGUGUUUGUGUGUGCUCAUUCUUACUAACUUGCUGACAUGACAUUAUUCUUUAACAAACAUACAAAGAAAUAGAGAUAGUGACCCUUUGAGUAAAAAUAUGUAUUAUGAGUUUGUCGGUAUGCGUGGUAAGAUCAAAUGCAUAAAUGUUUAAGACGACGGCUGAAUAAAAUAUGGCUACAAGAGGAUAUUUAGAAAAAACAACGAUGCACUUAUAAUGUGAAUCUAGUUUCCUAUACUAAACUAAGUAGUUGUUACACCAGGUUCCAUUUUUUUCUAUUUGUUUCUUAGCAAUCAAAUUCAGUAACCUUUAAACAAAUACCAUAUGGUUGAACCGUUGAAUCUUGAACCUUCUUCACAUGUUCAAUGGCUGGUCCAAUUUAGAAAAUAUUAAUGAAUACCUGCUUUGAUAAAUUAUUUAUGGGUUAAUGGUGCUUUACUCCCUGUAAUAUAUGUUAUUUUUUAUUUUUUCCCUUGUAAAUUUUUUUUUUAUUUACCCCCCUGUAAAAAAAAUAAUUUUGAAUACCCCCUAGGUCAUAAAAAAAUUACUUUAUUUUUUUUUUUGCAGAAUUUUUUCGUUUUUUUAUGACCUAUUAGGGGGUAUUCCAAAAAAAAAAAAAAUUUUACAAGGGGGUAAAUCAAAAAAAAAAAAUUUACAGGGAGGAAAACAAAAAAUGACCUAUAUUACAAGGGGGUAAAACAUCAUUAACCCAUUAUUCAACAACUUAUUUAUAUACUUAAUUUUUUACACACAAGGAAUUGAGAUGGUUAAGUGUCAGAAAAUAGUUAAGAAACAUGUAUAUUUCAGACACAUUGAUUACUUGUUUUGCAAGUUACUUCAUAAAAAGCUUGAAAAUAAUGAACAAUUUUCAAUUUAUGCUCUUUAUAUCUUACCCUAACCUUUUGAGUAGGAAAUCGCAUGCCUGGACACUUAAAAGGCAAGGAAACAAGAGCAUAUGCAAAGGAAAGCUCUCCAGGGUGGGCUUGGAGCGAGCAAGAGGUGAAUCAAGUCAGAGAGGACCAAAUUCAGGAUUUUCAAAGCUCGCCACAUCGAGCAGGAAGCGAUAACAAAGCAAGGCAAGUUAGAGAGCUCCUAUUUACAUAAGUCCCUUGCAUAGCCAAGGGAGGUCAUGGCGACCUCACAGAGAUCUUGCAGCAAGCUAAGUUAAAUAAUCCAGAAUCCAGAGAAGCAGGGUUUCGCCACAGCGAGCCCGACCCUCGCCAUGGUGGUUUCAGGCAACUUGCUUACGUGGCAGAAACCCACUGGUGAAGAAAGCUUCGCUCGCCAUGGUGAGCCUCACUUUGCUCAGCGAGAAGUCACUUACUAGAAUAAGUAUAAAAGAUUUCCAGCAAAGUUAUCAUAAACUUUUUAGAGAGAGACAUAUACGAAUCAAAAGGAUAAUUAGAUAGCAAGAGUGUUUUGAAGGUUGAUUCAACAAGUUUGUUUGAGAAAUCUUCAUCUUGAUGUUUCCCAUCCAUUUCUUCCGAAUUUGCAAGGCUACCAUGGCACUGAGUAGCUAAAUCUCAAGUUGUUAGGAUUAGCUGUAAUUUAUCAAACUCAGUAUGUAUUCUUAUUGAUCUAAACAAUAUAUGAUUCUAGUUAUUCAUGAUAUUUGAUGUUAUUCUUGUUUUCUAUGCUUUUGAUUUUAUAAAUUUGAAUUGUUAUUGAAAAAUACUUUUUGAAUCUAGGUUAGAAUAACAUCUAUUAAACUCUAAAUACUAGAAAUGGUUUUAGCUUUUGAUAAUCACACGUUAUGUAUCAAAUAUUAAUGCUAUUGUAUUGUUUAAUAGGCUGAGAAAUCAUCGAUUAAACAAUAUGAUUGAACUCACGACAUUAUUUAGACAUAAAUGAUGUGUCGAGUACGUGGUAAUUUCGAGUGAUAGCUAAAUCUGUAUGUUUGAUAAUAAAGAUAUAUGUGACGUUUGAUCAAUAAAGUCUAAUCCCAACAGUUUUACUUCUCUGUCUAAUCUCGUUUUAUUUACCGCAUUAUAGUUCAAAUAGUUUUCAUAACAAAUAAUUUUAUAAACCCUUAACAUAGAAUGAUAAUUGUUGUGAAUUCGAACACAAAACUCACACCAAUACAAACUAUGAUGUGUGGAGAAAAGGAAAGUAAUAACCAAUAUCAAAGUGAACACAAGAAACAACAAUAAUAACAACACCUAGAUCUAAUCUAGUAAUCAAAGUGAAAAAACACAAAACCACAAGCAAAAGAUAAAGAGAGAAGAGAAACAAACACACCAAAGAUUGUUGACCCAGUUCGGUCCAACUUGACCUAAUUUGGGGGAGAGAUUUAUCUCUACAAUCCACUAUCAAAGAGUUCUUGCAAAGUGAUACAAAUGGGUUACAAGAAAUUAUCUUAAACAAGCUCACAAAGAACAAACUUAAUUUCUACUCAUUUUCCCAAACUCACCAAUGAAAAAGACACUAAAUGAUUUUCACUCACCCAAGGUGUUUACAAUGUUUCCCAACCCAAGAGAACCUCACUACAAAGACACUCAACCCUAAAUUUCUCUCCUUUGCAGUCCCAAGUUUCUCUCUCUUCAGCUCUCCUUCAAAAAACUGCAAAGAAACACUUAUAUAACAGUUUCAGAUGUUAAAAUUGUGUCACGUUUUGCCAAAUCGUGACACGGUUGGUGACCCUGCAAAACAUGCUCUCGACAUUGUGAAAUCGUGACACGCUUCACAAAUCGUGUCACGAUUCCAAUUCCAAGUUUUCCUAUCUUCACAAUUGGAAGGAAAAUCCAACAUUUUUCCACCUUGACGUUGUAACGCCCUAUUUAUUUAUUAGAUUAUUUUAUUAAGUUUAAGAGUCUAUUUAUAGUGAUUAUGUGAUUUAAAAGAUUAUGUGGUGUGUCGUUAUUUUAUUAAGUAGUGUUAUUUUAUAAUUUAAUAGAAUAAGAUUUGAAAAUAAAAUAAGAUUAAGUUGUGGGGGCUGUUUUGAGAAUUUAGAGUGUUUAGUGGAAUAAGUGGAAAUAAGAAAAAGAGGGCUGAGGGAAUAAAUAGGAGAAAACCUAAGUCAGAAUAGUUUUCACGUGAAACAAAACGUUUUGGAGAAAAGGGGAGAAAACAAGCCUUUGGGAGAAAAAACCAAGAGAAAGCUAGGAGAAGAGCCAAGUGGGAGAAUCAGAUUUUUGGUAGAGUUUUAUUCAUCAAUCUAAGGUAAGGGUGAGACUAACUCUCAAUAAUCAUAGUGUAUGUAAACUCUGAAAUUGAUUUAACAUGUAGUUGUUUAUGAAUUUGGGAAUUAGGGUUAGAAUGUAGAAUUGAAUUGUGGAAAGAAGUAGNCUUAAUAAGGUUCAUUGUGAAACACAUUUUGUUCCAACAGUGUCGUGGUUGAUUAAGCCGUCCUAUGUCCUUGAGUUGUUGGUGAAAGAUUAUUUGAUGUUUCAUGAUAUUGAUUAAGAUGUUAUUAUGAUGUUGUUUGCGAAUGUGACCAUGAUGAUAAUUAUGAAUAUGUGUUGUUAUUUACGAUGAACAUGUGUUAUUGUUUUAUGACGAAUAUGUGUUCUUUACAUUAUUAAUGAUAAGUGAAUAUUAUAUUAUAUUGUAUUUGAUUAUAUUAUUAAUAAGUGAAUAUUAUGUUAUAUUGUAUUUGAUUAUAUUAUUAAUAAGUGAAUAUUAUGUUAUAUUGUAUUUGAUUAUAUAUAUUAUGUUAUAUUAUAUAUGAUUAUUAUUAAUAAGUGAGUAUUAUGUUAUAUGGUAUUUGAUUUUAUUUGAUAAGUGAUUAUUAUGUCAUAUUGUAUAUGCUUAUUAUCAAUAGGUGAUGAUUAAGUUGUGUUGUUAUAUAAUUAUGAAAUGACGAUUAUGUUGUGUGACAAAGUUGAUAUUUAUGACGUGAUGAUUUAUGUUGGUUAUGAUUUGAUUAUUAUGUGCUAAAUGUUGAUGUAUAAAAUAUGAUAAAUAGGGAGUUAAUGAUGAAUCGAAAUUGACUUAAAUUGUUAAUGCGGAACUAUAUGAUUAUAUUACCAUCUAUGAUUAGUUUAUAAUGUUGUUAAAUAUAAUUGUUGAAUUAUAUGUUUAAUAUUAUUGUUUGUGAAAUCUCACCCCUUCUGCUUGGAAAUGUUACUCUUCGUAUGAGUAACUUGCAGGUGAACGAGAGUAGGUCGCUGUGUUUGCUGUUGUGAGUGGUUAUCCCUCACUGUGUCUUUUAGGUGCUCUGAUACGUAACGGGAUGGGAUCUUUUGUGGCUAUUUUCUAUUCCUUUACGUAUUGCUUAUGUUUAAAUAAGGCCUGCGUGCCAAAGACUUAUCCAUGUUAAUGAAUUUAAUCCGCUGCAAAGUUUCGAAUUAUUAUGUUGAUGAUUUUCGGAAAGAUAAUUAGUUAAUUAUCUUAUUAUUUAUAUUUUAGAAGUGUAACAUUCCGUAGUAUGUUGUUUACUCUGAUAGACAUUUAUGAAAUUUAUAAGUUGGGAAAACGGGGUGUUACAAUAAUAUAGUUUAAAAAGCUAGAAUCCGUUAAUCGAUCGAGAGAUUGCAGCUGUUACGCUUGGUUGAUGUCUCUGACCGCAAGCGGAAUAACCCUAUCUCUUCUCGUUUUANNNNNNNNNNNNNNNNNNNNNNNNNNNNNNNNNNNNNNNNNNNNNNNNNNNNNNNNNNNNNNNNNNNNNNNNNNNNNNNNNNNNNNNNNNNNNNNNNNNNNNNNNNNNNNNNNNNNNNNNNNNNNNNNNNNNNNNNNNNNNNNNNNNNNNNNNNNNNNNNNNNNNNNNNNNNNNNNNNNNNNNNNNNNNNNNNNNNNNNNNNNNNNNNNNNNNNNNNNNNNNNNNNNNNNNNNNNNNNNNNNNNNNNNNNNNNNNNNNNNNNNNNNNNNNNNNNNNNNNNNNNNNNNNNNNNNNNNNNNNNNNNNNNNNNNNNNNNNNNNNNNNNNNNNNNNNNNNNNNNNNNNNNNNNNNNNNNNNNNNNNNNNNNNNNNNNNNNNNNNNNNNNNNNNNNNNNNNNNNNNNNNNNNNNNNNNNNNNNNNNNNNNNNNNNNNNNNNNNNNNNNNNNNNNNNNNNNNNNNNNNNNNNNNNNNNNNNNNNNNNNNNNNNNNNNNNNNNNNNNNNNNNNNNNNNNNNNNNNNNNNNNNNNNNNNNNNNNNNNNNNNNNNNNNNNNNNNNNNNNNNNNNNNNNNNNNNNNNNNNNNNNNNNNNNNNNNNNNNNNNNNNNNNNNNNNNNNNNNNNNNNNNNNNNNNNNNNNNNNNNNNNNNNNNNNNNNNNNNNNNNNNNNNNNNNNNNNNNNNNNNNNNNNNNNNNNNNNNNNNNNNNNNNNNNNNNNNNNNNNNNNNNNNNNNNNNNNNNNNNNNNNNNNNNNNNNNNNNNNNNNNNNNNNNNNNNNNNNNNNNNNNNNNNNNNNNNNNNNNNNNNNNNNNNNNNNNNNNNNNNNNNNNNNNNNNNNNNNNNNNNNNNNNNNNNNNNNNNNNNNNNNNNNNNNNNNNNNNNNNNNNNNNNNNNNNNNNNNNNNNNNNNNNNNNNNNNNNNNNNNNNNNNNNNNNNNNNNNNNNNNNNNNNNNNNNNNNNNNNNNNNNNNNNNNNNNNNNNNNNNNNNNNNNNNNNNNNNNNNNNNNNNNNNNNNNNNNNNNNNNNNNNNNNNNNNNNNNNNNNNNNNNNNNNNNNNNNNNNNNNNNNNNNNNNNNNNNNNNNNNNNNNNNNNNNNNNNNNNNNNNNNNNNNNNNNAUUUUUGGGUGGUUGAAACUUGAAUCUUUUUGUAGAUUAUGAUAGAGCUAAGUGUCAGGAGCGUGUAGGCGAAAACGGCAUCGAAAACGGGUUAACAGUUUGGAUUUUACGCGCGAAAACGUGAAAAUUAGAAAAUCUGAUGUUGUCUGUCGAGCAGAAAUUGGGCUACGAUUUUGACCAGGUUUUGGGGUGUUUCAGCACGAAAAAAAUCGUACUACGAUGGGAAAAUCGGGCUACGAUUUUGCAUGACCAGUAACUUUUAAAAUUUAUUUUUCUUCACUCCAAUUGCUUCCAAACUUCUUCCUAAGUGUAGGGACUUUAUCCUUACCAUCUAGAGAUGUUUUUAGGAAAGAAAUAACUUUGUAUAGAGGGUCUAAUGAGUUAUUGAGUUGGUUCUUGGGGUAUGAAUGAAAGUUGUUUAUAAAGGUAUCUAAGCUAAUUAAUAUAAUUGAUGUUGUUCGUUAAUUCAAGCUACAUAUAUUAUGUGGAAAAUGUAUGAUAUAGAAAAUAUUGUUGUUUAUAUCAUUCGAGUUGUUAUUAUUAACGUUGUUAUAUUGCAAGUUGUUUAUGUUGUUGUCUCUGCUGUUGUUGAUUAUUAAUAUCAUGAAGUUGACCAAGUUGUGGGUAAGUCAUAAUUAUUUACGCACAGUCGUGUUGUCGUUGUCGUUGUCUACGUUGUCGUCGAUAUUGCUGAGUUGUAUGUUGAUAUACACAAAGUUGAGUCCAUUGAAUACUCAUAAAACCGUUGAGCGCUUAUGCCCUGGAAUGCCUUGUCAUUCAAAAUGUUGAGGGCUCAUGCCCUGGAAUGUUAAUCAUUCAAAUUGUUGGGGGCUUAUGCCCUAGAAUGCCUUGUCAUUCAAAUUGUUGGGGGAUUAUGCCCUGGAAUGCUUUGUCAUUCAACUAUUGAUGACUUAUGCCCUGGAAUGUUUAUCAUUCAAAUUGUUGGGGGCUUAUGCCCCGAUAUACUUAGUCAUUCAACACGUUGAAAAUAGUGCCACAUGGAUAUUGUAGUUGUCAUUGUUGUUGAGAGGGUUGUUGUUGUUGUUGAUUAAGUUGUUGUCGUCGUUGUUGAGUGAGUUGUUGUUGUUGUUGUUGAUUAAGUUGUUGUCGUCGUUGUUGAGUGAGUUGUUGUAGUUGUUGUUGAGUGAGAUGUUGUCGUUGUUGUUGAGUGAGUUGUUGUAGUUGUUGUUGAGUAAGUUGUUAUAGUUGUUGUUGAGUGAGUUGUUGUCGUUGUUGCUGAAUCUUGUUGUUGUCUUCAUUGUUGGUUGAAUUAAUAAGUGUUAUUAAAGUUGAAGAAGUAUGAACAUUAUUGUUGGAUAUAUGUUGCUAAUUAUGUUAUUUAAUUAAGUUGUUAAAUAGGUUGAUGAUUUAUAGAUAUCUAUUAUUAUUGUUUGUGAAUCUCACCCCUUCUGCUUGGAAAUGUAGCCCUUCGUGUGGGUAACUUGGAGGUGAUCCAGAGUAGUUGCUGUUAUUUGCUGUUGUGAGUUGAUCUUCCCUCACACGAGUCUUAGGUGCUCUGAUACGUAACGGGAUGGGAAAUAAUGUCGUUGUAUUUAUCAUUCCUUAUGUAUCAUUAUGAACUUGUUGGUGUUGGAUUAGAUCUUUAAAGAUAAACUGUUGAGGCAUUGUGCUAGACUUAUUGAAAGUUGUNAAACAAUUUAUACCCAAACACUUAACGUGACAAAUAUUGUGAAAAUGCUUAUGAAUACGCAACUCCCUGUGGAUACGAUCCUAUAUAUACUUACGUGUAAAUAGUUUUAUAAGAGGUAAAAAUCCUUCAUCAAGCAUAACCAAUAAUCUUAAAAACAGAAAAUAGAGGAAAGAAAGUGAAAGAGAAAGGAGCAAUUAUAAUUUUCAGUUUACUGCAAUAUCUUACAUAUACCAUCCAUACAUCUUUCUUACAUAUUUAGAGUCAAAUACUUAGUAAUGACAUAACUUAUACUUUGUUGAUGUCAUACGACAUAAACCUAUUUAACUUGUACAGAACACCUUACUUGUGCAGGAAAGUAUUACCGACAAAACUAAGUUAAAAUCAUUACACACACAUAGGCAAUAAAGUAACAUUAACAACGAAAUAUUCAGAAAAGUUUUUAUUUUUAAAAGAAGUGUUCAGAAAAGUUUUAUUAGUCAAUUAGUCCACAAAGUAUUAUCUUAAGUAUGUUUGGAUGGAGGGAAUAUUAUGAAGUGAAGAGACUGUCACGACCCAAAUGCACGAACCAGAACAUUCUAGCCCGACAAGCCUAUUGUUUCAACCUGAUAAACUAUAAUUAUAAAGUUUCCAAUUCGGAUUUUUCUAAAAAAAUAUUCACUGAAAUUUCGGCAAAGUUUCCUCUGUAUUUUCAACAUUUAUUCCAAGAUUUGAGUCAUGUCCAUAAACCUAUCUUCAUCAACCAGAAUUCCAAAAUGACAUUUUUUACAUAUUUGUACACUUAAAAUGAGACAUUUCUAGACUUCACAUAGCUGCAGAAACUUCGACUCAACAUAUACAUAAACAAUAUAGACAUCCAUCAAAGAAGCCUACCAAAAGAGUGACACCGCUGAACUUUGAAUCUACUAGCAACUUUCUACUUAGUUGCUUUGGAAUCUGGAAAAAUAAAAAUAAAAAUGAGAGAGUAAGUCACAGGGACUUAGUGAGAGACAACAACCACCACCAACUAGAAGGGAAACACACUUGAAAAGAUGACUAUUUGAUUAAUUGUUAAGUUGGUAAAAUGAUUCAUCUUGCUAGUUUAUACCACUUGAAAAGAUGCUACUCUCAUAGAGGACUCGUGGAAACGUUGAUAACUUGAUGCCUAAGUUUGUCAAUGAAAACGUUGAGACUACCCUAAAGAGAUAAAUCUAUAGACUUCAAUUUUAGUAGGAUUGAGAAUCACAUCGCUAACUUGCAAACAUUUUUUAGUAGAAACUAUCUACAAUAAAAAGUCUAGUUUCUCCUACAUGAGAGCUUUGAUAUACGUACGAGCGCCAAACUAAUUUUAGCUGUAUGAGAGCUUUUCUAGAAGGACUUCUAUCCCACUUAUUGCAAAGAACUCUCUUGCUUCCAACAUAUCUGUUACAAAAAAAUUAUUCUCUCCUCUCAAACAGCAUUCGAUAUCUAGAAAUGUGGCCUUUUGAAAGCAGUCAAGGCCAUCAUAACUCAAUUUUAACACACCGUAAAUUUUCCUAUUUGGGAAUAUUUUGGAGCUUUUCCAAUUCUUUUUCCCAUGUUUCUUUGCCCCUUGAACUUGGAUUUGCAGCUAAAACUUUUAAAGCCAGAGGGUUUCAUUUACAAUAGGCAAUUAGACUUUGUGAUAGAUCUUUAUAUCCAAUUUUAGGAUGUUUUUCUCUGAAGGAAGGAAAACUGAAUAGCUGAAGAGAUCAGGCUUGUUUAUAUCCCAAUUAGACGUAUAGAACGGAUAUAAUGCAUCUUCAUCGUUAGGUGGAACAGUCUCGUGCCGAUUGACACAGCUGGGACAUUUUCUAUGAAGUUGAAUGGGUUUAUGAGAAGGAAUAGAAUAAGGAGAGGCACAUAUGAGACUUUUAAUCUCAAUCAUUUGUUUUUGAUCAGAGGGUUCAUAAAUAUUCUCAUAUAAGAAAUGCAUUCUCACAGUAUAUGCCAAUGCAGCGGCCGGGGUUCGAACCCUGCACACCCCACUUCUCCACAUUUAUAUGCGUGAGCUCUAGCCACUAGGCUACUUGACCAACAAAAUAAAAGAGAAUCAAUUGUAUGAUGGAUAGUGCAGAUAUAAAAAUUGUGUGAAUAGUGUAUGCAGGGCAGGGUACAAGCAUAUGAUGACUUCGAUGGUUCAUUUCUCAGAAUAAUUGGGCCUGUUUAUUUUUAAAAAAAUUAUUUUUUCAUUGUUCGUUUCCUAAAAUUUAUGUUCAUUUCCAAAUCUAAGAUGCAAUGAAGAUUGAUUCAAUAGCAAAAACAGGUUCAAGUCAAGGGUUCGCAAAUGAAGAUUGAUACAAAUCAUAAGUAUUUUGAUUUGAAUCAAGGUAGAAAUGAUUCGAACCCUUUUUCUUUUUAAACAGUUUUGAUUUGAAUCAGAAGUUUGAAACACAGGGAGAAUAAACCCGAGAAUCAUGAUGAAAUCAAAAUUAAGAAGGAUAAAUUUGAUUCGAAUCAAAGCUUCAAAAAUGAAGUUAAAACUGAGGUGCAUAAUGAUUCAAUUAAAAAAUAUCCUGGACAAAAUUGAUUCGAAAUAUAAAUUUUACUCAAAACAGGGAGUGACACACAGGGUAUGAGAGAUUUAGACUAUAGGGUGUUUUCCAAACUAAGCUAAGACAAUAUAACAAAAACUACAUGAUUCAAACUAAACAUCAUCAAAACCAAGCCCAAAGGAUUAAGGUAGCAACUACACUAAGUACGAUAUUUUGGUUGUUAGACCUUCACUUGGACAAUUCUCCUCAACGGACACUUGUAACGACCUCUGGGUUGCCUUCAUGGUAUGGGCUCGCCAUGCGUUUGAUCAAGUUGGUCUUGGGUCCUAACCUUGAUUGGACCUUGGCCAAGUCCCAAACAGCUUCCCCCAAAACUAUAAGUUGAUGGAGUCAGAUUAUAGCUUGUUUUAAGCUUUCCAGAGUGCGGCCUGUGAAAGAGGGGGACCACUUUGUGUGAUCAUGAUCGAUGUGUUUUGGUGUCACGACCUUGGCAGCCCUCCUAUGACUUUCGGCCUCUCUACUUCACGGGCCUGGUGGUUUGUGGUGGAGAAAGUUGUUGCCUUUGUUUGGGCCACUAGAGCUUGUUGUAUCUAUUGUUUUGUUUUGUCAACCCAAACGUGACAUUUUGCGGACACUCUCCUGAGUGUUUCAUUAAACCUAUUCAAAGAAGUAUAGUUUUCGUGUACUCUUCUCUUUUAAAAAAAUAAAAUUAAAUAAAAAAUAUGGAAUCGAGAGUGAUAUAAGUUUGUUUUACUACGAUCUUAUAUUCAUUCCCAAUACCAAGUUACCCUUGUUAUUCCACUUCUAUUAUAUCACUACUCUUCAGUAUUUAAAUGAUGAAUUUAAUACCAGAACAAAAGAUGUUUUUACUUGUAUUAUUCUUGUGACCCUCUUAGCAAGUGCCUCAACAAAAGACCUGCCCAAUAUGUUUUUUGAGCACAAAGUUAUUACAAUACACCGAGCAUUAUUCACUUGAAGGAUUAAAAUUUUCUAUUAAAUAAAAAUUACCGGAUGUAUAAUUAUAAAGUCGGAUUGAACAAGAAGGUUGUUCCUCUUUGCAUGAAUAGGAAGGUUGUUCCUGGUUAUCUUCAUCUUCAUUGUUAGAGCUUCUGACUUCACCUCCACUUGCUCUACUUUGUAACCAAUCAAGAUAAUCUUCCAACUCGUCAGAGUUUUGAGCACUGCAUUUUAAUUCAACAAUUUCCUUACUAAUGCUACUGCUACCAUCCAACUCCAACGUACUUACGUUCUAAAGCAUAUACAGGUAAGACCCCACACCGUUUUAUCCCCUCCGUUGACCACCGCAAUAGUUUCUUGUGACCUUGAAGUAGAAACUGAAAUGAUAAGUUGCAAAAAUCAUAACUUCCACUAUCUUGUCUGUUGUGAACAUGCUAGCAUACCAAUACAUGAUCAGUAAUGAAUAUCCCAAGAUAACUGUCACUAAUACGACGUCUGUCAGCUUCUUAGCCAUUUUCAAAGAUAAUACAGUGAACGGCAUGGUGGUAAACAUUAAAGCCCUCAGAAAGAAUGAUGCAAAAUAUAAAACUGCACCAAUCAGAUUUUGGAAUAGGAGGAAUAAUUAUUGAAGCCUCUAUUGUCUGAAAAUCAAAGAUGCAUGCAAUGGAGUCUUCAGAGAAGGUUUGUAACAUGUUAUUAAAAAAUGACGGUUGAAUGGAGUAUGUGUCCAUAUAAGUGCAAUUAACGGCUCUCAAAUAUAACAGGGAUGGUGGAAGCUCUGUUAGAGACACAAGUUUCCUGCAAUCAUCUAAAUCAAGUCAUUCUAGCAUUGAAUGGUUUUGGAUGUUGUCAGGGAGAACUUAUAAGUUGCAACACUCUUUCAAUUUUAGUCCUUUUAAAGACUGUAUGCCAUCAAGGAUGGACCACAGUUUUAAUGUAUUGAUUUCUGUGCACUCAGAAAGGUCUAGUUCUUUAACAGAUCUCAGUCCAUGAUCAUUGGAUAACUUAUUCCCAGCAUUGUUCAGCUUGUUACAUUCAGUUAGAUCAAGAAAAGUAAGUUUGCUAUUACGCCAAAUCGAUGAAGGCAAUUCAUGUAUAGCAGUGCCAUGUAAGGACAAAUGUAUCAUUUUCUCUGAUGUUACUGAAAAUUCAAUGAGAGAUGAACAGCCAUCAAGUAAGAGUUUCCAGAGGGAUUUUGAAUGAAAUUUUGGAGCUUUUUCAAUUCAUUUUUGCAUGCUUCCUAGCUCCUUGAACUCGGAUUUUCACCUAAAACUUUUAUAGCCAGAUGAUUGCCUUUGCAAUAGGCAAUUACACUUUCUGAUAGAUCUUCAUAUCCAGUUUUAGGAUGUUUUUCUCAGAAGAUAGUCAAACUCAAUAGAUGAAGAGAAUCAUGUUUAGCAUAAGAUCUUUUAUUUGCUCUAAGGUUUCUCUACACUAUCCAGCACAAUGAAAGAUUCUUUACGUGCAAUCCUUCUCACAGACAAAGGGGUUUCUACGUGCAAUAAUUCUCACUCUGUUUUUUAUUUUUUAUUUUUUUCUUCUUUCUAAUCCUUUGAAUAUCUCCAGGUUCUUACUUUAUUGAAGGAAAUGUAACAUGAAGAAAAAUUUGAGGAAAGAAAAGUUAGGUCUCAUCCUCAAAGAGUAAGAACGUAGUCCAAAUUUUAUGGCAAAUUACACCCUAUGUCCAUUAACUUUUCAUCAGUAAGAAUCUUGUCAUGCACGAGUCUUCAAAUAAGCAAAGACUUUGAGAGAGGGAUAUCUUUGCUCCAAAUUCGGAGCAUUGCGUUUUUUAAAAGAAUAAGUAUCUUUUGAAGCUAAAUUGCCUUUCCAAAUCAAAGAAUCUUUACAUUCUUCGGUCUUCAGCAGGAAUAGUAAUUUGCAGCAUAAGCAAGCUAAUAGUAGGGAACAUCAGGAGGAAUGUUCCAGUAAAAAUUGGUGAUAUAGUCAGAAACUUUUGAAGGGAAAGUAUUGAUAUAUAUUUUUUUCUUUUAAAUAAGAUUAAUAUUUGUCCUUGAUACAUAAUAAAAAAAUAAAAACACAAGACAAUUAUGCAUAAAAAAUUGGAUAAAUAUUUUUCCUUGACAAAAGAUAGAAAUACUUCCUUGUACUUGAAGCUUCUCAUUCCAAGCAAGGAAUUUCACUACGUCAACACAUUUUGUUUGCAAACUCAUGCUUACUUUGCUCAAAACCCAUCUCAACAUCCUUUGACCCCUCCAUGAAUUUACAAAAACAUCAUAGAUCGAUAUCAACAGUCUAAUGCAUAAACGGAUAUCGCAAUGAAGUAUUGUGCGAGAAAGAAUGAGACAGACAACGUUUCUGACUAUUAUAAUUCUUUGGACACUCAAUAAAAUACAGCCGGUCAUUAUUUUCUAGAAUCAUGAGAGUUUUAAAACAAUUCUUCAAUUGAAGGAUUUAAAUCUUUCAAUAAAAUAAGCUAACGUGGAAGGUAUGAUUGAAAAGUGGAAAUUAUAUAGUGCUACAAUCAAAGUAACUAACUCGCUACUAACUAGAAAUUACACAAACUUGGGUCUAAUUACUUUGCGCCUGCGUCUAACAUAUACAUGUUUAAUAGGAGGUCUACGAAUAGAAGGUUGUUCCUCUUCUUUGUGAGAAUAAGAAGGUUGUUCCUGGUCAUAUUCAUUUUCAUUGUUUGAGCUUCUUCCUUCACCUCCAAUUGCUAUAGACACAUCAGAGUCUUGAGCAAUGGAUUUUAAUUUACCAAUUUCCUUACUAAUGCAACUACUCAUAUAUACCUUCCUUACAGGGAAGACCCCACACCCCUUUAUCCCCUCUGUUGACCACCACAGUUCUUCAUUGGGACCUUGAAGUAUGAAUUGAAAUGAUAAGUUACAAUCAUAACUUCCACUUUCUUGUAUGUUGUAACCAUGCCAACACAUCAAUACAUGAUCUGAAAUUAAUGUCCCGAGAUAAUUGAGACUAAUGCGACGUCUGUCGACUUCUUUUCCACAUUCAAAGAUGAUACAAUAAAGGACAUGGCGGUUAAUAGUGAAGCCCUCAGAAAAAAGGAUGCAAAAUAUGAAACCACGCAAGACAGAUUUAGUAAUAGGAAGAAUAGUUAUUGAAGCCUCGAUUGUCUGCAAAUCAAUGUCUAAUGGAACUUGUGCUCCUGGCAGGAAAAAGAAAAAAUCGAUAUCACCUUCAUUUUCCAAGAAAUUUGGUGUCAUGUUGUCAAAGAAUGACCGCUGUGUAGUGUAUGUGUCCAGAUAAGUGCAAUUAACGGCUUUAAAAUCUAACAAGGAUGGCGGAAGCUCUGUCAGAGACACAAGUUUCCUGCAAUCAUCCAAUUCAAGCCAUUCAAGCAAUGAAUGCUUUCCCAUGUUCUCUGGGAGACACUCUAAGUUGACACACUCAUUCAAUUUUAGCCGUUUUAAAGACUGUAUACCAUCAAGUAUGGACCACAGACUUGAUGCAUUGAUUUCUGUGCACCCUGAAAGGUCUAGCUCUGUAACAGACCCCAGUCCAUGAUCAUCUGUUAACUUAUUCCCAACAAUAGUAAGCUUGUUACAUCCAGCUAGGUCAAGAACAGUAAGUUUGGUAUUAUGCCAAAUCGAUGAAGUCAAUUCAUGUAUAGAAGUGUCACAUAAGGAUAAUUUUGUCAUUUCCUCCGAUGUCAUUGAAAAUUCUGUGAGAGAUGAACAACCAUUGAGUAAGAGUUGACAAAGAGAUUUUGAAUGAAUGUUUGUUUUAAGGCUUUCAAUACUUAUGCAACCUCUUAAGUCUAGAUAUUGAAGUUGAGGGAGAGAAAAGAUGGAUGGAUGGAGUUGACGCAAGCUUUCACAUUCCGAGAGAAGUACAAUAGCAAGAUUUGUAGCCCUAGAUAAGUCUGGGAUCUCAAUCAGAUCUUUGGAGGAUUCAAGCCAAAGUGUUCUUAGAUUCACAAGAUUCUGUAACAAGAAAUAAACAUCCAUGAGUGUUGAUUAAAAGAGAAACAAAACCUAGUUAAACAUCCUAGCUCUGCUGCAAUUUUGUGAAAAACAUUUGUACCUGAACUCCAUCCCAGAGCUUUUUAAGCUUGCUUUGAGCCAUGCAAAGCUCUACAAGCAUUUCAGCACAAAAAGUUGAUGGCAAAGACUCAAGACAAUAUCUUUUCCAUCGAAGAUACCUCAAUUUAUCAGAAAUCCACUCAAGACCGUCAGGAAAGUACACAUUGCCUGUGCUCCCAUCAGAUUCAUUAUAGAUAUUAAGAUAUCUUAAGUUUGUCAUCCUUCUAAAGGAAUCAGACUUCAAGUAAAUAUCCCCAACAUCCGUACUAUCGAAUAUUAUACCUUCCACAACUUCAGUUCCCUGACAAAUAAAAAUUAGAUUAAUAAUUAGGAAAGGCUGUCAUGUGUACUUUCCUCGUUAUAUUUUAUAAUCACAUACAUGUUUUUUCGUAUAGAAAUGAUUGCAUUCUCUAGUUACCUUGUUUUCUUUUAAUAUAUCAGAUAUUUCUUCAGCUCUCCAUAACCGACUUCGUUUUCCAGGUUCUUUAGACUCUUGAUUAACAAUCUCCCAUCCCAUUUCUUGUAACAAAUCAUGCAUAUCUAAACCAUCAAUUUGCAAUUUGGCCAACGAGAGCCAAUUUGAUUUUAUUUGUAUGAGAGCUUUAUCUAGAAGGACUUCUAUCCCACUUUCUGCAAAGAACUCACAAGCUUCCAACAAAUGUAUCACAGCCAUUUUAUUAUCUCCUCUCAACAAGCAUGCAAUAUCUAGAAAUAUGUCCUUUUGAAAAAUAUCUAAGUUAUCAUAACUCAAUUUUAACAUAUUGUUAAUUUCCCCAUUUGGAAUCUUUUCGAGCUUUUUCAAUUCAUCUUCCCAUACUAUUUUGCCUCUUGAACGGAGAUUUUUACCUAAAACUUUUAAAGCCAAAGGGUUGCCUCUGCAAUAGGCAAUUACACUUUCAGAUAGAUCUUCAUAUCCAAUUUUAGGCUGUUUUUCUCCGAAGGCAAACAAACUGAAUAGUUGAAGAGAAUCAUGUUUGUUCAAUUCAUUAAACUCAUAUAUUUCACAAUUACUGAACUGACUUAGUAUGUGCUUAUCUCUAGUUGUAAUGAUGACCCUACUACCCGGUCCCACCCCAUCAAUUAUUUGGAUAAGAUCUUCUAUUUUCUCUAAGGUUUCCAUGCCAUCCAACACAAUGAGAACUUUUUUAUGUGCAAUCCUUCUCACGGAGAAAGAGGAUUCAAUGUAGGAUGCAUCGGGAUGAAUUUUUUCUUCCUCUAACAAUGAAGACAAAAGUUUAUUGUGUAGACCAUUGACUCCAUACUUGUUUGAUUCAUCCAUUACAUAGUGGAAGCAAAGAACUUCAAAUUGGGAAUAAAGUUUACCAAAUAAAGUCCUAGCAAUGGUGGUCUUUCCUAUGCCACCCAUGCCCCAUAUUCCAAUGAUUUUAACAUCAUUUGACCCAAUUUCCAUCAUUGAUUCAAUUUGUUCGUAAUUUUUCUCAAUUCCAACAAGCCCUUUAAUGUCAUAUGGGUAUCUAGGAUUCAGUUUCCGCAAAACAUCUUCAACAAUGGCUUUAAUGAAGUCUGAGUCACUCCUAACAUAUGAAAGAGGGGAAGAAGGUUUGACAUAUCUACUAAAUACAAUAAAAAAACAUCUAUAUGAUUAGAAAUAUAUACAAAAUUUAUAGUCAACAUGAUGGUAGUGGCGUAGUAGAGCAAAAAAGAAGCAAAAAUGAGAUUCGAGGAAAUGAAAUACCAAACACACAGUGCAAUUAAAGUCUAUUUUUUCUAGGAAGUGAAAUCCUAAAGAAAAUUCUAAAAAAAAUAAAAGUUACUGCUAUUAAGAUUUUAGUGGUACAAAUAUAAACAGCCAAAUGGAAGUAAAAAAAAUUGUGAGAUAGUGUAUGAUGACUUUGAUAGUUUUCAGAAGGUCAUCAACUAUGGCCAGGCACAUCAAUGUCAUUGUUCACUUCUCGAAAUAAUUUGGCCUGGUUUACUUUCUAAAAUUAUAUUUCGUCUUCGAUUUCUAAAAUUUAUGUUCAUUUCCAACUACAAAUAUGGAGAUGAAAGACUUAUGAAGUAAAUAAUUGUGCUAUAUUAGAAACAAAACAUUCAAAUGAUAGGAAAUAGUUUAUUGAUUUUACUUGCCUAUAAUUUUGAGAGUCCCAACCAACCAAAUUAGCUGCCUCAGUGAGAGAAUCUUUCCAUUUCUUCAACUUGUCAUUAUUGUGCUUUAAAUCUCGCUUAUGUUUUGCAAAGGCUUGCUUGUAACUCCCGGUCUGCUUCCUCACAUUUGAUGGAUCUAUGUUGUAAAAAACAGGUAUCACAAUCUGUUCCAUAUAUUUCUUGCAUUCAAGAAUCUUUUUGAGCUCAUUCAAGCACCAUUUUGAGGAAGCAUAGUUUUCUGAGAAGAUGACAAUAGAUGCAUGUGACUCCUCAAUGGCUUUGAUGAGUGCUGCCGAGAUCUCAUCUCCUUUUUGAAGCUCAUUGUUGUCUAUAAAGAUUUUAAUUUUCUUUCGGCUCAGAGCGUCAUAAAGAUGGCUAGUGAAGUUUCUGCGAGUAUCCUCACCUCGAAAGCUAAGAAAAACUUCAUAUUUUUUCUUAGGGACCACAUCAGAAGAAGAUAUAGAGGAAAAAGCACUGCUCAUUUUCUCCUCGUGACGAUUAUGAAUUCCGAGUGCCUGUACUAAGCCACUAAUCACAAUGCUACAAUAAAAAAAAGUAAUGUUUAAAUGUGUUCUUGAUACUUUUGACCACACUCAUUCUCGUUGUAAUUAGAGAAACUAGUAGUUAAAUUAAAAUUAAGAAGAAAAAAGAUCAUAACAAAGUCAGAAUCCAGCUUCAUGCAAGAAGACUUUAAAGUCAUAAAUCCCAACAGUAGUAUGGCUUAGCUUCUGCUGGAAUCAAUUUUGGAUGAAAAUUAAUUAAGGAUAAACACACACAAACACUUCAUAUAGAUGUAAUGGGUCAAAAUUAAAAUAUAAAAUAACAAGUGUGGUUAUCCUUGAAGGAAGUUUCGUGGUUUUAUUUUCAGUUUUUCUUUCUUCCUUUGAAUAGUUUCUUUAAAUAAUCAAAUGUGUACGUCGUGGUCUUCUUCAGAAGGUAUGGCCAUCACAUUAUUCUUUAUAACAAACAUACAAAAAAAUAUGACAUUAUGAAUUUGUCAUUAUGUGUGGUCAGAUCAGACGCAUAAUGUGUAAGACGCCGGCUGAAUAAAAUAUGGCAACAAGAGAAUAUUUAGACAAACAAUGAUGCACAUAAUAUAGUGUGAAUCUAAAUAUUUCCUAUAUUAUUAAACUAAAUAGUUGUUACAGGAGGUUCCAUUUCUUUCUAUUUGUUUUUUUACCAAUCAAAUUCAGUAACCUUUAAACAAAUAUCAUAUAGUUGAACGGUGAAUCUUGAACCUUCUUCAUAUGUUCAAUGGUUGGUCCAAUUUAGAAAAUAUUAAUGAAGACCUGCUUUGAUAAAUUAUUUAUUUAAAAACUUAUUUAUAUCCUUUUUUCCUAACAAGGAAUUGAGAUGGCCCCCUUGGGACCUCAUCCCCCAACUCCACCCAUGGCCAACCUUAAAGCUAUGUUUGGAUUGGUAGAGAGUGGUGGAAUGGAAUAGAAUGAAGUUGUAACGCCCACUUUCGUUUAAUUAUUUAUUUAAUCGAGUUUAGGCGAUUAUAUUAUAUUUUUAUAAUAUAUGUGUGAGUUUUGUUGAUUUAAGAUGAUUUAAGUUGAUUUGGAUGAUUUGAUGUGUUUUGAUGAUUUGAUAAGAUUAUGAGACUUAUUUUAUUGUUAAAUAAAAUAAGAUUUGAUAAGAAAAUAAAAAUNUCGACUAUGCGACUAUGCAACUUAGACCUCUUAUAUGCAUGUGGUACCAAUUCAGGGCAUGAGCCCCCAUCGCUAUUUGAGUAUUAAUAUACUUCCAGGGCAUGAGCCCCCAUCGCUAUUUGAGCUAAAGCUCCAUCGUGUUGAGUACAAAGCUCUAGGGCAUGAGCCCCCAACAAAUGUAUGCUAAUGCAUGAACUCGAUCUCUUAAACAUCAAAAUCAUCAUCUCUUAUUUAUCCAAUAAUUUGGAGGUUCAACAUCAUCUUGAUCAUCUUAUACUGACUCAUGCAACUUGGUUAAUUAACAAUAGCAACAUAGACAGAUUACAACAACAGCGUGACAUCAUACAACGAUAUCAAUUAAAAGCAAGCAUCAUCUCAAUCAUUCAUUCAUAAUUCAAGUAAUGUAAUUAAACAUUAUAUCACAUCAUAUUCAACACUAACAUCUCAUAACAGCUUCACAGAUUGCAGUUAACUUCUAAAAUAGGUAACAAUACUACCCAAGGGUCCAUCUCUAAUCAAAUUAUGCGACACAGAUCGCAAUAUCCUCACUUGCACUAAGUUCUGGAAGUGCUCGCGAGGCGAGAGCAUCUGCUCGCCAUGGCGAGUACAAGCAAGAUUCCCAACAAUGGUUGUUCUAGGUUAAACCAGGUUCAAUCUCAUUCUAAGUUAUCAUUUAAUCUUUAAUAGGCAUCUUCAGGCACUCAUAAUAUCUAAGGUUCAACUCAAAAGUCAAAAUUACGAAUUCUUGCAUGCUCUUUGGUCAUGCUCGCUAUGGCGAGUUCAGUUGUUCGCUGUGGCGAGCUGCGACGUGCAACUCGCGAGGCGAGGAAAAUUGGCUCGCGUGGCGAGCGAUGAACUUCAUCACUCGCGGGGCGAGGAUUAUCGUUCGCGAGGGCGAACGAUGAAUAUAGGCUCGGGGAGAAGUGCAGUUUUUACGAAAAUUCAUCUACUCUCUUGGUUUAAAGCCUAAUUUCAAUCCCAGAAUCCAUCCUAUUCAUAAUUUAGGGUCUAAGGACGGUUUAUGCAUCAAUCUAACAACUUAUCAUCAUUGGAUCAUCAAUUUCACCUAUUAACCCUAAUUUCAUAAACUUCUCAAUUCAAUCCUAACUUGUUAAUUUGACUAUCAGAAUUACAUGGAUUAAUAAAACUGGAUCGUUAGUCUCACCCUUACCUUAGUUUGAAGAAAUCGCAGCCUCUCCCUUGACUUCUCCCUUUUUUGGCUUUUUCUCCCUUUUUCCAAAAUUGAUCGUACGUACAAAGUGUUUCUAAAACCUUGGUCUUUCCUUUUUAUAACUCCUCCUAUUAUCUUAUCUUAUCUCUCUUUCUUCCCCAAAACUCUCUAAAAUAUAAAAACAGCCCCUAACUAAAUAUUUUAUUUUAUUUUCAAAUCUUAUUUUAUUAAACAACAAAAUAAGUCUCAUCUCCUCAUAAAAAUCAUCACAUCACAUAAAUCAUCUAAAAUCAUCGUAAAUCAUCUAAAUCAUCAUAAAUCACACAUAUAUUAUAUAAAUAUAAUAUAACUCGUCUAGACUCAAUUAAAUAAUUAAUUAAUUAAAAUUGGGCGUUACAGACUCCACCAUCUUAAAUAAGUAGAGUUGUUGCUUAAGGAGUUGCCUAUGAGCCAAAGAUUUGGUCAUAUACAAUGACUCAAAAUUUGACCAUAUCGACGCCGCGGUAGGUUCCUUCGCGACAUCCCUCAAAACUUUGUCCCCGAGGUACAAGACAAUGUCACUCCUAGCAUUGUCCACCAUCUCGGUCUUCUCGGCUUGUGUCAUGGUGACCGAAAACGCACAUUCACCCUUCAAAUCUUUCUCACACUUUUGUUAUAUCAACAGCGCUUGUAUCUUCACCUACCAUACCCCAAAAUCGUUGCUUCCGGUGAACUUCUCAACAUCCCACUUUGAACCCAUGGUACUCAGUAAACCAAUUCACUCCUUUGCUCCACGGUGGACGCCAAUUGUUGUGAAUUCGGACACAAAACUCACAUCAAUACAAACUAUGAUGUGUGGAUCAAAGGAAAGUAGUAACAUAUAUCAAAGUGAACACAAGCAACAAAAAUAUUAACAACACCUAGAUCUAAUCUAGUAAUCAAAGUAAAAAAAACUCAAAACCACAAGCAAAAGAUAAAGAGAGAAUAUAAACAAACACACCAAAGAUUGUUGACCCAAUUCGUUCCAACUUGACCUAAUUUGGGGGAGAGAUUUAUCUCUCCAAUCCAUUAUCUAAGAGUUCUUACAAAGUGAUACAAAUGGGUUAUACGAAAUUAGCUUAAACAAGCUCACAAAGAAUAAACAUAAUUUCUACCCAUUUUCCAAAUUUCACUAAUGAACAAGACACUCAAUGAUUUUCACUCACUCAAGGUGUUUACAAUGUUUUCCAACCCAAGAGAACCUCACUACAAAGACACUCAACCCUAAAGUUCUCUCCUUUGCAAUCCCAAGUUUCUCUCUCUUCAGCUCUCCUUCAAAAAACUGCAAAGAAACACUUAUAUAGCAGUCUUCAGCUGUCAAAUUGUGUCACGUUUUGCCAAAUCGUGACACGGUUGGUGUGAACAACCCAAGGUACGACCAAACUUAUCUUGAAAACGUAUCAAGCAACAUAAAAAUUGUGACACGUUUUUCCAAAAUUGUGUCACGAUUGGACACCCUGCAAAACAUGCUCUCGACAUUGCGAAAUCGUGACACGCUUCACAAAUUGUGUCACGAUUUCAAGUUUUCCUAUCUUCACAAUUGGAAGGAAAAUCCAACAAUAAUCAUUGUUGAACGGCUUAUAUUAUCUUACUAAUCCCAGUGAAAACGAUAUAAAUAUACUUACUUUUGAUACUUACAUCAGAUGGAAAGCCCCUUUACUCUGACCUCAUUCAUCCAACAACCUUUAAAUGUGUUUGGAUGUUGGGAAUAGUUUUGUUAGCUUUUGUAAUGGCAGCAUUGAUAAGUGCUCAAAAUGAUCUAAUUUAGGUGUUAGUUUAGGCAUGUUUGAUGAGUUGUUUUACAAAUUAUUGUUAGAAAAGCUUCAAUUAUGUGCCUAAAUGCCAUUUAUGCUUUGCAUGCCUUACUUUACCCUUUUUGUGCAGGAAAAUACAAGCAAGGAGCAAGAAAUGCCAAAAUUCACAAGAAAGUCGCUAUUAGCGAGAUUCUCGCAAAUAGAGAAAAUGGCACAGGGAGUUUCGCCAUCAGCGAAGCUGGGGGCGAAGUCAUAAGAAGGACUUGAAGAAACUCGCCAUUAGCGAAAAAGUCGCUAUUGGCGAAAAACUCAUAGGGAGUUUCGCUAUUAGUGAAACUGGUGGCGAACUUCAGGAAAGUCAAGUGGAUAAGGGACACGUGGAGCAACGCCAUUGGUGAAGAGGCAUAUUUCCCACAUUUCGCUAAUAGUGAAAUAGUUAGCUAUUAACAAAAUUCUGCAGAAGUGCCCAUAUAAAUAGUUUUCUCUUCUUUUUCCAAUGAUUCUAUUAUAUUUUUAUUCAUAUUUUUCUGGUUUUAGAGAGAGACUAGGGCUUUUCUAGAGAGAGAAACACAAAGCAAGGUAGUUAGGAGUACUUUUGAAUAUAUGGUUCUAGCUUAUUUAUUCAAUAUUGUUGAUAUGGACACAUACUUUUGAAUCUAGAAAUAGAAUAACGAUCUAUCUUAAGUUAUCACUCUAGACAUUUUGAUAAUCACUUUUAAUCUAGAACUUAAUUCUUUUGGGUAAUUUAUUCGGUUGGGAAAUCGUCGAUUAAACUAUCCAAUCGACUUUGUGAUCGUUUAAAUGUUUGGGAAAUCGAUGUUUAAACGAUCCCUUAGAAAUAACGAUAUCAUUUGGACACGAAUGAUAUUGUCGAGUGAUUGUGAUAAUUGUAACGCCCGUUUUGAAUUAUUUAAUUAUCUGAUUAUUUAAUUGAGUCUAGAGUUAUUUUAGAUGAGUUUAUAUUAUAUUUAUAUAAUAUAUGAGGGAUUUAUAUGAUUUAUGAGAUUGAGGUGUAGUGACUUAUUUUAUUGUUUAAUAAAAUAAGAUUUGAAAUUAGAAUAAAUAUUGAGAUGUGGGGCUGUUUUGUGAAUUUAAAGAGUUUAGUAGUAUAAGUGGAAUAAGAUAAAAUAGAUAGGAGGAGAUAUAAAUAGGAGAAGACCUAGUUUUAGAAAAACAUUGUACGUACGAUCAUUUUUUGGAAAAAAGGAGAAAAAGCCAAGUGAAGGGAGGAAAGCCUAGAGAGCUGCGAUUUCUUCAUUCUAAGGUAAGGGUGAGACUAGCAUUCAAUUCUAUUAAUUCUGUAAUUCAAUCGGUUGUAAUUGACAAGUGUAGGAUUGGUUUUGGAGAAUUUAAGAAUUAGGGUUAAAGUGAGAAAUUUGAGAUUAAUUGAUGAAAAUUGUUAGAUUGAUGUAGAAACUGUUUACAGACCUUAGAUAAUCCAUAAAAUGAUUAGAGAAAUUAGUUUUGAGCUUUAAACCAUGUGAAUAGGUGAAUUUUCGUGAAAACUGCACUUCUACCCGAGCCGACAUUCAUCGCUCGCCUCCCGAGGGAUGAUCCUCGCCAUAGCGAGUGAUGAGCUUCAUCGCUCGCCUCGCGAGUAACUUCUUCUCGCCUCGCGAGCCAUACCCUGCAGCUCGCCAUAGCGAGUAGUUCACUCGCCAUAGUGAGUGUGACCAGUGAGUCAACAUAAUUUUUGUCGUUUUGUCCCUUAAGUUGAACCUUAGAUGAUUUUGAGUGCCUGAAUAUGUAUAAAAAUGAUUAGGCAAGUUUUUAGAUUGAGAUUGGACCUGGGAAAGUUUAAAAAUGGAUUUUUGAGUGAAAAAUGUCAAAGUUCCCGAGAGCACCCAUUAUUUGUUCGCCAAGGCGAGCAGCUUACUCGCCAAGGCGAAUAGCCAUUUUCUGAACUCGCCAUAGCGAGUAAUAUCCCUCGCCUCGCGAGCUCCUGUAAGACAGAAUGCCUUGUUUAGGUUAAUUGCGAUCUUUAUCGGAUAAGUUGUUAUGAGUUGAACCUUUGGAUAAGUAAUGAGAAAUAUGUAGGAUAUUAAUGAUGAUCUAUGAAUUUGUUAUAUGAUGAUUUGAUGAUAUUUAUAAUGUUAUAUAGAUGGAUAUAUAUUGCAUGAAUUAUGUUUGAUGAUUGAGAUGUUGAUGACGUGCAUGUGUAAUUGUUAUAUAUAAUGCUUAUUAAUAUCGAAUGAUGCUGUUCUGUUGUUGUGAUGAAUAUGAUUUACUUGAUGAUUAAUGAGAGAAUAUUACAUAUUGUGAAUGAUGAUGAUAUGAAGUUGUAAUGAUUGUAUUUGAUGAUUACUGUUGACGUUGACUUGUUGCGAAUUAUUGAUGUUGUUGUCUUGCUGAUGUGAUGUAUUAAUAUCAUUAAGAUGCUAAUGUUGUUUAAGUCAUUUGAGUUAUAAGAUGUCGGCCCAAAUUAUUGGAGUCAUUUGAGAUGUUUAAGUUGUAUGAUGUUGAUCCAAAUUAUUGGAGUCAUAAGAGAUGUCUAAGUUGUUAAGUUGCUAGGAUGUUGAGUCCAUUGCAUAUUCAUAAUCUGAGAUGGGGGAGGGCUUGAUGCUCUAUAAUGUAUAUUUAUACACAAUCUGAGAUGGGAGAGGGCUUGAUGCUCUAGGAGCCUAUUUACGCUCAAUAUGAUUUGAUUGGUACCACAUGCAUGAUUAAGAGGUUGUAGUUGCAUUUUUGUCAAGAAGGUCUAAGAUGAAUAAGAGGUCUAAGUUGCAUUGUUAAGUUGAAGUUGUGUCUGAAGGUGAAAAACACAAGAAGGGGGGGUUGAAUUGUGUUUUCUUUUUCUCUUAAAAAAUACUUCUUCUGAUAAAACNGUUUAAGUUAUUUGGUUAAAUUGUUAUUUAACUGAUUUGGAUUAUGUUAAAUGUGAUAUCCCGUUUGUUUAUGUGGUUUACUCUGAUAAAUGUUUAAAAAAAAUUUAUAUUGGGAAAACGGGGUGUUACAAUUGGUAUCCGAGCAGGUCGGUCCGUCUGGUCAAUUAGAAGAGUCUUGUCGAGUCUUAGUAAUAUUUGUAUUAUUAUCUUAUGUUUUUGUUGCUGCUAUUUGUUGUAGAAUAUCAGAAAUGGCUAGAUGGAACGAUGCUGCGUUAGCUGCUGCUCUACAAGCUGUUGCCCAUGCUGUGGGACAACAACCUAACGCAAAUGCUGGUGUGAAUGCUGAGACCAGGAUGUUGGAGACCUUCAUGAGGAAUCAUCCUCCAACUUUCAAAGGAAGAUAUGACCCCAAUGGAGCCCAGACGUGGCUAAAAGAGAUUGAAAGGAUUUUCCGUGUGAUGCAGUGCACCGAGGUCCAGAAAGUACGAUUUGGUACUCAUCAGCUAGCUGAGGAGGCUGAUGAUUGGUGGGUUAGUCUGCUACCUAACCUUGAGCAAGAUGGAGCUGCUGUGACUUGGGCUGUGUUCAGGAGAGAGUUCCUGAGAAGAUACUUUCCAGAAGAUGUUCGCGGGAAGAAGGAGAUCGAGUUCCUUGAGCUGAAACAAGGGAACAUGUCUGUGACAGAGUAUGCUGCCAAAUUUGUGGAGUUGGCAAAGUUCUAUCCGCACUAUGCUGCUGAGACUGCUGAGUUCUCGAAAUGCAUCAAGUUCGAGAAUGGUUUGAGGCCCGACAUCAAGAGGGCAAUCGGAUACCAACAGCUCCGAGUUUUCCCUGAUUUAGUGAAUACCUGCAGAAUCUACGAGGAGGAUACUAAGGCUCAUGACAAGGUUGUGAAUGAGCGGAAGACCAAGGGCCAAUAGAGUCGCCCUAAGCCUUAUAGUGCCCCUGCUGAUAAGGGCAAACAGAGAAUGGUCGAUGAUAGGCGGCCUAAGAAGAAGGAUGCUCCUGCGGAGAUUGUCUGUUUCAACUAUGGCGAGAAAGGCCACAAGAGUAAUGUUUGUCCUAAAGAGAUCAAGAAAUGUGUCCGGUGUGACAAGAAGGGUCAUAUUGUAGCUGAUUGCAAGCGAAAUGAUAUUGUGUGCUUCAAUUGCAACGAAGAGGGUCAUAUUGGUUCCCAAUGCAAGCAGCCUAAGAGGGUGCCUACUACGGGUCGAGUUUUUGCUCUGGCUGGUACUCAGACANNNNNNNNNNNNNNNNNNNNNNNNNNNNNNNNNNNNNNNNNNNNNNNNNNNNNNNNNNNNNNNNNNNNNNNNNNNNNNNNNNNNNNNNNNNNNNNNNNNNNNNNNNNNNNNNNNNNNNNNNNNNNNNNNNNNNNNNNNNNNNNNNNNNNNNNNNNNNNNNNNNNNNNNNNNNNNNNNNNNNNNNNNNNNNNNNNNNNNNNNNNNNNNNNNNNNNNNNNNNNNNNNNNNNNNNNNNNNNNNNNNNNNNNNNNNNNNNNNNNNNNNNNNNNNNNNNNNNNNNNNNNNNNNNNNNNNNNNNNNNNNNNNNNNNNNNNNNNNNNNNNNNNNNNNNNNNNNNNNNNNNNNNNNNNNNNNNNNNNNNNNNNNNNNNNNNNNNNNNNNNNNNNNNNNNNNNNNNNNNNNNNNNNNNNNNNNNNNNNNNNNNNNNNNNNNNNNNNNNNNNNNNNNNNNNNNNNNNNNNNNNNNNNNNNNNNNNNNNNNNNNNNNNNNNNNNNNNNNNNNNNNNNNNNNNNNNNNNNNNNNNNNNNNNNNNNNNNNNNNNNNNNNNNNNNNNNNNNNNNNNNNNNNNNNNNNNNNNNNNNNNNNNNNNNNNNNNNNNNNNNNNNNNNNNNNNNNNNNNNNNNNNNNNNNNNNNNNNNNNNNNNNNNNNNNNNNNNNNNNNNNNNNNNNNNNNNNNNNNNNNNNNNNNNNNNNNNNNNNNNNNNNNNNNNNNNNNNNNNNNNNNNNNNNNNNNNNNNNNNNNNNNNNNNNNNNNNNNNNNNNNNNNNNNNNNNNNNNNNNNNNNNNNNNNNNNNNNNNNNNNNNNNNNNNNNNNNNNNNNNNNNNNNNNNNNNNNNNNNNNNNNNNNNNNNNNNNNNNNNNNNNNNNNNNNNNNNNNNNNNNNNNNNNNNNNNNNNNNNNNNNNNNNNNNNNNNNNNNNNNNNNNNNNNNNNNNNNNNNNNNNNNNNNNNNNNNNNNNNNNNNNNNNNNNNNNNNNNNNNNNNNNNNNNNNNNNNNNNNNNNNNNNNNNNNNNNNNNNNNNNNNNNNNNNNNNNNNNNNNNNNNNNNNNNNNNNNNNNNNNNNNNNNNNNNNNNNNNNNNNNNNNNNNNNNNNNNNNNNNNNNNNNNNNNNNNNNNNNNNNNNNNNNNNNNNNNNNNNNNNNNNNNNNNNNNNNNNNNNNNNNNNNNNNNNNNNNNNNNNNNNNNNNNNNNNNNNNNNNNNNNNNNNNNNNNNNNNNNNNNNNNNNNNNNNNNNNNNNNNNNNNNNNNNNNNNNNNNNNNNNNNNNNNNNNNNNNNNNNNNNNNNNNNNNNNNNNNNNNNNNNNNNNNNNNNNNNNNNNNNNNNNNNNNNNNNNNNNNNNNNNNNNNNNNNNNNNNNNNNNNNNNNNNNNNNNNNNNNNNNNNNNNNNNNNNNNNNNNNNNNNNNNNNNNNNNNNNNNNNNNNNNNNNNNNNNNNNNNNNNNNNNNNNNNNNNNNNNNNNNNNNNNNNNNNNNNNNNNNNNNNNNNNNNNNNNNNNNNNNNNNNNNNNNNNNNNNNNNNNNNNNNNNNNNNNNNNNNNNNNNNNNNNNNNNNNNNNNNNNNNNNNNNNNNNNNNNNNNNNNNNNNNNNNNNNNNNNNNNNNNNNNNNNNNNNNNNNNNNNNNNNNNNNNNNNNNNNNNNNNNNNNNNNNNNNNNNNNNNNNNNNNNNNNNNNNNNNNNNNNNNNNNNNNNNNNNNNNNNNNNNNNNNNNNNNNNNNNNNNNNNNNNNNNNNNNNNNNNNNNNNNNNNNNNNNNNNNNNNNNNNNNNNNNNNNNNNNNNNNNNNNNNNNNNNNNNNNNNNNNNNNNNNNNNNNNNNNNNNNNNNNNNNNNNNNNNNNNNNNNNNNNNNNNNNNNNNNNNNNNNNNNNNNNNNNNNNNNNNNNNNNNNNNNNNNNNNNNNNNNNNNNNNNNNNNNNNNNNNNNNNNNNNNNNNNNNNNNNNNNNNNNNNNNNNNNNNNNNNNNNNNNNNNNNNNNNNNNNNNNNNNNNNNNNNNNNNNNNNNNNNNNNNNNNNNNNNNNNNNNNNNNNNNNNNNNNNNNNNNNNNNNNNNNNNNNNNNNNNNNNNNNNNNNNNNNNNNNNNNNNNNNNNNNNNNNNNNNNNNNNNNNNNNNNNNNNNNNNNNNNNNNNNNNNNNNNNNNNNNNNNNNNNNNNNNNNNNNNNNNNNNNNNNNNNNNNNNNNNNNNNNNNNNNNNNNNNNNNNNNNNNNNNNNNNNNNNNNNNNNNNNNNNNNNNNNNNNNNNNNNNNNNNNNNNNNNNNNNNNNNNNNNNNNNNNNNNNNNNNNNNNNNNNNNNNNNNNNNNNNNNNNNNNNNNNNNNNNNNNNNNNNNNNNNNNNNNNNNNNNNNNNNNNNNNNNNNNNNNNNNNNNNNNNNNNNNNNNNNNNNNNNNNNNNNNNNNNNNNNNNNNNNNNNNNNNNNNNNNNNNNNNNNNNNNNNNNNNNNNNNNNNNNNNNNNNNNNNNNNNNNNNNNNNNNNNNNNNNNNNNNNNNNNNNNNNNNNNNNNNNNNNNNNNNNNNNNNNNNNNNNNNNNNNNNNNNNNNNNNNNNNNNNNNNNNNNNNNNNNNNNNNNNNNNNNNNNNNNNNNNNNNNNNNNNNNNNNNNNNNNNNNNNNNNNNNNNNNNNNNNNNNNNNNNNNNNNNNNNNNNNNNNNNNNNNNNNNNNNNNNNNNNNNNNNNNNNNNNNNNNNNNNNNNNNNNNNNNNNNNNNNNNNNNNNNNNNNNNNNNNNNNNNNNNNNNNNNNNNNNNNNNNNNNNNNNNNNNNNNNNNNNNNNNNNNNNNNNNNNNNNNNNNNNNNNNNNNNNNNNNNNNNNNNNNNNNNNNNNNNNNNNNNNNNNNNNNNNNNNNNNNNNNNNNNNNNNNNNNNNNNNNNNNNNNNNNNNNNNNNNNNNNNNNNNNNNNNNNNNNNNNNNNNNNNNNNNNNNNNNNNNNNNNNNNNNNNNNNNNNNNNNNNNNNNNNNNNNNNNNNNNNNNNNNNNNNNNNNNNNNNNNNNNNNNNNNNNNNNNNNNNNNNNNNNNNNNNNNNNNNNNNNNNNNNNNNNNNNNNNNNNNNNNNNNNNNNNNNNNNNNNNNNNNNNNNNNNNNNNNNNNNNNNNNNNNNNNNNNNNNNNNNNNNNNNNNNNNNNNNNNNNNNNNNNNNNNNNNNNNNNNNNNNNNNNNNNNNNNNNNNNNNNNNNNNNNNNNNNNNNNNNNNNNNNNNNNNNNNNNNNNNNNNNNNNNNNNNNNNNNNNNNNNNNNNNNNNNNNNNNNNNNNNNNNNNNNNNNNNNNNNNNNNNNNNNNNNNNNNNNNNNNNNNNNNNNNNNNNNNNNNNNNNNNNNNNNNNNNNNNNNNNNNNNNNNNNNNNNNNNNNNNNNNNNNNNNNNNNNNNNNNNNNNNNNNNNNNNNNNNNNNNNNNNNNNNNNNNNNNNNNNNNNNNNNNNNNNNNNNNNNNNNNNNNNNNNNNNNNNNNNNNNNNNNNNNNNNNNNNNNNNNNNNNNNNNNNNNNNNNNNNNNNNNNNNNNNNNNNNNNNNNNNNNNNNNNNNNNNNNNNNNNNNNNNNNNNNNNNNNNNNNNNNNNNNNNNNNNNNNNNNNNNNNNNNNNNNNNNNNNNNNNNNNNNNNNNNNNNNNNNNNNNNNNNNNNNNNNNNNNNNNNNNNNNNNNNNNNNNNNNNNNNNNNNNNNNNNNNNNNNNNNNNNNNNNNNNNNNNNNNNNNNNNNNNNNNNNNNNNNNNNNNNNNNNNNNNNNNNNNNNNNNNNNNNNNNNNNNNNNNNNNNNNNNNNNNNNNNNNNNNNNNNNNNNNNNNNNNNNNNNNNNNNNNNNNNNNNNNNNNNNNNNNNNNNNNNNNNNNNNNNNNNNNNNNNNNNNNNNNNNNNNNNNNNNNNNNNNNNNNNNNNNNNNNNNNNNNNNNNNNNNNNNNNNNNNNNNNNNNNNNNNNNNNNNNNNNNNNNNNNNNNNNNNNNNNNNNNNNNNNNNNNNNNNNNNNNNNNNNNNNNNNNNNNNNNNNNNNNNNNNNNNNNNNNNNNNNNNNNNNNNNNNNNNNNNNNNNNNNNNNNNNNNNNNNNNNNNNNNNNNNNNNNNNNNNNNNNNNNNNNNNNNNNNNNNNNNNNNNNNNNNNNNNNNNNNNNNNNNNNNNNNNNNNNNNNNNNNNNNNNNNNNNNNNNNNNNNNNNNNNNNNNNNNNNNNNNNNNNNNNNNNNNNNNNNNNNNNNNNNNNNNNNNNNNNNNNNNNNNNNNNNNNNNNNNNNNNNNNNNNNNNNNNNNNNNNNNNNNNNNNNNNNNNNNNNNNNNNNNNNNNNNNNNNNNNNNNNNNNNNNNNNNNNNNNNNNNNNNNNNNNNNNNNNNNNNNNNNNNNNNNNNNNNNNNNNNNNNNNNNNNNNNNNNNNNNNNNNNNNNNNNNNNNNNNNNNNNNNNNNNNNNNNNNNNNNNNNNNNNNNNNNNNNNNNNNNNNNNNNNNNNNNNNNNNNNNNNNNNNNNNNNNNNNNNNNNNNNNNNNNNNNNNNNNNNNNNNNNNNNNNNNNNNNNNNNNNNNNNNNNNNNNNNNNNNNNNNNNAUUGAUGAUGAUUGAAGUUGUGAUUAUGUGAUAAUUGUUUAUCAAAGAUGCAAUGUUGAUUAAGACUGAUUAUGAUGUUAAUUAUGAUUUCGAAUUAUAUUGAUUAAAUUAUUGUGUUAUGAAAUCUCACCCCUUCUGCUUGAAAAUGUUGUUUUUCGUAUGAGUAACUUGCAGGUGAUCGUGCUUAGUGUGCAAUUUGCUGUCGUGAGUGGCCUUGCCUCACUGAGUCGUCUAGGUCGCUCUGUUUUGUAACGGGAUGGGGUUUUGAAUAUGCAUGCUUCAUUCUCUUACGUGACAAUUAUGUUAUUUUUAUGACGUUGUUUAACUGUUGAAAUAUUUGAUGGGGCCUACGUGCCAAAGUGAUUUAUGGAUUUCGAAACAAUUUUCCGCUGCAACGUUUAAGUUAUUUGGUUAAAUUGUUAUUUAACUGAUUUGGAUUAUGUUAAAUGUGAUAUCCCGUUUGUUUAUGUGGUUUACGAGAAAUUUUUAUAUUGGGAAAACGGGGUGUUACAGAAGUGGGAUAGAUUCACAUUCUAUUGUUUGGUUUUGUAAAAAAAAGGAAUAGAAUGGAGUGGAGUGUAAUGGAACUCAUUACAUCCAAUACCACCUAUUUAACCAAUUUUCCAAUUCCUCCCAUUGUGGGGUGUAUGCAAUGAAAUGAAACACAUUAAUAACACAAUUACAAUUUUGUCCCUACUUUUGAUUCCCCUAUUUCAUGUAGGAGCCCCUCAUUUCCAUGAUUUUUUCUCUUCACCCUUUCUUAUUUCAUCUUGCUCUCACUAUACGCAUCUACCUAAUGGAAUGGAAAAUUAGUUUCAUUCCAUCAUAAAAUAUCCAAACAAUGGAAUAAAAUAUUUGUUCUAUUUCAUUCCCCAUUUCGCUUCUUUAAUUUUAAGUUAUUCCAACAGCGCCUAAGGUUUUGAGAUGAAGUUUGGACGGGAUGGGAUGUGAGGGAUUUGAGGGUGGGAAAUAUGAGGAAAAAAGAGAUUUUUUUUCUUCACAUUUUUUAAAAGAAUAGUUUUUAGUGAAUGAGAAAUUAAUGUUUAUAAUUAAUAUACUUUUAAUUUUAAGAAUAUUAUAACAACAAAAGUUAAAUUUGAAGAAUUCAUAUAAACCUUUCAAAAUCACCCAAAACCUUUCUUCCAUACAACAUUUUUAGUAAAAAACCCAUGAGACACGGACGCUGUAAACUUAUUUGUCUCUAGUGAUGAGUGCAAUGAGCUAUGAUUUUGUCUUCUCCGCUCAAAGUGAUUUCAACCUUCAAGCCACCAAAAAUCCUCCCGACAUCAAUAAUCCCCCAACCCCCAAGCUCUUCUUUCGUGACAAACUCUUGGGAUCUUCCCAAGAGCUCCAAACUCGUGAAAAAGAGGACAUGAUUGAGAAGAAACUUGUCCGAAUUGAACUGGAAGAUGGUAACCGCCUGUUACCCAAAGUCUAUAUCGAACCAACAGUUUUUCAAGAACUAUGUACGCCUUGGAAGGAUGCAAUAGUUGUGAAGCUUCUAGGAAAGAAUCUCGGAUACAAUACUAUGCGAGACCGCCUGCAAAGGACUUAGAAGCCACAAGGAGGGUUCGAAAUCAUGGAUAACGAUAACGGUUUCUAUAUGGUGAAGUUUGAUUUGGUUGCUGACAAAGAAAAAGUUAUAACAUGAGGUCCAUGGCUCAUUUUUUAUCAUUGCCUUGCUGUUUCACAUUGGUCGCCAGAAUUCGCCUCCCCGAAUGCCAAAGUAGAUCGCACAGUGGUAUGGGUCAGAUUCCCAGGUCUGAACCUUGUAUACUAUGAUGAAAGCUUCCUUUUAGCAAUGGCUUCUGCGAUCGGAAGACCAAUCAAAGUCGACACAAACACACUGAAAGUUGAAAGAGGAAAAUUUGCAAGAGUGUGUGUCGAAAUUGAUCUCACGGUCCCAGUCGUAGGGAAAAUUUGGGUUAAUGGUCAUUGGUAUAAGGUACAAUAUGAAGGUCUUCAUUUGAUUUGCACAAACUGCGGAUGUUACGGACACCUCGGACGAAACUGCACCGCCAAAACAGCCACCGUCAUCCAGCCAUCACCGCCCCUACAUGCUACCGCCGCCAGCAACUCUGCAGUUUCCGAAAGGCUUGACAAGCACAUUCAAUCGCAUUCAAUGCAGGAUUCCCAAAACGGUAACAGCUCAUUUAUUUCUCCUAUUAAUUUGGAAUCUAAUAAUGGGAAAAUAAUUAGCAUUAAUGAGGAGAAUAAGGAACUCCAUGGGGAUUGGUUACUAGUAACCAGGAAGAAGAAAAUCCCAAUCAGCUCACCUUUAACCUCAGCAAAAAACGGAACAAACAAAAAUAACCGUUUCAGUGUACUAUCAAAUUCCACACAGAAAAUUAAACUUGGCCCACAAAACCCUAAGCUUACCACAUGCCCUAAACAUACAGUUGUUGCACGCACUAGUACUAGUAAACAUGAAUCAAAGAGACGGCGCUCAGAAGAAAGUAACCUUGACCAAACUGUCGACCACCCCAUUGACGCUCCUACCAUUGGCCAAGCUCGCACUACCAAGCCUGACAGACCCACGCACAUGAACGACACACACAUGGAAAUUUCAUUCAUCAACAACUCCCCAAGCUCAACAAAUAACCACGACAAACAAACACCUGAGGCCAAACAAAUACUUGAACCGAUCUCCACCAUGCAAAUUUCCACCAGCCAUCAUCCGGAGAUAAAUUUAGAUCUUAACCAUAACCAAUCACCAACCAAAAACAAUGUUUCAAACUAUGAUACCAGUCUUACUAUGUCAAGGCCUAGUGAUGAUCAAGUGAAAAUCAAUGCAGAAAAACAAGACCUCUUGGAGGAGGACAUGGUAACUUAGUCCCUUCCACUCUUGAUCUAUCAAUCUUUCCUUUUAUCAUGGAAGCUCUUUUUGAUACUACUUUCCUCUCUUGGACCAUAAGAGGGGCACUCAGUAAUAAUUCAAGAAGACACUUGAAAGAUUUGAUCAGAAAGCAUCAACCAACAUUCAUAACCAUCCUUGAAACACAUGUUUCUUUUGCUAAACUUUCAGUUUUUUGGUCUAAUAUGGGUUACACACCUGUACACAUCAUAGAAGCUAACGGUCAUUCUGGAGGAAUUUGCCUCUUUCAACAUUCCCCAAGCAACACCACCACCACCGUCCUUGACUCUAACCAAUACUCCAUAACAAUAAAAAUUAGCCGUGGUAAUGUGACCACUUUCUGCACAUGUAUCUAUGCUAGCCCUAACCAUGCCCAACGUCCCAACCUUUGGAACUACCUCAUGUCCAUCGGCCAAGCUAUGGAUGUCCCCUGGAUGCUCAUAGGAGACUUUAAUGAAANCUAACCAUGCCCAACGUCCCAACCUUUGGAACUACCUCAUGUCCAUCGGCCAAGCUAUGGAUGUCCCCUGGAUGCUCAUAGGAGACUUUAAUGAAACUCUUCUCCCUAGCGAACAAAGAGGUGGAAUUUUUCAUCAUAAUAGAGCAGCAAUUUUCUCUAAUAUUAUGAAUAAUUGCAACCUACUAGACCUCACAACAACGGGUGGUCAUUUCACUUGGCAUCGUAACAACAACGGCAUUCGCACCCUCUCCAAAAAACUUGAAAGAUGCAUAGCAAGUGUGGACUGGCGAGUUUCCUUCCCUGAAGCCUUUGUCGAGGUUCUCUGCAGACUCCACUCCGACCAUAACCCUCUCCUCCUCCGCUUUGGUGGACUCCCAUUAGCUCGAGGGCCUAGGCCUUUCCGCUUUGAGGCAGCUUGGAUAGAUCACAAAGAUUAUGCGGAAAUGGUUAAAAAUUCUUGGAUCCAUCAGAACAACAACAUUACAGAUUGCUUAACAACAAUUCAAGAGAAAUCCAUCAAUUUUAAUCAUGAAGUCUUUGGCAACAUUUUCAAAAGGAAGAAACAUGUAGAAAAUAGGCUCAAGGGAGUUCAAAACUAUCUAGAAAGAGUAGACUCAUAUCGACACACUCUCCUUGAAAAAGAAUUGCAGCAAGAAUACAAUCACAUCCUAUUCCAAGAAGAAAUGCUAUGGUACCAAAAAUCCAGAGAACAAUGGGUUAAAUUUGGCGACAAAAAUAGCUCAAUUUUUCAUGCUCAAACUAUCAUAAGAAGAAAGAGAAAUAGAAUCCAUCGACUUCAGCUCCCUAAUGGCAUAUGGUCUUCAGAUAGCACCAUCCUCCAAGAAGAAGCUCAAAAAUACUUCAAAAAUUUCUUUAGUGGCCACCAAUCACCAACCGCCACCAACUUCCAAGAAGCCACUCCAACAACCAUUACCGACAUUGAAAAGAAUUCUCUCACCAAGCCUAUCACCAAAAAUGAAGUUUUUGUAGCCCUCAACUCCAUGAAAACAUACAAAGCACCUGGCACGGAUGGAUUCCAUUGUAUCUUUUUCAAACAAUAUUGGCAUAUAGUUGGAGAUGACAUCUUCCAUAUGGUCCAUAAAGCCUUCCAAACAGGUAACUUUGAUCCGGAGAUUUCAAACACUCUCAUUGCACUCAUUCCAAAAAUCGAAACCCCCACCACUUACAAAGAUUUUAGACCCAUAAGUCUAUGCAACAUAAUCUACAAGAUUAUCACUAAAGUUCUUGUGCAUCGUCUCAGACCUAUCCUCAGUAAUCUUAUUGGCCCUUGCCAAAGCAGAUUUCUGCCUAGUAGGGGAACUUCUGAUAACUCAAUUGUUUUGCAGGAAAUUAUUCACUUCAUGAGGAAAUCAAAGAGGAAGAAAGGUUAUGUUGCUUUCAAGCUAGACUUGGAGAAAGCAUUCGAUAAUGUCAGAUGGGAUUUCCUUAAUUCUUGCCUUCAGGAAUUUGGUUUUCCAGACAUCACCAUCAAGCUCAUCAUACAUUGUGUCACCUCCUCCACAUUCUCAAUAUUAUGGAAAGGUAACAAAAUGCCCCCUUUCAAGCCCACACAUGGUCUCAGACAAGGUGACCCGCUCUCUCCUUAUCUUUUCAUACUAUGCAUGGAAAAGCUUUCCCUUGCUAUUAAUAACGCUGUGAGUCAAGGAAGUUGGGAACCUAUACACAUAACUAAUGGAGGACCCCAGAUUUCUCACCUUCUCUUUGCAGAUGACGUGCUUCUCUUCACUAAGGCAAAAAAUUCACAAUUUCAUUUCAUCAAUGAUUUGUUUAAUAGAUUUAGCAGGGCAUCAGGUUUGAACAUUAAUAUUUCCAAGUCUAGAGCAUUCUAUUCUUCAGGGACACCGCAAGCGAAGAUCAACAAUCUCACUUCCAUUUCUGGCAUUCGAAGCACAACUUCCCUUGGCAAGUACCUAGGUUUCCCCAUGCUUAAGGGCCGCCCCAAAAGAAGUGAUUUCCAAUUCAUUAUUGAAAAAAUGCAAACUCGGUUGGCUUCUUGGAAAAAUCGUCUUCUUAACAGAACAGGUAGACUCGCUUUAGCGACUUCUGUACUAUCUUCCAUACCUUACUACUACAUGCAAAUUAAUUGGCUCCCACAAAACAUUUGUGACUCCAUUGAUCAAACAACUCGCAAUUUUAUAUGGCAUGGUUCAAAUAAUAAAGGAGUUCAUUUGGUAAGUUGGAAGAAAAUUACAACUCCAAAAAGGUAUGGUGGUUUGGGUAUUAGAACAGCUCGAAAAGCUAAUAAUUGACUUCUUGGAAAGUUAGUUUGGGAUAUGGUCCAAUCUACAAACAAGUUAUGGGUGAAACUUCUUUCUGCUAAAUAUACAACAGGGCCUAACGUCCUUCAAGCGAAAGCUUCCGGCAACAAUUCACCUUCAUGGGCAGCUAUCAUUCGUGCAAAAGACAUUUUCAAAAAUGGCUAUUCUUGGAGGCCGGGCUCCGGUUCCUCCUCGUUUUGGUUAAGCAAUUGGUGUCCCCAUGGUCUCCUUGGUUCUUCGGUCCCCAUUAUUGAUAUUCAUGACAUUCACCUUACGGUUAAGGAUGUGAUAAGCUCCAAUGGCCAACACACCGAAUCUCUCUACACUGCCCUUCCUCACUCAAUAGCUGAUGCCGUUAACAAUUAUCGAGCUACCUUCAAUCCAACGGUUGAAGGUGUCUUCAUUUGGAAUCAUAACAAGAACGGUGUUUACUCUACAAAAAGUGGUUACUCUUGGCUUCUCUCCUUCACGGAAUCACCAAACAUUAUCAGCAACAGUAAUUCUUGGUCUUGGAUUUGGACAUUGCAGGUUCCGGAGAAGUACAAAUUUUUGAUUUGGCUGGCUAUGCAUGACGUGGUGCCUACACUUUAUGUGCUUCAUCAUAGAAACAUGGCUGCGACCGCAACUUGUAGUAGAUGCGGGGAAGAUGACGAAUCCUUUAUGCACUGUAUUCGGGACUGCAAGUUUUCGAAACCCAUCUGGCAGAAGCUUAAUUUCUCGGACUCACACUUCUUCUCCAUCAGCUGCGCAAAAGAAUGGAUAAAAAGCAAUGUUGACAGCAGCCGCUCAAUCAUCUUUCUGGCUUCUCUUUGGUGGAUUUGGCUGCACUGCAACAACAUGUGUUUCAAUAACGAGGUCUGGUCUCUCACGCGUUUGAGCAUUAGCAUCCAUAACUCAACAGAAACAAUCACUAAGAGUUUUCAGUCCACUGCCAUUACUGCUGGUCCUGAUCGCUGGAUUUCAUGGAAUAGCAGAAAUUAUAAUUGCCACAUUCUCAAUGUAGAUGGCAGCUGUCUUGGCACUCCAAUACGUGCCGGUUAUGGAGGUUUAAUCCGCAACAACGCGGGGUUUUUUCUAAAGGGGUUUUCCGGUUUUAUUCAGGCAUCAACAUGCAUUCUCCAAGCUGAACUGACCGCAAUUCUUGAAGGUUUUCGCAUGGCGGUGAACAUGGGAAUUGAGGAGUUAGUCUGCUUCUCAGAUUCUCAACUCUCAGUUAAUCUUGUUUCAGGAGAAGUAUCUAGAUUCCAUGCCUACGCGGUGAUAAUCCAAGAUAUCAAGGAUAUCAUAGCUUCACACCACUUUAAAAUCUCUCACACUCUUAGAGAAGGAAACCAAUGCGCAGAUUUUUUAGCCAAGCUUGGAGCCUCGUCAAAUGCAGCCCUCACGGAGCACCAAACCCCUCCUCUUGAUCUCAUUGACAAGCUUAGAAUUGACGCUAUGGGAACCUAUUUCCUAAGAGCUUAACUUUUCCUUUAUCUUUUCUUUUUGUUAUUUUAGCUUUGUAACCAAAAAAAAAUACAACAUUUUUAGUUCUCCUAAAUGAGAGGAUUUGGUAUUAUGCAAUAAUCCAGCUUAACAUUGAGCUUCUCAUACGUAGCAUUCCAAUUUAUUAUGUCUGAAUUACAAGCAAUCAGAAGUUCAGGACAAGCCUAUAGAAGCUCAAAUUUUUCUAAAUAAAACCAUACCCUACACCGAAUUAGGGCUCUAUGAAGCCUCUAAUACUCGAAACAAUAGAAGAAGCAUCUAGUAAUUGGGGCUCUAAGACUAAGAAGGAGAAGAUGAAAGGAACUAGCUACAAAAUUAAAACAUGUGUUUUCAUUGUUAAGUUCUACAUGAUCAAGUAGAAAUUGUUCCUUGUGACCUUGAAGUAGAAAUUGAAAUGAUAAGUUGCAAAAAUCAUAACUUUCACUAUAUUGUCUGUUGUGAACAUGCCAGCAUACCAGUACAUGAUCAGAAAUGAAUGUCCCAAGAUAACUGUCACUACUACAACGUCUGUCGGCUUCUUUUCCGUUUUCAAAAAUAAAACGGUUUUAUGGUACCCAAACAAAUUUCGUUGCUUUUAUGACAAACGAUAAGAUGUAUGUAUUAUCAUUAGUAUUUAGUUAAAAGAGAAUCAAUUGUACGAUGGAAAGUACAGAUUUAAAAAUUGUGUGAAUAGAGCAGGGUACAAGUAUAUGAUGACUUGGAUAGUUCAUUUCUCAAAAUAAGUUGGCCUGUUUAUUUUAAAAAAAAUUAUUUUUUUUAGUGUUCGUUUUCUAAAAUUUAUGUUCAUUUCCUAAUCUAAGAUGCAAUGAAGAUUGGUUCAAUAGCAAAAACAGGUUUAAAUCAAGGGUUUCCAAAUGAAGAUUGAUACGAAUCAUAAGUAUUUUGAUUCAAAUCAAGGUAGAAAUGAUUCGAAUACUUUUUCUUUUUAAACAAUUUUAAUCUGAAUAAGAAGUUUGAAACACAAGGAGAAUAAACUCGAGACUAAUGAUGAAAUCAAAUUAAGAAGGAUAAAUUUGAUUCGAAUCAAAGCUUCAAAAAUGAAGUUAAACCCGAGGGACAUACUGAUUUUUUAUUCCAAAAUAUGCCGGACAAAAUUUAUUUGAAUCAAGACUUCACAAAUCAAGUUUUUGUGUGAAAAUAAUUUGCAAAACUUAACCCAACAUACAUUAUACUCAAAGCAGGGAGUGCCACACUAGGUAUGAGAGAUUUAGACUAUAGGGUGUUUUACAAACUAAGCUAAGAUAAUGUAACAAAAACUACAUGAUUCAAACUAAACAUCAUCAAAACCAAACCUAGAGGAUUAAGGUAGCAACUACAAUAAGUACAAUUUUUUGGCUAUUAGACCUUCACUCUGACAAUUCUCCUCAAGGUACACUUGUAACGACCUCUGGAUAGUCACAACAUUGAAUAUGGACUGUACAGUCCAGAUUAAUGGCCUGUAACGCCAUGUGUUGGAUCAAGUUGAACUUGGGUUCUAACCUAGAUUAGACCUUGGCUAUGUCCCAAACAGUUGCCUCCAAGACUUUAAGUUGAUGGAGGUAUGUUAUAGCUUGUUUGAAGCUUUCCAUAGUGCGGCCUACGAAAGAGGGGGACCACUUUGUGUGAUCAUGAUCGAUGUUUUUUGGUGAUCACGGCCUUGGUAGCCCUCCUAUGACUUUUAGCCUCUCUACUUCACGGGCCUGGUGGUUCAUGGUGGAGAAGGUUGUUGCCUUUGUUGGGCCGUUAGAGCAUGUUGUAUUUGGAGCUGAUUUCACACGCUUUCACUUCCCUAGCUUUGGGCCUUUUGGAGGCCUGCUAGUUGUAAGGAAGUUAGGGUAUCUUUUUUUUUUUUUUUUUUGCUAAACUGCACUUUUCGCCCCCUAUGUUUCAUAAUGUUGCAAUUUUAGUCCCCUAUUAAAAAAAAUAGCUAUUUUGGCCCCUUUCAUCCCAAAAUUGCUCAGAAGAUGCCACGUGUCCCAGAAAAGGGGUCAUAAUCGCAACUUUUUGUAAAGAUAAGGGGUCAAAAAACAUAUUUCCCUUAUGUUAGGGGGUCAAAAGAGCAUAUUUCCCUAAACAUAGGGGGUCACUUUUGCCAUUUUUUUUAAUAGGGGGCCAAAAUUGUAACAUUUUGAAACUUAGGGGGCGAAAAAUGAAGUUUAACCAUUUUUUUUAUUUUGUCAAUCCAGACGUGACAUUGACUCUCCUGAACGUGUCAUUAAACAUAUUCAGAGAGGUGUAAUUUUCGUGUAAUCUUCUCUUUUUUAAAAAUAAAAUAAAAAGCAAGUGUUGAGAGCAGAAAUAAGAUUGUUUUAUUAAUUAUGAUCUUAUAUUCAUUCCCAAUACAAUACUAUAACCUUGUAAUUCCACUUCUAUUAUAUAAAUACUACUAGUUGUUAAUUUUUUCAAUCUGGGACUUCUAAAAAGUCUUACGACUUAAUGUUUACUUUUCAAAUUCCCCCCAAUUCAAACUACGGUUCCAACAAAUGCCAAUAAUAAUUUUAAAAAAUAGAAUAAGGGAUAGAUAGGACACAAAUAACCUAACAAUGUAAAUUAAUAAUGAAUCUAGCCAAUGCUAUUGUACUACGGUAGGUAGUGCAAAAAAUUCAGUGAAAUUAUUCAAAUUUGAACUUGGUUGGGUUUCGUGGUUAUCCUCCAAGGAAAGUUUCGUUUUCUUUAGCAUUAUGAAGUGUUUGUGUGUUCUCAUUCUUACUAACUUGCUGACAUGACAUUAUUCUUUAACAAACAUAUAAAGAAAUAUGACAAUAGAGAUAGUGACCUUUUGAGUAAAAAUAUGUAUUAUGAGUUUGUCGGUAUGCGUGGUAAGAUCAAAUGCAUAAAUGUUUAAGACGCCGGCUGAAUAAAAUAUGGCUACAAGAGGAUAUUUAGAAAAAACAACGAUGCACUUAUAAUGUGAAUCUAAUUUCCUAUACUAAACUAAGUAGUUGUUACACCAGGUUCCAUUUCUUUCUAUUUGUUUCUUACCAAUCAAAUUCAGUAACCUUUAAACAAAUAUCAUAUAGUUGAAUCUUGAACCUUCUUCACAUGUUCAAUGGCUGGUCCAAUUUAGAAAAUAUUAAUGAAGACCUGCUUUGAUAAAUUAUUUAUCAACAAAUUAUUUAUAUACUUAAUUUUUUACACACAAGGAAUUGAGAUGGUGAUAAGUGUCAGAAAAUAGUUAAGAAACAUGUAUAUUUCAGACACAUUGAUUACUUGUUUUGCAAGUUACUUCAUAAAAAGCUUGAAAAUAUUGAACAAUUUUCAAUUUAUGCUCUUUAUAUCUUACCCUAACCUUUUGAGUAGGAAAUUGCAUGUCUGCACACUUAGAAGGCAAUGAAUCAAGAAGAUAUGCAAAGAAAAGCUCGUCAGGGCGAGCUUGGAGCAAGCAAGAGGCAAAUCAAGUCAGAGAGCACCAAAUUCAGGAUUUUUAAAGCUUGCCACAGCAAGACAUGGCGAGGCAGAAGCGACAAGGCUCGCCACAGCGAGCAGGAAGCGAGAACAAGGCGAGGCAAGUCAGAGAGCUCCUAUUUUCAGAAGUCCCUUGCAUGACCAAGCGAGGCCAUGGCGACCUAGUUCGCCAUGGCAAACUCACAGAGAGCUUGCAACGAGCUAAGUCAAAGAGUCCAAAAUCCAUAGAAAUUGGGCUUCACCACAGCGAGCUUGACCCUCACCAUGGCGAACAAAGACGGUUUCAGGCCACUUGUUUACGUGGCAGAAACCCACUGGUGAAGAAAGCUUCGCUCACCAUGGCGAGCCACACAUCGCUCGACAAGAAGUCACUUACUAGAAGUAGUAUAAAAGCCAUUCACUCAUUUCCAGCAAAGUUAUCAUAGACUUUUUAGAGAGAGACAUAUACGAAUCAAAAGGAGAAAUCUUCAUCUUGAUGUUUCCUAUCCAUCUCUUCCGAUUAUGCAAGGUUACCAUGGCAAUGAGUAGCUUAUUCUCAAGUUGUUGGGAUUAGAUGUAAUUGAUCAAACUCAGUAUAUAUUCUUAUUGAUCUAAGCAAUAUAUGAUUCUAGCUAUUCAUGAUAUUUAAUGUUAUUCUUGUUUACUAUGCUUUUGAUUUUAUAGUUUUGAAUUGUUAUUGAAAAUUACUUUUUGAAUCUAGGUUAGAUAACAUCUAUUAAACUCUAAAUACUAGAAAUGGUUUUUGGUUUUGAUAAUCAUAUUAUGUAUCAAAUCUUAAUGUUACUGUAUUGUUUAAUAGGUUGAGAAAUCGUCAAUUAAACAAUAUGUUUGAACUCAAAACAUUAUGUAGACAUAAAUGAUGUUGUCGAAUGAUACGUGGUAAUAUCGAGCGAUAGCUAGAAUCUAUAUGUUUGAUCAUGAAGAUAUAUGCGACGUUUGGUCAAUGAAGUCUAAUCCCAGUAUUUUUAUGUCUCUGUCCAAUCUCGUUUUAUUUACCGCAUAAUAGUUCAAAUAGUUUUCAUAACAAAGAAUCUUAUAAACCCUUAACUUAGAAUGAUAAUCAUUGUUGAAUGGCUUAUAAUAUCGCACUAGUCCAUGUGGAAACGAUAUUAAAAUACUUACUUUUUAUACUAAUGAGUUACUAAUGAAUUAAUAACUGUCGUUGUCGAUAAGUUGUCAUUUGUCAAUGAGUUAUUAAUGAAGAAUUAUGUGGAGUAUUAAUAUUUAUUAAUUGUUGUUGUCCAUGUUGUGAUAAGAUGAUGCGAUGUGUUGUUUAUAUUGUUAUGAGGUGAAGAUUAUGUUAUGUUGUUUAUGAUAUUAUGAGAUGAUGAUUAUGUUUGUGUGUUAAAGAUAAUAUAUAUGAUGUGAUGAUCUAUGAUGGUAUGAUUUGAUUAUUAUGUGCUAAGUUAUGAUGUAUAUAAUGCGAUGAAUAUGAAGUUAAUAAUGAUUAGAAGUUGAUUGAGUUAUUAAUGAAAUAUUAUAAGAAGAUUUAAUGUUUAUUAAUUGAUGAAGUUUAAGUUGUUGAAUGCUUUUGAUGAAUUAUAUGCUUAUUAUUAUUGAAUGUGAAAUCUCACCCCUUAUACUUGGAAAUGUUGCUCUUCGUAUGAGUAACUUGCAGGAGAUCAAGUUUAAGAUGAUAUUAGAUUGCUGUCGUGAGUGGACUAUCUCUCACGUGUGUCUUUAGGUGCUCUGAUACGUAACGGGAUGAGAACUUUGUUGCAUGCUUUUCUAAUCCUUACGUAUUGUUUAUGAAUUUACAAGAUUAAGUUGUUAAUUGAAUUUUUAUGAGAUCUUUUGAUGAGGCCUUCGUGCCAAGACUAUUUUAGAUGUUCAAAUAAAUUCCGCUGCGAAGUUUUUGAAUAUUAUGUUGAUUGAACUUUGAAGGAAAAUUAGUUAAUUAUUCCAUUUAUGAUUUUUAUGAAGUGUGACAUUCAAUAUGUGAUGAUUACUCUGAUUAUUUUAAUGAAAUUUUUAUGUUAGUUAAUUGUAUUGGUCAAUUAGUCCACAAAUUAUUACCUUAUAUGUGUUUGGAUGGAGGAAAUAUUAUGAAGUGAAGAGACGUGAAACAGAAUUAAAAGUCAGGAGAUAUAAAAAGGAAAUGAUAACUUGUGCUCUUAAAUCACAAACUAAUGAUUAAUGAGUCAAAAGUAAAAAUAUUGUGCCAGUAAUCAAUGCAUUUGACUUUGAUUUUUUUUUUUUUAUUUCUAAUUAAUUGAAUGCACAAAAUUUAAAAAAUAAAAAAUAAAAAAAAAUCUAUUUUUAGGUUUCUUAACAUGUGUCCUUAUUUGGAUUGUUGGGUUUGUAGACAUGUGUUAACUACAUUUUGUUAAUACAAUCGGUCUAGCAAGAUGUCUUAAACAUGUUGGUACGACAUCAUAGCGUGCCUUGAUUCCGCCUUCUUGGUUAUUUAUUUUAAAUGUGAAGAUUUCCUGAAUAUUCUCUGAAGAGUUAAUUCACGAAGAGUUGACCAAGAAGCGUGUUUCUAGAAGUAAGGAAAUGCGGUUAUACUUAACUUAGUCCUUAAGAAUGUUGUUGCAACAUUUAAGUAAACAUCGGAUUUGCUUCAGAAAAACCUAUGCUGAUAUCUUGUGAUUCAGCUGAUGAUUAGCCGGAUUUGUGCAUCAAGUUCAUUUCGCAUCAGGCUAUAUAAAGAAAGACUCAAGACCUAAUUGUUCACUGAAGCCGUCAUUUGUAAAAGAGUCAUUUAGGGUUUUAGUCUGUUCUUUGUUAAUUGUGAGUCACUCUUAUAUCAUGUUGAUGCAUUGAGCUGGACUUUGUAGUUGAGUUGUAAUUCUUAGAAAUCACUCAAAGCUUGUAAGCACGAGUUGAUUCACAGGAUUAGGAGAGUGUCUCCAUCUUGUUAUUAUUAAAAGGACGAUCACUGGAUCUGUGAUUAAGAGGAAGUGAGCGGAGGUUCUCAUAUCUAGGACUAGGGAGAGUCUUAGGUAGAAAUAGUGAGCGGAGGUUCUCGUAUCACUUUCUUGGAUUAGAAAGUGUGGCGUCCAUGUCUAUCCAUUCCAUUUCUUCAUUUUUAGUCUUUUCACCAUUUUCACCAACAUUAUUCAGAAUUUGCUUCCGACGGCUCCGUGACACUCAACAUUGUUUGAAUAAAUCCGCAUUGCUACCUUCAAUGACCAUGAUACAAAUAAAGCACUAAACAACUGAAUAAAAUUAUGAAUAUUUGUGGAAUGGUAUAAGUAACAAGCAACGUAUCACUGCACUUGGGCAUUUAAAUGAUGAAUUUAAUACCAGAACAACUUGAUAUCACCAGUCCACUGCAUCACUGAAUCUUAUUGAGUGAAUGUGAUGAUGUUGUGCUUAUUGUACUUGAGAAACAAAAGAAAGAGAUCACAACAUUUCUGACUUGUAUUAUUCUUGUGACCCUCUUAACAAGUUCCUCAAAAAAAGACCUGUCCAAUAUGUUGUUUCAGCACAAAGUUAUUGCAAUAGGCAGGGAAUCAUGAGAAUUUAAAACAAUUAUUCAUUUGAAGGAUUAAACUCUUUCUAUAAAAAAAAUCAACUAAUAAAGAAUUUAUAAUUAGAAAGUAGGUGAAAAGAUUCAUACCGAUUGAACAGCAAGGAUGUUUCUGGUCAUCUUCAUUUUCAUUGUUGGAGCUUAUGCCUUCACACCUGUCAGAAUAUUGAGCACUGAAUUUUAAUUUACCAAUUUCCCUACCAUCCAGAUCCGACUUAUGUUCUAAGUUAUACACAGGUAAGAUCCCACACCCCUUGAUCCCCUCUGUUGACCACCACAAUUCUUCAUUGAGAUCUUGAUGCAUGAAUUGAAAUGAUAGGUUGCAAUCAUUACUUCCAAGUUUUUGUCUGUUGUAAGGAUGCCAACAUAUCAAAACGUGAUCUGAAAUUAAUGCCCCAAUAUAAGCGUCAUGAAUAACAAAACACCUGUCAACUUCUUUGCCGUGUUCAAAGAUAACACAAUUCAGGGGGAGAUUGUGAACAUGGAAGCACUUCGAAACAAUGGUGCAGAAUAUGAAACCAGACAGGUUAGAUUUUGGAAUAGGAGGAAUGGUUAUUGAAGCCUUUGUUGUUUGAAAAUCAAACUUGCGAGGAAUUUGUGCUGACAAAGUAAUUGUUGACAUAUCUUUGGAAUUUUCCAAAGAAGAAAUGGUGGAUUCAAACCUUUCAGGAACAGUUACAGGGCAUUUUCGGACUAUCCUUAUAUCAGAAAACUCACCUCCUAGCAACCUCACAUUGUUGACAAUGCUUAGAAGUUUGUCAGCAUACUCAUUGAUUGUUUCUGACUCCUUCAUCCGCUGCAUCUCAAACUCCCUGAUCAAAUUCAGCACUUGCAUCCCUUUGACUUUCUCAUUUCCUUCAUACUCUUGUUUGAGAAAAUCCCAAAUUGCUUUUGCUGACUUCAGAGCCAUGAUUCUUGUGAAAAUUGCUUCAGAAACAGCAGAAAAUAGAUAAGACUUUGCCUUUGAUUUUCGCUGCUUUCUCUCCUUAUGGUUUCUGAUUUGUGCAAGCGUUGGAUUGUCUGGUAAUGGCUCAACCUCGUAAUCAUCCUCAACAGCCUCCCAAAGAUCAUGAGUAUCAAGAUAAGCCUCCAUUCUGGUUGGCCAUAGGUGAUAAUUCUCACCCUCAAAGAUUGGCAAUUUUAUGGCUGAGUUAUCAGAGUGCAUUUUCAACUCUUUGGUAAGUGUUUGGGUGUUUAGUGGAACUCUCAACCUCACCAGGUCCCUUAAGAACAAGAAUGCUCUUGAUACCACUGUUGGAAUUUAGAAAAGAAAAUUAAGCAGACUUAUGAGUUCUGAAAACUGAAACACACACAUUUCAUUCCUUCUAACAACCUUUAAAUACAAGAAACUCAUAAUCAGAAAUAAACAAAAACAAAAACUGCCUAUAAAUUUGUACCAGAACAACAUAAAUUUGUAACCUCCCAUAAUUCCUAUAAUUAAAAUCAUAACAGUCAUAACCAUAGGAAUACUGCAAUAAACUCUAAUAAUAGGUUCUGAUCCAUAUUCUCAACAAGUUUUAUGCUACUCGUAUGAAAUAUACAAGUCAUGACAUGUAGAAAUCUGGAUAGGUCGUUUUUCUUACCUAUAAUUUUGAGAGUCCCAACCAACUAAAUUAGCUGCCUCAGUGAGAGCGGCUUUCCAUUUAUGCAACUUGUCAUUAUUGUGCUUCAAAUCUCGCUUAUGUUUUGCAAAUGCUUGCUUGUAACUCCCGGUCUGCUUCCUCACAUGUGAUGGAAUGUUGUAAAAAACAGGUAUCACGGUCAAUUCCAUAUAUUGCUUGCAUUCUAGAAUCUUUUUGAGCUCAUUUAAGCACCAUUUUGAAGAAGCAUAGUUUUCUGAGAAGAUGACAAUAGAUGCAUGUGACUCCUCAAUGGCUUUGAUGAGUGCUGGCGAGAUCUCAUCUCCUUUUUGAAGCUCAUUGUUGUCUAUAAAGGUUUCAACUUUCUUUCGGCUCAGAGCAUCAUAAAGAUGGCAUGUGAAGUUUCUGCGGGUAUCCUCACCUCGAAAGCUAAGAAAAACGUCAUAUUUUUUCACAGAUUCCACAGAAGAAGAAAACACUGUUUGUUUGCUUCCUAGCCAUUAAGAAUUCCAAGUGCUGCGCUAAUCACAAUGCUACACUCAAACAUAAAAAAUAUUUGAUGUUUAAAUGUGCUUGUGCUCGGUUACUUUUUGUACUGGCAAUCGUAAUAGUGUUACAUACUGAGAUUCAUAAAUCAGAUUGACAUCAGAUCAGUUAGUUCAAAGUUCCCAUAUUGCUCAUAUAUCAACCUAGAUAAUGUGUAUCUUUUGACCUAGAAAAGCUAUACAAUAUGGCAAUUCCACGGGCCAGAUUCAUUAUUACUUUACAUUCUUGUGCUAUUUAUGUCUAGUUUUAUGUGUGGACUCCCAUGAUGUUUAACCUUGUUGCUUGAAUUGAAUUCUAGGUUUUAUCGGGUUUGCUCUUCAUUAGCCUUUUAAUGUCUCUUCGUUUACUGAGUUUUUUCGUGUUCAAAUCGUAAGUUAUCGGCCAAUUUAGUCAAAAUUUAAUCUCUGUUAAACAUUGAGUAAGUAAUUAACAAAUAUGAAGACUAACAUAUAGCAUUCAUUCUUCAGAACCAAUUUGAUAUUUGUUACUCAAUUUGAAAGACUAAUUUGAAAUAUUUGUCAACAAAAGGUAUGGUCAGUCAAAACUAAUUUUAUCAAUUUAUUGAUUUGAAAAUCUAUGAUCAAUUUGACAAUGAUCUAUGUAAUUAGAGAAACUAGUAGUUAAAUUAAAAUUGAGGGAAAAAAGAUCAUACCAAAGUCAGAAUCCAGCAAUAGUUGAGGAGGAAAAGAGUGUAGAGUGACAGUCACAAUCCCUAAAGGGCUUAGUUUAUGUUGGAAGGAAUGAUGUGCACAACAGUUCAUAAUGCUUUGGUCAUGAUUUUAUAAUGGAUUGAUCAAAAUUAAAAUAUAAAAUAAAAAUAACAAAUUGUUUUUUACUCCUUCAUAGAAGUUUCGUUUCCUAUGGUGGUAAUAUAAUACAAUAACAAUAUUGACUUGGGUUCCAAUCUAGUUGCUAUGAAAGAUGUCAUGACAUUUUUUUUUUUUUGAGAGGGAAAUAUGUCAUGACAUUAUUAUUAGUAUUAGUAUUUUUAUGGAAAAAAUAUUAAGGGGAUUCCAUGCCUCAUUGGGGUCAAGAAAAAACUCAAGGCCUACAAUACAAGAGGAUAUUUUUUCUCAAAAAAAAAAAGAGAUAUUUCAUCAAAAAAAAUAUACAAGAGGAUAUUUAGGAAAACAAUGAUGUACACAUAUAGUGUGAAUCUAGUUUCCUAUGUUAAACGAAAAUAAUUGGUGCAUAAGGUUCCAUUGCCUCUUUCUAUAGUGUGAAUCUAAUCUCCUAAGCUUUCAUCACCAUAACUUGACCACAAGGUUUAUUACUUUUGAAGAACCUGCAACAAAUUUGAAAAACUAUAGAAUUCAGCUCCAUGGAUAUAUCUUGUAUAAACCAUAGACAAAACCAUAGAUUUCAGCUUAUUAAGCCAAAACCCAAUAAGACUAGUAAAAGAGACAAAAUCAAAACCAGAAAUCCUCCUAAGCCUAUAACCAGAAAAUGAUACUUUUGAUAUGAGCCCAGAUCAGACCCUGCUACUAACUAUCAAUAAACAGGCAACAACGUAGACAAACUUGCACUGAUAUCAAUAACCUCAGACCAACAUACAAUAGCAAAAAAAAAUAUUAUUGAACCAAAAAAUCAAAACAAUACUCAAAAUUGAGCAACGAAACAGAAUAGAACACUCCAAAACCUAAGAAUCCUUCAACCAUCAUAAUAACAAACAAAAACACAUCCCAGAUAUUACCUAGUCUGAUAUCAAUAACCUCAGAGUACUAUUCAGUUCCAUAUUGCAUUGUAUAUUUAAUUCCAUAAUACAUAUUCAAUUCCUUAAUCAUGCACAUAGAUCAUAAAGUUGAAUUACCUUUUGUUUUCCCUAUUGAACCGCCACGCAAAAGUUUCACUUCUCUGAAUUAAUUUAAAGUUCUACCAUAAUUGAAUCCAUGUCAAAUUUGAGUUCCUGCGUAAAACACUGUAACGUUGAAGUUACAUAUUAAAGUUCUACCAUAUUGCCAUUCUUUUUUACUGCUUCAUCCUACAAAGCAGAGAUGUGAAUGUUUGUUUAAUGAUAUGAAAGAUAUUUGAGUUCAAAGAUGGAAUUAGCACCAAAAACACACAUGAACGUGAAAUCUUUUCAAAUGGGAUUCGUUCUGCAAAUCCUCUAAAUUCCUGUCAAUCAAAAUAUUCACAACCAGCACAGGUGAAAAAUGAGAACAGAAGUUCCACAAAUGCAGGUUAAGGGCCUCUUUGGUUGUAUUCUUAAUUUUUCGUCUAUUCAAAUGGAAACAAACUUCUGAAAAGAAUUGAAUUCUAGAAACAUGAGAAUUUUAAAAACAAUUCUUCAAGUGAAGGAUUUAAAUCUUUCAAUAAAAUAAACUAAACCAGCAUGGAAGGUAUGAUUGUAAAAUGGAAAUUAUACAGUGCUACAAUCAAAGUAAUUAACGGCUACUAACUAGCAUAACCUCUACGAAUUAGAGAGCUUCUGCCAUGUUUAAAGAUACAAACAUACAAUUACACAUUGUGAUAAUAAGAAGGUUGUUCCUAACCAUCUUCAGUUUCAUUGUUAUAGCUUCUGCCUUCACCUCUAAUUGCUAUAGACACAUCAGAGUCUUGAGCAAUGGAUUUUAAUUUACCAAUUUAAUUACUAAUGCUACUACCCCAAUAUUCCCAUACAGGUAAGACCCCACACCCCUUUAUCCCCUCCUUUGACCACCACAAUUCUUCAUUGGGAUCUUGAUGUAUGAAUUGAAAUGAUAAGUUGUAAAUAUCAUUACUUCCAUUUUCUUGUCUGUUGUAACCAUGCCAGCAUAUCAAUACAUGAUCUGAAAUUAAUGUCCCGAGAUAAUUGUGACUAAUACGAGAUCUGUCGACUUCUUUUCCGCAUUCCAAGAUGAUACAAUGAAGGGCAUGAUGGUUAAUAGUGAAGUCAGAUUUUGGAAUAGGAAGAAUAGUUAUUGAAGCCUCAGUUGUCUGAAAAUCAAAAUAUAAUGGAACUUGUGCUCCGGGCAGGAAAGAGAAAGCAUCGAUAACACCUUCAUCUUCAAUAGAACGGUCUUCAAUGAACUUUUGUGACCUGUUACUAAGCAAUGACCAUUGUAUGAAGUCUGUGUCCAGAUAAGUGCAAUUAACAGCUUUUAAAUAUAACAGGGAUAAUAGAAGCUCUGUCAGAGACACAAGUUUCCUGCAAUCGUCUAAUUCAAGCCAUUCUAGCAUUAUAUGGUUUUGUAUGUUCUCAGGGAGACAUUCUAAGUUGCAACACUCAUUCAAUUUUAGCCGUUUUAAAGAUCGUAUACCAUCAAGUAUGGACCAUAGACUUAAUGCAUUGAUUUCUGUGCACCCUGAAAGGUCUAGCUGUGUAACAGACCCCAGUCCAUGAUCAUCUGAUAACUUAUUCCCAACAAUGUUAAGCUUGUUACACUUAGUUAUGGAAAGAGAAGUAAGUUUGGUAUUACGCCAAAUCGAUGAAGACAACUCACGUAUAGCAGUGCCACGUAAGAAUAACUCUGUAAUUUCCUCCAAUGUAACCGAAAAUUCUGUGAGAGAUGAACAACCAUCCAGUAAGAGUUCACGAAGAGAUUUUGAAUGAAUGUUCGUUUUAAGGCUUUCAAUAGUAAUGCAACCUCCUAAAUCUAGAAAUGUAAGUCGAGGGAGAGAAAAGAUGGAUGGAUGGAGCUGACGCAAGCUUUCACAUUGACAGAGAGAUGCUCUUCCAAGAUUUGUAGCCCUAGAUAAGUCGGGGAUCUCAAUCAGAUCUUUGGAGUAAUUAAGGCAGAUUGUGAUUAGAUUUUACAAGAUUCUGUAACAAGAAAUAAACAUGCAUAAGUGUUGAUUAAAAGAGAAACAAAACCUAGUUAAGAAUAAAUAGAGGCAUGUCAUCCUAGCUCUGCUACAAUUUUGUGAAUAGCACGAGACUCCUCUUGUACCUUUAUAAAGUUAACAAGUAUAUCCAAACAUAUUUGUACCUGAACUCCAUCUCAGAGAUUUUUAAGCUUGCUAUGAGUCAUGCUAAGCUCUACAAGCAUUUCAGCACAAAAGUUUGAUGGAAAAGACUAAAGACAAUAUCCCUCCCAUUGAAGGUACCUCAAUUUAUCAGAAAGCCACUCGAGACCAUCAGGAAAAUGUACAUUGCAUAUGCUCCCGUUGGAUAUAUUAUGAAUCUUAAGAUAUCUUAAGUUUGCCAUCCUUCUAAAGGAAUCAGACUUCAAGUAUAGAUCCCCAACUUCCGUAGUAUCGAAUAUUAUACCUUCCACAACUUCAGUUCCCUGACAACAAAAAUUAGAUUAAUAAUUAGGAAAGGCUGUCAUAUGUACUUUCAUUGUUAUAUUUUAUAAUUACAUACAUAUAUUUUCAUAUAUAUAUAUAAGUGAUUGCAUCCUCUGCUUACCUUGUUUUCUUUUAAUAUAUCAGAUAUUUCUUUAGCUCUCCACAACCGACUUCGUUUUCCAGGGUUUAUAGAUUCUUGAUUAACAAUCUCCCGUCCCAUUUCUUGUAACAAAUCAUGCAUAUGUAAACUAUCAACUUCAAACUUGGCAUACGAGUGCCAAUUUGGUUUUACUUGUAUGAGAGCUUUAUCUAAAAGGACUUCUAUCCCACUUUCUGCAAAGAACUUACAAGCUUCCAACAAAUCUAUUAUAAAUAUUUUAUGCUCUCCUCUCAAAAAGCAUGCAAUAUCUAAAAAUAUGGCCUUUUAAAAAAAAUCUAAGUCAUCAUAACUGAAUUUUAACACGGUAUAAAUUUUCCUAUUUGGAAUCUUUUCGAGCUUUUUCAAUUCAUUUUCCCAUGCCUCUUUGCCUCUUGAGCGGAGAUUUUCCCCUAAAACUUUUAAAGCCAGAGGAUUGCCUUUGCAAUAGGCAAUUACACUUUCUGAUAGAUCUUCACAUCCAAUUUUAGACUGUUUUUCUCCGAAGGCAUUCAAACUGAGUAGCUGAAGAGAAUCAUGGUUGUUCAAUUCCUUGACCUCAUAUAUCUCACAUUUACUGAACUGACUAAAUAUGUGCUUAUCUCUAGUUGUCAUAAUGACCCUACUACCCGGUCCCAGCCCAUCAAUUUUUAGGAUAAGAUCUUCUAUUUGCUCUAAGGUUUCUCUGCCAUCCAACACAAUUAAAACUUUUUUACGUGAAAUCCUUCUCUUGGAGAAAGUGGCUUCUAUGUAGGAUGCAUCAGGAUGAAUAUUUUCCUCCUCUAACAAUGAGGAUAAAAGUUUAUUGUAUACAACAUUAUGUCCAUACCUGUUUGAUUCAUCAAUUACAUUGAGAAAGCAACAACCUUCAAAUUGAGAAUAAAUUAUAGCAUAUGAAGCCCUAGCAAGAGUGGUCUUUCCUAUGCCACCCAUGCCCCAUAUUCCAAGGACUCUAACAUCAUUUGAGCCAAUUUUCAGUAUUGACUCAAUUUGGUCAUAAUUUUUCUCAACUCCAACAAGCCCCUUAAUUUCACAUGGGUAUCUAAGAUUCAGUUUCCGCAAAACAUUUUUAACAAUGUCCUUAAUGAAGUCCGAUUCGAUCCUAGAAUAUGAACGAGGGGAAGAAGAUUUUACAAGUCUAACAAAUACAAUAGUAGAAAAGUACAUCUAUAUGAUUAGUAUACAAAAUUUAUAGUCAAUAAGGUGACAGUGGCUUAGUAGAGCAAGAAACAAACAAAAAUUAGAUUUGGGGAAACAAAAUACCAAAGACACAAGGUAAUAAAUGUAUAUUUUCUAUGACUUUGGUAGUUUUCAGAAGGUUGUGUCAACUAUUACUUUGGCCUGUUUAUUUUCAAAAAUUAUUUUUAGUGUUUGUUUUCUAAAAUUUAUGUUCAUUUCCAAUUAAGAAUAUGGAGAUGAAAGACUCAUGUAGUAAAUAGCUGUGCUAUAUUAGAAAACAAAACAUGUAAAUGAUAUGAAAUAGUUUAUUUAUUUUACUUCGAAUUUUUUCGUUUUGUUUACCUGUAAUUUUGAGAGUCCCAACCAACUAAACUAGCUGCCUCAGUGAGUGCAUCUUUCCAUUCCUGUAACUUGUCAUUAUUGCUCUUCAAAUCUCGCUUAUGUUUUGCGAAGGCUUGCUUGUAACUCCCAGUCUGCUUCCUCACAUGUGAUGGAUCUAUGUUGUAAAAAACAGGUAUCACAAUCUGUACCAUAUAUUUCUUGCAUUCAAGAAUCUUUUUGAGCUCAUUCAAGCACCAUUUUGAGGAAGCAUAGUUUUCUGAGAAGAUGACAAUAGACACAUGUGACUCCUCAAUGGCUCUGAUGAGUGCUGGCGAUAUCUUAUCUCCUUUUUGAAGCUCAUUGUUGUCUAUAAAGGUUUCAACUUUCUUUCGGCUCCGAGCAUCAUAAAGAUGGCAUGUGAAGUUUCUGCGGGUAUCCUCACCUCGAAAGCUAAGAAAAACGUCAUAUUUUUUCACAGAUGCCACAGAAGAAGAAAAAACACUGUUUGUUUGCUUCCUAGCCAUUAUGAAUUCCAAGCGCUGCGCUAAUCACAAUGCUACACUCAAACAUAAAAAAUAUUUGAUGUUUAAAUUUGUUCUCGGUUACUUUUUGUACUGGCACUCGUGAUAGUGUUACAUAUUGAGAUUUAUAAAUCAGAUUGACAUCAGAUCAGGCAGUUCAAAGUCCACAUAUUGCUCAUAUAUCGACCUAGGUAAUGUGUAUUUUUUGAUCUAGGAAAGCNACAAUUGUAAAUCCCGCCUUAUUUGCUUGACGACGCACCCACUCAAGCAAUUCAUCUCUAUCUUUCGACAUAACGUCGUCUGACAAAAAAACUAGCCGUGUCGACCUCGUGGGCUUGAAGUGGGAGGACACCGGAGCCGCCAACAUACUUUGAAGCUUCAACAUGGAAGGAAGCUCCAUCAAUGUUUGAUUUCGCUUCACUUUAGGCGGUUUGACAUCUCCGGAAAUUUCGACAAAAUUUUGUUUUGUCUCUCCCGAAACAUCUUCCGCGUUCUCUACCAUUACUAUAAUUAAACAACACAUAAAUAUGAAUUAACAACUAACUAAUGUAUAAACAUCAAUGCCAUAAUGAAUUAAAACAAAAAAACAAAAAAAAGAAUUUUUUUUUUGAAAAACUGGCAGUAGCUGCCAUUUUUUCGAUGUGAAAAUUUUUCACAAGAGUUCCUCGGCACCUUACUACCGAGGUUUUCCUCGGCACUACACUAUCGACGUUUUCCUCGGCAAUUAACUGCCGAGGAUUCCCAUGACAAGGUUCUAUGUAACUGACGUAGAUACCCAUAAAAUAGCCCAAAAAUCAAUCGAAUAAAAUGCACAAUACCUAUUUUUUACGUCAAAACUGUGUUGAUACCUCCUAUGCUUGAUGCUUGAAUGAUUUUGGAUCAAUAAUUGAUUAAAAAAAAUGGAUUUUGGGAUUGAAUAAUGGAGGUGGAAAUGAAGUUGAUGAAGAAAAUAGUGUGUAGGGGGAGCAGGUGGUUGUUUCAUCUGAUGAAACAUUCUCUCGGCAGUUAACUGCAGCCGGAAUUCAAAUUCCUCGGCAGUUAACUGCCGAGGGGGUAAAAUCGUAUUUUACUAGUGUGUCACAGCCUUAUCAAAUGUGGGAACAACAAUUCUCAUUUGUUUAAGGUGAUGGUGAAAAGAAGGUGAAGAAAGGGAGAAAUAAUUAGGUGUUUUUGACUCACCGUAAGAUAAAAUACACCUGUAUAAUUGAAUGAUCAUCUUUUUAAAAAAACAUAUCAAGGGUUUAAAUUAAAAAUUUUCAUAAGGUCUAUGGUGGACUACUUUUAAGAUUGAUUCACAAUAGACAUUUGGGGGUUAAACUUAACACCAAUGAUUUAUUUGGCAAACAGAAGAAAAGAUGAAGGACUUAAAGGUACGUUUUAUUAAUUUUGGGACCAAAAUGAAAAGUUAAAAUUAAUUAAGGGAUCAUUGGAUCAAAUAAACCUAACAUUAACCAAGAGGAAGAAAUUUCGGAUAACGUAUAACAAAUGAUGUUAAAGUGACGGAUUGCAUUACUAUCCAGUAACAAUAAGAUUAGCAGAAUUAAUAAUAGGAACGUAGUUUUAUAUUUGUUUGUUAUGUUCUGAGUAAUAAUAGAUAAUUUAGUUGUAUAUCCUUACAUAUAAAUAACUUCGUAUUUUUUUUUGUCAAUUGUUUAGUGGUUAAAACUCACACAUUUUUUAUUAAAAAAAAAAAAAAAACUAAGAUAAGAAAAUGGGGUUAAGAUGACCGGUUCCAAUCUACUUUCUAUCAACAAAAAAAUGGGUUUAUGCCCCGCUAAAUAAAAUAACAAUAAUAAAAUAAAUAUAAUAACCAUAUUAAUUAAUAAAUAACAAAGAUAAGAAAUGGGAUUAAGAAAGGAAGGAAGGAAAAAUCCAAAGUGUCUUCUAGGAGCAAAGGUGUCAUGACAUUAUUAUUAGUAUUUUAUGGAACAAUAUUUAGGGUAGCAUGCCUCAUUCUAGUUUAAGAAAAAAUUCAAGGUUCAAUAAAUGCUUGCAUAAAUACUUACAUACUAUUCAUUAAUUAAAUAUAAGUUGCAUUCUUACAAAAUUGCUGACAUGACAUUAUUCUUUAACAAGCAUACAAAGAAAUAUGACAUUAGAGAUAGUGACCCUUUAAGUAAAAAUAUGUACAUCCUCCGAUUAUAAAAAAAUUAAUAUUUUAUAUUCAUUCAUUAAAUUAUGUUUCAUUAAAUUAUGUAUGUGGUUAAUAAUAAAGACUAUAUACAUCAUUUAAUGAAUGAAUCUAAAAUGUUAAUUUUUGCCUAUAAUAAUAAUAUAAUAAUAAUCGGAGGAUGUAUUAUGAAUUUGUCAAUAUGCGUGGUCAGAUCAGAUGCAUAAAAAAUAAAACUUACAUUGUGAAUUCAAUUUCCUAUAUUAAAACUUACAGUGUGAAUCUAAUUUCCUGUAUUAAAACUUAAGGUGUGAAUCUAAUUUUCUAUAUUAAAGUAAAUAGUUGUUACAUGAGGUCCAUUUCUUUUUAUUUGUUUCUUACCAAUCAAUUUCAGUAACCUUUAAACAAAUGUCAUAUUGUUGAAUCGUGAACUUUCUUCACACGUUCAAUGGCUGGUCCAAUUGAGAAAAUAUUAAUGAAUACAUGCUUUGAUAAAUUAUUUAUCAAAAACUGAUUUAUAUACUUUUUAUACACAAGGAAUUGAGUUGGACAAACCCCUUCACUCCGACCUCAUCCCCCAACCUCUCUCACUGCCAAUUUCAAGUGUGUUUAGCUGAGAAAAAGUUAUGUAAUAUUUUGAGGAAAUUCAAAUUCUUUUAAAUAAAUUUUGUUUGUUUGAAUGAUUAAAUUUAGAGAAUUUAUCAUAUUAAUGAAAUUCUAUGAAGUAUUAUGUUAAGUUAAAUUGAGUGAAUUUCAAAUGAUAUCUAAGGUUUAAGAAUUUCAAAUUUCCUACUAGAUAUAUAUUUCAAAAUUUCCAAGUUGGUCCCCAUAUUUUUCAAAAAAAAUAAAUUGACCCUUAAAUAUUUAAAAUAAAUUGCAAAUUGAUCCUUACAAUUUCUUGAAAAUUAUAAAUUGACCACUUUCAAUUUUUGAAAUCUACAAAUCAGCCCUCUAUUUUUCAAUUUUCAAAUUUGGCCCAAAAUUUUAGAAUAUAUAAAAGUAAGUAGCACAAAAAUAUAACUGAAGUAUUUUAUCACUGUAUCCAAACAAAAAUAUUUAAAAAUAAAGGCAUCUAGCGUCGAUCAUCUCACAAGGUGUUGGGAUGAUUUAUACCGCCGCUUUGAAAAUUAGAACUCUAAGACUAAGAAGGAAAAGAUGAAGGGAACUUGCUACAAAUGGUAUUAUUAAUGUGGCUUGGUGGAACUCUUUACCCUUCUUUACUAGGGAUGACUUUUAUAAAGACCGCUAUGAAUUUUUAAAUUAUCGUUCUCCAUAUCUCUUUGUAUUUUAAUUUGGUUUAUGUUUUGGUUUGGUCCUCCUCUGGUACGGUUUUUCAUUUUUUCAAUAAAUUUUUAGAUCAAGCUGACAUAGGAUGUGGUGAUUUUGAAGUGUCAACAUAGUUGAGAUGUCAAACCUUCUUUUUCAUUGUUGGAGCUUAUGACUUCACCUCCAAUUGCUGAAGGCUGUAACUCAUUAUAAUUUUCCUGCCCACCAGAAUAUUGAGCACUGAAUUUUAAUUUACCAAUUUCCCUACCAUCCAGAUCUGACUUAUGUUCUAAGUUAUAUACAGGUAAGACCCCACACCCCUUUAUCCCCUCCGUUGACCACCACAAUUCUUCAUUGACAUCAUGAUCUGAAAUUAAUACAUGAUCUGAAAUUAAUGUCCCAAUAUAAUUGCAAGCAAAAGUAAAACACGUUUCAACUUCUUUGCCGUUUUCAAAGAUGACACAAUGCAGGGGGUGAUUGCAAAUAUGGAAGCCCUUAGAAAGAAUGGUGCAGAAUAUGAAACCAGACAGGUUAUAUUUUGGAAUAGGAGGAAUGGUUAUUGAAGCCUUUAUUGUUUGAAAAUCAAACUUGCGAGGAACUUGUGCUCCUGGCAAGAUAGAGAAAUAAAAAUCAUCAUGUUCAUUUGCAUGAAAAGGGUAUUUAGAGAAGAUUUGUACCAUGUUCUCAAGAAAUGACCGUUGAGUGGAGUCUGUGUCCAGAUAAGUGCAAUUAAUGGCACUCAAAGAUAAUAGGGAUGGCGGAAGCUCUGUUACAGACACAAGUUUCCUGCAAUCAUCUAAAGCUAGACUUUUUAGCAUUGAAUGGUUUUGUAUGUUCUCGGGGAGACAUUCCAUGUUGCAACACUCAUGCAAUGAGAGCCAUUUUAAAGACUGUAUGCCAUCAAGGAUAGACCACAGACUUAAUGCAUUGAUUUCUGUGCACCCUAAAAGGUCUAGCUCGGUAACAGACCCAAGUCCAUGAUCAUUUGUUAACUUAUUCCCAACAAUGUUAAGCUUGUUACACUCGGAUAGGCCAAGCGAAGUAAGUUUUCUGUUACGCCAAAUCGAUGAAGACAAUUCACGUAUAGCAGUGCCACCUAAGGUCAACUCUGUCAUUUCAUCUGAUGUCACCGAAAAUUCUGUGAGAGAUGCACAACCAUCGAGUAAGAGUUCACGAAGAGAUUUUGAAUGAAUGUUGGUUUUAAGGCUUUCAAUCUUUUUGCAGUCUCGUAAAUCUAGAUAUCUAAGAUCAGGGAGAGAAAAGAUGGAAGGAUGGAGCUGACCCAGGCUUUCACAUUGAAAAAGAUAUACUCUAUGAAGAUUUGUAGCCUUAGAUAAGUCUGGGAUCUCAAUCAGAUUUUUGGAGGAUUCAAGCCAAAGUAUGUUUAGAUUCACAAGAUUCUGUAAAAAGAAAUAAAAACACCAUUUAAAUUCAUAAAUAGAGAAACUAAACCUAAUUAAGCAUAAAUAGAGACUUUUUAAGAAUGAGCAUUAGACUUCCUCUCAUACUUCAACAAAUUAACAAGUAUAUCCAAACACAUUUGUACCUGAACUCCAUCCCAUAGCUUUUUAAGCUUGCUAUGACUCAAGUGAAGCUCUAUGAGCAUUUCAGCACAAAAGGUUGAUGGCAAAUACUCAAGACAGUAUCCUUCCCAUCGAAGAUACCUCAAUUUAUCAGAAAUCCACUCAAGACCAUCGGGAAAGUACACAUUGCACGUGUUUCCUCUAGAUUUAUUAUAGAUUUUAAGAUAUCUUAAAUUUGUCAUCCUUCUAAAGGAAUUAGACUUCAAGUAAAGAUCCCCCACAUCUGUACUAUCGAAUGUUAUCCCUUCGACAGCUUUAGUUCCCUGAUAAAAAUUAAAUUAAUAAUUAGGAAUGGUUGUCACGUAUACUUUCCUUGUUAUAUUUCAUAAUCAAAUACAUGUGUUAUUUUCAUGUAGAAGUGCUUGCAUCCUCUACUUACCUUGUUAUUUUUCAAUACAUCAGAAAUACAUCAGAUAUCUCAUCAGCUUUCCACAGUCGACUUCGUUUUCCAGGGUCUUCAGAUUCUUGAUUAACAAUUUCCCGUCCCAUUUCUUGUAACAAAUCAUGCAUUUCUAUAAUACAAACUUCCCAUUUGACAUGCAAAAUUGAACCUAGUUGAAUGAGAGCCUUAUCUAGAAGGACUUCUAUCCCACUUAUUGCAAAGAACUCACAAGCUUCCAAUAGAUCUCUUACAAAAGUUUUAUCUUUUCCAUUCAACAAGCAUGCGAUGUCUAGAAAUAUGGCCUUCUGACAAUGAUCUAAAUCAUCAUAACUCAAUUUUAACACAUCAUAAAUCUUUCGAUUGGGAAUCUUUUGGAGCUUUUUCAGUUCAUUUUCCCAUGCUUCUCGGCCCCUUGAACUGAGAUUUGCACCUAAAACUUUUAAAGCCAGAGGGUUACCUUUGCAAUAGGCAAUUACACUAUCUGAUAGAUCUUCAUAUCCAGUUUUAGGAUGUUUUUCUUUGAAGGCAAUCAAACUGAAUAGCUGAAGAGAAUCAGGCUUCUCUAAUUCCUUAACCUCAUAUAUUUCACAUUUACUCAACUGACUAAAUAUCUGCUUAUCUCUAGUUGUAAUAAUGACCCUACUACCUGGUCCUAGACCAUCAAUUUUUAGGAUAAGAUCUUCUAUUUGUUCUAAGGUUUCUACACCAUCCAAAACAAUUAAAACUUUUUUACGCCCAAUCCUUCUCUCGGAGAAAGGGGCUUCUAUGUAGGAUGCAUCAGGAUGAAUAUUUUCUUCCUCUAACAAUGAAGACAGAAGUUUAUUGUGUAGAACAUUGAGUCCAUACUUGUUUGAUUCAUCCAUUACAUUGAGGACGCAACGACCUUCGAAUUGGGAAAAAUGUUUAGCAUAUAAUGUCUUAGCAAGGGUGGUCUUUCCUAUCCCACCCAUGCCCCAUAUUCCAAGUACUCUGACUUCAUUUGACCCAAUUUUCAGCAUUGAUUCAAUUUGUUCGUAAUUUUUCUCAAUUCCAACAAGCCCCUUAAUUUCAUAUGGGUACCUAAUAUUCAGUUUCCGCAAAACAUCUUCAACAAUGUCUUUAAUGAAGUCUGGUUCACUCCUAACAUAUGAAAGAUGGGAAGAAUGUUUUACAACAAAAGAAAAAUGCAUUCAUAUAUAUGAUUAGGACAUAAUAAAAUUUAUAUUCAACAUGGUGGCAGAGUAGAGCACAUAAAGAAAAUCAAUUACGUAAGACACAGAAGAUAAUUAAUGUCUUAUUUUUUUAGGAAGUGAAAUCCUAAAGAAAAUUCCAAAAAAUUGUAUAGAUUUUAAAAAAAUUGUAUGAUAACUAUGGCCAGGCACAUCAACAUCAUUGUUUACUUUCUAAAGUUAUUAUUAGCUUUCAUUUUCUCAAAUUUAUGUUCAUUUCCAAUCACGAAUAUGGAAAUGAAAAACUUGUGUAGUAAAAAAUUGUGCUAUAUUAGAAAACAAAACUUGCAAAUCAUAGGAUAUAGUUUAUUGAUUUACUUAGGAUAGUUCGUUUUACUUACCUAUAAUUUCGAGAGUCCCAACCAACCAAAUUAGCUGCCUCGGUGAGAGAAUCUUUCCAUUUCUUCAACUUGUCAUUAUUGUGCUUCAAAUCUUGCUUAUGUUUUGCAAAGGCUUGCUUGUAACUCCCGGUCUGCUUCCUCACAUGUGAUGGAUCUAUGUUGUAAAAAACUGGUAUCACAAUCUGUUGCAUAUAUUUCUUGCAUUCAAGAAUCUUUUUGAGCUCAUUCAAGCACCAUUUUGAGGAAGCAUAGUUUUCUGAGAAGAUGACAAUAGAUGCAUGUGACUCCUCAAUGGCUUUGAUGAGUGCUGCCGAGAUCUCAUCUCCUUUUCGAAGCUCAUUGUUGUCUAUAAAUGUUUCAACUUUCUUUCGGCUCAAAGCAUCAUAAAGAUGGCUAGUGAAGUUUCUGCGAGUAUCCUCACCUCGAAAGCUAAGAAAAACGUCAUAUUUUUUCUGAGGCACCACAUCAGAAGAAACUAUAGAGGAAAAGGCACUGCUCAUUUUCGGCACGGCAGUUAUGAAUUCCAAGUGCCUGCACUGAUUAGGCCACUAAUCACAAUGCUACAAUAAAAAAGAAGUAAUGUUUAAUUAGAGAAAGUAGUAGAUAAAUUAAAAUUGAGGGAAAAAAGAUUAUACGUACCAAAGUCAGAAUCCAGCUUCAUGCAAUAGAGGAGAAGAAUACUGUAAAAGUUAUAAUCCAGCUUCCGGAAUUAAUUUUGGAUGAGCACACACAAACUCUUCAUAAUGCUUUGGUUGGUCAUGAUGUAUAUUGUAUAUAGAUGUAAUGUGUGGUUAUCCUUCAAGGAAGUUUCGUUUGCUUAAACAUUGUGUUUGGUAGAGGUGAUUUAUGAGAGAGAAAUAGGUGAGAGAGAGAGAUACAAGAGAAAUGUUGUAUUUCUUCAGUUUGCUAAUAUUAUGUUUUAAAAAAUAAUUUGUUAGUUGUCAUUAACUAUUCUGUUAUCAUUUGAAUAGGAGGAAUAUGACCGACAACUUGCCGAGGCUCUUUCUAAAGGGUUAACUGUUGAUCAUAGUUUGGCCCUCCAAAUUUGGACCAAAGUUGCUGGCGAUAAAACCAAAGGAAAAUUAUAUGGUGCCGGUAACUUGACCGCUAACUACCGGAAGGGUGUUGCAACAACCCUCAGAUUUACCCUUAAUCAUGGCGAAGGAUCCUCCCAGCAGCCUGCACUGACCCCUGAGAUGCAUGACCUUAUUCAAAGAUUGACUCAAGAGCAGCUCACCCAGCAAAUGGCGAGACAUGAGGCCGUUGUACAAGAUUUGCUUAGCCGCCAACGAACAUAUGAGGAGCAACUGGCUCAAUUUCGGCAAGCACAUGAGGAUGGGAAUUCAAGUCAGCAAGCGUCAGUUCCAGAUCCCAAUGUAGAGCCUUUUCCAAUUUAUGGCGAAGGUGGAAGCGAAGGAAGCAAGGAGAUUGAGAGCGAUGAUGAGGAGUGAAGUUGGACCCUUAUGAUGUGUUCAUGCAUGUUAUUUUAUUUUGCUUUUAUUAUCUAUGGUGUGUAAUAUUUGGGAAAGUUUGUUAUGCUUCGUGAUACAAUUGCUACUUAUUUGCUACUUAUGGUCUAUAACAUUAUUCCCUAUGAUUUUAAUUUCAUUACUGUUGGACUUAAUAUUUUGUGGGUGCUAUUACUUUAAUUUUUAUUCUUAACUACUUAUUUUAAAGCAAUUAAAUUAAAAAAACCAUGUGUUUUAAAUUAUUUUAAAUGAUUUUAAAAUAAUGAAAUUAAAAAAAGCAAUUUAAAAUCGUUUUUAAAUUUAUUUUAAUAAUUAAUUUUAAUUAUUUUAAUGAAAUUAACGUUUUUAAAAAACAAUUAAAAACCAUUUUUUAAAAAAAUUAUCUCUGCAAUUUGCCAGGGGUAUACCCCUUGCAAUACUCCUGUCAUAUUUUGGGUCAGACUGCAGCUGAUUGACAGCGCGUAAGUUCUGCAGUGCGUCAGAAAAGCCUGCAGUGCGUCAGGUAAGCAGGUUGUUGAGUCAGACAAUUAGUCAGGGCCCUGCCAGGGGUUUUUCCAGGAGUUAUAAGAGGGGUUUAGACAGGAGUGUGUCCCACGCAGAUUUGCAGCCCUGGCAUAGCAAUUUGCUAUGAGCGCAUUUGCCACUGAUUCAACUCCUCACAAAAGCCCUGGCAAAUGGCUUUUUCCCAGGGAUUCUUGCAAUUUCACAAGGAAUCCACCCCUGGCUAAUUGCAGGAUUUCUUGUAGUGUUCAAUUGUUUUUCUCUGCUAUUCUCCCUUGUUCAUAAUUGUGGUUCAAAGUACCAAAGGGAAUGGAUUAGGUAUGACAAUUUAUCAUUAAAUAUUCCAAUUUAAUAAAUGACACAUGUUGAACAUUAUUUGUUGCAUUACUUAAUAACUCUCGGAUGCCAUGCCUCAAAACACAAAUGAAUCAAAUGAUGGUAGUAUUUGGCAAAUAAUUUAUAAUAAUAUCUAGAACGAAAUUUGUUUCUUUAAUUAAUAAGACCUCCAUUGCUGCAAGUGGCAAAGUACUUGGAUCAAUUCAUUGGUUCAGGUUGUAAGGCAUUUGAUCCUUUUUAGCAAGUGAUCAAAGGUUUGAUCUCUGACUCUUGUAUAUGAAAAAAAGAAUCCAAUUAGAAGUAGAGAACUCAUCUUGUAUAUCUCACGGGUUCUCUGACGCAGAUUAAUCACCGCUAAAAUUCUUGUGUUUCUUAUCAACAUUUUCUCAUAACAAUAAGCAUUUUCCAUCAUGUUAAGUCCUUUUCUAUUUAAAAAUGAUCUGCAAUGCUAGGGAGAAUGAUAGAUGGUAAGAAACAUGGAAGUUCCCAACUUCCAAAAGAUCCUACUGAAAGGCAAUAAAUAAGCCUAUGGGUGCUCAAAUAUUGUUCUGAAUGAAAGCAAGUUGAUUACCAAAUAAACUACCCUCCCCAAGUGGAUAGCAUAGGGGCAAGUUCCCAAAUUCAAAUACAUGAAACUAGGAUUAUGUUAAUGAAUACCGAUGUGAUUACUGCAAAACGAAGAAGAACGACAAGUCAUUUAGUUACAAAGCAGAUGUUUGAAGAAAGAGGAGUUCAAGUACCAAGAAACACAACAGAAAACAACUGCAUAAAUUUAGGAAGUUUUCUGCCAUGGUAAAAGUAACAAGCAACCUAUCAUUGCACAGCUUGAUAUCACCAGUCUACUGCAUCAACACAUACUGUUGAGUGAAUGUAAUGAUGUUGUGCUCAUUUUACUUGGGAAACAGGAGAAAGAGACCAAAAAACAUUUCUGACUUCUAUUAUUCUUUUGAUCGUUUUAACAAGUGCCUCAUCAAAGAACCUGUCCAAUGUUAUUGCAACAAGACGAAUAUUAUUUUCUAGAAUCACAAGAUUUUUGAAACAAUUCUUCAUUUUGAAGAUUUUUCAAUUAAAAAAAAAACUAAUAUGGAAUGUAUAACUAGAGAGUGGGUUUUGAGUUUCAUACCUAUUGAACAAGAAGGUUGUUCUUGGUAUUCUUCAUUAUCAUUGUUAGAGCUUCCGACUUCACCUUCAAUUUUUCUUGGCUGUCAUCAAUAUCAUUUUUCAAAUCAAAAUCAAAUUCACCAGAGUCCUGAGCACUGGAUUUUAAUUUUGAUUUAACUAUUUCCUCACGACUACUACUUAUAACAUACAGCUCCGACUCACUUUUCAAGUCAUAUACAGGUAAGACUCCACACCCCUUUAUCCCCUCUGUUGACCACCACAAUUGUUCCUUUUGACCUUGAAGUAGGAACUGAAAUGAUAGGUUGCAAAAGUCAUGACUUCCAGUUUCUUGUUUGUUGUAACCAUUCCAGCAUAUCAAUACAUGAUCUGAAAUUAAUGUCCCAAGAUAUUUGCAACUAAUACGACAUCUGUCGACUUCUUUGCCAAAGUUGCAUGCAACUUCUACACCUGACAAGAGAGAAAAAUGACGAACACCAUCUUCAUCAGGAGUGUCUUUAGAGAAAGUUCGUACCAUGUUCUCAAGCAAUAACCGUUGAGUGGAGUUCAUAUCCAGAUAAUUGCAGUUAACAGCUGUCAAAUAUAACAGGGAUGCUGGAAGCUCUGCUAGAGACACAAGUUUCCUGCAAUCAUCUAAAUCAAGCCAUUUUAGGAUUGAAUGGUUUUGGAUAUUCUCGGGGAGACUUUCUAAGUUGCAGCACUCAUUCAAUAUUAGCUGUUUUAAAGAUUGUAUGCCAUCAAGGAUGGACCAAAGACUUAAUGCAUUGAUUUCUGUGCACCCUGAAAGGUCUAGCUUUGUAACAGACCACAGUCCAUGAUCAUCUCUUAACUUAUUCCCAACAAUUUUAAGCUUGUUACACUCAGAUAGGCCAAGCCAAGUAAGUUUGCUAUUGCGCCAAAUCGAUGAAGACAAUUCACGUAUAGCAGUGCCGCCUAAGGUCAACUCUGUCAUUUCCUCCGAUGUCACCAAAAAUUCUGUGAGAGUUGAACAACCAUCGAGUAAGAGUUCACGAAGAGAUUUUGAAUGAAUGUUGGUUUUAAGGCUUUCAAUCUUUUUGCAACCUCGUAAAUCUAGAUAUCUAAGAUCAGGGAGACAGAAGAUGGAAGGAUGGAGCUGACACAGGCUUUCACAUUGAAAAACACUCCAUGAAGAUUUGUAUCCUUAGAUAAGUCUGGGAUCUCAAUCAGAUCUUUGGAGGAUUCAAGCCGGAGUAUGUUUAGAUUCACAAGAUUCUGUAACAAUAAAUAAACAUGACAUUGCUUAGAAACCAUUAAAUCCAUAAUUAAGCAUAAAUAGAGACUUCUUAAGAAUGUGCAUCAGACUUCCUCUCAUACCUAAAUAAAUUAACACGUACGUAUAUCCAAACACAUUUGUACCUGAACUCCAUCCCAGAGCUUUUUAAGCUUGCUAUGACCCAUGUGAAGCUCUAUGAGCAUUUCAGCACAAAAGGUUGGUGGCAAAGACUCAAGGCAGUAUCCCUCCCACAUAAGGAACCUCAAUUUAUUAGAAAGCCACUCAAGACCGUCGGGAAAGUGCACAUUGCAUGUUCUCCCAUUAGAUAUAUUAUAGAUUUUAAGAUAUCUUAAGUUUGUCAUCCUUCUAAAGGAAUCAGACUUUAAGUAAAGAUUCCCAACUUCUGUACUAUCAAAUGUUAUACCUUCCACAACUCCCGUUCCCUACCAAACAAAAAUCAGAUUAUUAAUUAGGAAAGGAUGUAAUAAAUGUUUGCUUGUUAUAUUUCAUAACCACAAACAUGUGUUUUCAUAUGGAAGUAAUUGCAUUGUCUACUUACCUUGUUUUUUUUCAAUACAUCAGAUAUUUCUUCAGCAUUCCACAAUCGACUUCGUUUUCCAGGGUUCUUAGAUUCUUGAUUAACAAUCUCUCGUCCCAUUUCUUGUAACAAAUCAUGCAUUUCUAUACCAUCAACGUCCGACUUGACAUAAACAUGCCAUAUUUUUUUUAGUUGUAUGAGAGAUUUAUCUAGAAGGACUUCUAUCCCACUUACUGCAAAGAACUCACAAGCUUCCAAAAGUUUUCUUACGAAAGAUUUACUCUCUUCUCUCAGCAAGCAUGCGUUGUCUAGAAAUAUGGCCUUUUGACAACAAUCUAAGUCAUCAUAACUCAAUUUUAAUACAUUGUAAAUUUUCGUAUUGGGAAUCUUUUGGAGCUUUUUCAAUUCAUUUUCCCAUUCAUCUUUGCCUCUUGAACUCAGAUUAGCACCUAAAACUUUUAAAGCCAGAGGAUUGCCUUUGCAAUAGGCAAUUACACUCUCUGAUAGAUCUUCAUAUCCAAUUUUAGGAUGUUUUUCCUUGAAGACAGUCAAACUGAAUAGCUGAAAAGAAUCAUGAUUAUUCAAUUCCUUAACCUCGUAUAUUUCACAUUUACUGAACUGACUAAUUAUGUGCUUAUCUCUAGUUGUAAUAAUGACCCUACUACCGGGUCCCAGCCCAUCAAUUUUUAGGAUAAAAUCUUCUAUUCUCUCUAAGGUUUCCACGCCAUCCAAUACAAUUAUAACUUUUUUAAGCGCAAUCCUUCUUUCGGAGAAAGGGACUUCUAUGUAGGGUGCAUCAGGAUGAAGAUUUUCUUCCUAUAACAAUGAAGAUAAAAGUUUAUUGUAUACAACAUUGAGUCCAUACUUGUUUGAUUCAUCCAUUACAUUGAGGAAGCAACGACCUUCGAAUUGGGAAUAAAGUUUAGCAUAUAAAGUCUUAGCAAGGGUUGUCUUUCCUAUGCCACCCAUGCCCCAUAUUCCAAGGACUUUAACAUCAUUUGACCCAAUUUUCAGCAUUGAUUCAAUUUGUUUAUAAUUUUUCUCAAUUCCAACAAGACCCUUAAUUUCAUAUGGGUAUCUAAGAUUUAGUUUCCUUAAAACAUCUUCAACAAUGUCCUUAAUGAAGUCCACUUCAAUCCUUGCACAUGAAGGAAGGAAAGGUCUUACAAGUCUAACAAAUACAAUAGAAGAAAAAUACAUCUAUAUGAUUAGUAUACAAAUUUGUAGUCAACAUGGUGGCAUUAACAUCUAUUUUUUCUACGAAGUGAAAUCCUAAAGAAAUUCCAAAAAAUCAAAAAUCAAAAAAAGGUUUUUAUGCUACCCAAACGAUAAGAUGAUGUAUUCUUUGUAUUUAGAUUUAAGAGUAUCAAUUGAGUGAUAAGUGUAUGCAGGGUACAAGAAUAUGUUGACUUUGAAGACUCCUACCCUCUUCCCAAUAGUAAAUAACUGUGCUAUAUUAGAAUACAAAACAUGCAAAUGAUAGGAAAUAGUUUAUUGAUUUUACUUUGAAUUUUGGAAACAUACAAGUGAUGAACAUAUCCAAAGCUGGAUAGUUUGUUUUAUUUACCUAUAAUUUUGAGAGUCCCAUCCAACUAAAUUAGCUGCCUCAGUGAGAGAGGCUUUCCAUUUCUCCAACUUGGCAUUAUUGUGCUUCAAAUCUUGCUUAUGUUUUGCAAAGGCUUGCUUGUAACUCCCGGUUUGCUUCCUCACAUGUGAUGGAUCAAUGUUGUAAAAAAUAGGUAUCACGAUCUGUUCCAUAUAUUGCUUGCAUUCUAGAAUCUUUUUGAGAUCAUUCAAACACCAUUUUGAGGAAGCGUAGUUUUCUGAGAAGAUGACAAUAGACACAUGUGACUCCUCAAUGGUUUUGAUGAGUGUUGGUGAGAUCUCAUCUCCUUUUUGAAGGUCAUUGUUGUCUAUGAAGGUUUCAACUUUCUUUCGACUCAAAGCAUCAUAAAGAUGGCUUGUGAAGUUUCUGCGAGUAUCCUCACCUCGAAAGCUAAGAAAAACGUCAUAUUUUUUCGGAGGCCCCACAUAAGAAGAAGAUAUAGAGGAAAAAGCACUGCUCAUUUUCUGCGCGGCGGUUAUGAUUUCCAAAUGCCUGCACUAAGCCACUAAUCACAAUGCUACAAUAAAAAAAAGUAUUGGGCUUCAUAAAUUUGAUUAUCAUUUGGAAUCAUUUUUGGCAGCAUAACAAAAAGAAUGGCAACAUUCAAAGCGAGCCUAACAAAAAUAAGGCAAAUUCUAUAUUACACCCAAUAUAUUUGAGUGUAUCGGUACAUCCACUCUUUAAAUUAAUAGUUAAAUGAGUUUUUUUUUGAAGAAAAAUAUUAUUUUUUAUCAUUUAUUAUUAUAAUAACUAAAUCUUAUUCAUAAAAAAUAUCAACAAAAUAAAAUUAUUAUUUUUUGAAUUUUUAUUGCUCAUAAUUUAUAACAUUUAUUAUUUUUUACGAUAAUAUGUAAAAAAAAAUACUAUGAUUGUCAUAAACAAUGAAAUGAUUUUUUUUUUUUUUAUGAACUGAUGUUAUAUAAAAUAUAACUAUUGACAAAGAGCUAUUUAUUACAUAAAAAAUUAUCGUUAAUUUAUAAAAUUAUGAAGAAGGAGUACCGGUACACCUCACUUUGUGAGUGUACCGUAGAAGUUUCCCAACAAAAUAAUUACAAUAAUAUAGAUGAAUGUCUUGAGACAAUUUAUUUUUGGCGAUUACUUUCUCCACCCUAUAAGGUUCUCACACGUCCUUUUUUUUUUCUUUCCAAAUUGCCCCUUAGAUUUUAGAAAAUGAAAACCAAUUCCAAAUAUAAAUUCCGAAACAUUUCGCUUUAUAAAAGCAAGAUCAGCAACUUCCACCAUUUUACAGUUUUAGUUUUACAAUUUCACUUUCUCUCUCUCUCUCUCACCGAUCCCAUAAUCCUAAAAUAUUGGUCCAAUCUUUGAGUUUUUUUUGCUCAAAAUCAUCACAUUUGAAGCUUUAUCAAACCCCAUAGUGAAGGUUAGGUCUCAUUCCAUCUGCAUACAAGCCUUUGAGUUCGAAUAUUUUUUUUGUGGCAACUGAAUAUGUUUGGAUUAUAAAAUCCAAACUGGAUUGUUGAAGUUCAGAUUUUAUAAUCUGAAGUGUACCUGUAGGCAGAUUUUUGGACAAUUUUGUGGAUUUAUAUUGAUUGCGUUUUACCUGGUUAUGCAUGUUACAAGCAUGGAUCGUGUUGGGCGCACCGUGGGUGAUGGAGAAGCAAUGCAUGUUUAUGUUUGGAGAGAGCGUUUGGAGAGGUUGCAAGCGGAGGGGAGAGUGCCCAGGCGUGGCAAGGGCAGGGAAAGGGCACGCCGUGGUGAUGCUGAUGGCGAGGGAACAUCUCAGGGGAACUAUAUUGAGCUUGAGCCACAGAGGGAGAUAAGAGAAGGUGGAGGGUGAUGUUGAGCAACAGGAGGAGGGUGAUGAAGAGCAGCAUGAGCGUGUGCAGCCAAAGCCAAAGGAGCUUGAUCACUAUCUUGGUGGCCCACACGACUUGACUGUGCUGACCAAGUACCAUGUUCACGUGGUCAGGAUGGCAGUUGAUGAAGUGGUAAGACACUGCACCUUUAAUUUAAUGAAAAUUGAAUUUUUAUGUUUAAUUAAUAAUAAUUGUAAACUUUUUGUUAAUUUUUGUCAUGUAUUAUUUCGAUUACUGUGAAACUGAUGUUAAUUUUUUGUUUUAAAUUUUAGCAGUGCGGUGACAAUUUAAAAUGUGUAAACAACAGGAAGAAGAUAGAAGCGAUACAUAAACCAAAGGUUUAAAUGUAUUUCAUCCUUGCAAUUAAGGGUCGUUUAAAAAUUGGUCCCUGUAUUCGCUAAUCCUUGCAAACUAGCCUUGCAAUAAUUAAUCAUUUAAAAUUUCGUCCUUUGACCAACUUAAUCACUGCCACGUCACUAAUUUGAUGACGUGGCAAUCACUAUCACACAUGAAAUUCCAAUUUUUCUCUUAAGAAGAGGACAAAAUAUUGAAGAAAGAAUUAGAAACUCAGGGGUAAAAUUGGAAUUUCAUGUGUGACAGUGAUUGGCACGUCAUCAAAUUAGUGAUGUGGCAGUGAUUAAGUGGGGAGAGGGACGAAAUUUUAAAUGAUUAAACAAUGCAAGGGUAAAUUGCAAGGAUUAGCGAUUACAGAGACCAAUUUUUAAACGACCCAUAAUUGCAAGGAUGAAAUACAUAUUUAAGCCUAAACCAAACAAGACUCUGAUGGCAAGACUGUGUGGUUUAAGCAUGGGCUGAAAGUCACUGGUCUUCGGUGGCUGCAGGAUAUCAGCUACAGCCAGAUUGAACACGGGCUUUGUUCUGCAAUUGUGGAGAGAUGGCACGAGGAGACAUCGAACUUUCAUCUUCCGUUUGGGGAUAUGAUAGUGGCACUGGAUGAUGUGUCAUGUUUGCUGCAUCUCGCCAUCGAGGGUAUGCUCUUGUCCUAUGAAAGUAUGUCAAGGGGUGAUGUUGUUGAGUUGUUGAUGGAAUUGUUGAGGGUUGAUGCGGGCGAGACAUGGACCGAGGUGGAAAAGAAAAAAGGUGGACAUGCACGGUUUAACUUCUUGAAGGAUAUAUACUUUCAAGGAGCAUGUUCGGGAGGCACAUGAGGUCUACCAUGCUGGUCAGUUUGUUGAGAUGCAGCAGCGGGAGUAUUUUCCAACAGAAGGUAUGGCCUAAACUAAUUUUAUCAAUUUAUUUAUUUCAAAUUCUAUGAUCAAUUUGAAAAUGACCUAUGUAAUUAGAGAAACUAGCAGUUAAAUUAAAAUUGAGGGAAAAAAGAUCAUACCAAAGUCAGAUCAAUCCAGCUUCAUGCAAUAGAGGAGAAAAAGACAGUAUGGCUUAGCUUCUGGUGGAAUCAAAUUUGGAUGAAAAUUAAUUAAGGAUAAACACACACAAACACUUCAUAAUGCCUUGGUCCUGAUGUAUAUACAUGUAAUGGGUCAAAUUUAAAAUAUAAAAUAACAAGUGUGGCUUAGCUUGCUUCCUUUUUGAUGGAGACUACUAGAUAAACUAUGGAAUUGGAUUUCAGAUUAAAAUAUAUGCAAAAUUAAGCUUGUUGUCCUUCAAUUUUGAGUCAUUUUUCAGAUUAUACCUAUUCACGUAUGUAAACACAAGUUAAUUACAAUAGGUGAGUUGCUGAGUGAAAUGUCUUAGGUGCAAUUCCAAGAACAAUUAGAUUAUACCUAUUAAGCUUGUUGUCCUUUAAUUUUGACUAUUUUUCAGAUUAUACCUUUUAGUUUUUCUUUCUUCCUUGAAUAGUUUCUUCAAAUAUUUAUAAUUACCAACAGAAGGUAGAGCCUUGGACUUAUACAAUAUAUAAGUGGCUUAGAUGUAUUCUUGUCUUUCGUUGGUCUAUGAAAUCGUAAAAACAAACACUUUCGUAUAUUUAAUUAAAUUUAAAGGUAAAGUAAAACAUUAAAUUAAUUUUAAAAUCCCUCCCCUCGUGAACCACAUCAAUUAAUGUUUUUAUUUUUUGUGGAAUUUCUAAAUGUUUUAAUUGAUUAGUUUUUUUUUUAAAGAAUGUUUUGAUUGAUUAGUUGUGUAUGUACAAAGCUGUUUUAGACCGUCGACUCGUUAAUCUUAAACCCUUAACAAAAACUGAUUUAGACCGUCGACUCGCUAAUCAAACCAAGUAAUUAAAUUAAAAAAUUACUUUCUGUUGGAGAAAAGAUACUAUUUGGAAUAUGCAUUGGAAAUAAUGAGUAGCAGAGAGAUUACAAACACUAUAUUAUUUUGUGGGAAAACCAAGAUCUUUGAUCUGUAUCAUUUAAAAAGGAAAGACCAUUAACAGAACCAUUAUUAUUCUUCUUAUCUUUAUUUCUUAUGACUCAAAAUCAUGAAACUCAAGUAGCUACUGCAAUAGGGAGAAAAAGAGGAAGAAGACCGACAAUUCAUUUAAUGACGAAGCAGAAGAUGUUAGAAGAAAGCAGCAUUGCUAUCUUCAAUGAUCAAGAACAUUGACACUGUGAUGUGAUCCUAAAAUUCUCUCUCUUGACAAGAAUAAUAAAGUCAUUGUAGAAUAAAAGAACCAAAUUAAUUUUGGGUUCAAAGUUUUAUUUUCGUAGGUCAUUAUAUGUCUGUCUUGUUUUGGCUAUAUCUGGAGCUCUGGAUAUCCGUUUGAGGUGAUCUUUAACUCGUUGGAAAGCUUACGAAAUUCUCUACAUUUCAUCUGUUUGAUUCAAGAGCAAAUUCGGAAUAUUUAAUGGUGCAGAAUGAGCUGUAGGUAGAAGACGUGGUUAAAGUAUGUUAGCUGAAGAAUUAAAGGUGGUGUUUGUGGAAUUGUAACGUCUAGCCAUAAUAAGCCUUCACAAAUCAAUGUGCAAAUGAAUAUGUAACCUUCUCAUGCAUUGAUCAACCACCAACUUUAAAGAUCCAAUUAAAUUGUAACCUCUUUUGUAAUAACUAGCCACCUAGGAAUUAUAACACUAAUUAUGCUAUGAUUGUAAGUUUUUCAGCUUCCAAGCCUAUUUCCUAUAAAAAGGGGGCGAAAAUAAUGAAGGGGACAAGUUGAAUUUAAAAAAAAUAAAAAAUAAAUAGAGAAUUUUAGGAUCACAUCACACUGCUAAGGAAAAUGAAUGGGGAUCUUUACACAAAAUUAUGAAACGCUGCAAACCUGGUUAUAGCUGACUACUUAUACCAACAAUAAAAACAGGAUCAGAUUGAUUAAUACCAGCAAUCACAGCACAGAACUGCUGAAUAAAAUUAGGAAUACUUCUGCAAAGGUAUAAAUUAUAAAGUUUAAAUAUGCCUUUAGUCCUUGCACUUUUAUCAGAUUUUGGCAUUGGUCCCUACACUUUUUUUUGUUUGGAAUUGGUCCCUGCACUUUGUAAAAAUAUUGGUAUUGGUCCCUGCACUUUGUAAAAAUAUUGAUAUUGGUGCCACGUGGCGUGAAAUGAUUGGGCCACGUGGCACUCCGUUGAUUUUGUGUUUUUUUUUUUAACAGAAAGUUAACAGGGGGUCAAUACCAAUAUUUUUACUAAGUGCAGGGACCAAUGCCAAAAUCUGAUGAAAGUGUAGGGACCAAUGACACAUUUAAACCAAAUUAUAAUUAGCACAACGUAUCAUUGCACUUAGGCAUUUAAAUGAUGAAUUUAAUACCAGUCUACUGCAUCACCGAAUCUUUCUGAAUGAAUGCGAUGAUGUUGUGCUUAUUGUAUUUGAGAAACAGGAGAAAGAGAUUACAAUAUUUCCGACUUGUAUUAUUCUUUUGACCCUCUUAGCAAGUGCCUCAAAAAAAGACCUGCCCAAUAUGUUGUUUCAGCAUAAAGUUAUUGCAAUACACCGAGCAUUAUUCACUUGAAGGAUUAAAAUUUUCUAUUAAAUAAAAAAUAUUGAAUCUAUAAUUAUAAAGUCGGUUAAAACUUCAUACCGAUUGAACAAGAAGGUUGUUCCUCUUUGCAUGAAUAGGAAGGUUGUUCCUGGUUAUCUUCAUUUUCAUUGUUAGAGCUUCUGACUUCACCUCCAAUUGCUAUAGACACAUCAGAGUCUUGAGCAAUGGAUUUUAAUUUACCAAUUUCCUUACUAAUGAUACUGCUACCACCACCUUCCAACUCACGUUCUAAGGCAUAUACAGGUAUGACCCCACACCCUUUUAUCCCCUCUGUUGACCACCACAAUUCUUCAUUGGGACCUUGAAGUAUGAAUUUAAAUGAUAAGUUACAAUCAUAACUUCCACUUUCUUGUAUGUUGUAACCAUGCCAACGCAUCAAUACAUGAUCUGAAAUUAAUGUCCCGAGAUAAUUGAAUCUAAUGCGACGUCUGUCGACUUCUUUUCCGCAUUCAAAGAUAAUACAAUGAAGGACAUGGUGGUUAACAGUGAAGCCCUCAGAAAAAAGGAUGCAAAAUAUGAAACCACACAAGUCAGAUUUAGCAAUAGGAAGAAUAGUUAUUGAAGCCUUGAUUGUCUGAAAAUCAAAAUUUAAUGGAAUUUGUGCUCCUGGCAUGAAAGAGAAAGGACGGAUAACACCUUCAUGUUCAAUAGAAGGGUCUUCACAGAACUUUUGUGCCUUGUUCUUAAUCAAUGAAAAUUGUGUGAAGUAUGUGUCCAGAUAUGUGCAAUUAACGGCUGUUAAAUAAAACAGGGAUGGCGGAAUCUCUGUUAGAGACACAAGUUUCCUGCAAUUGUCUAAUUCAAGCCAUUCUAGCAUUGAAUGGUUUUGUAUGUUCUUAGGGAGACAUUCUAAGUUGCAACACUCAUUCAAUUUUAGCCGUUUUAAAGAUUGUAUGCCAUCAAGGAUGGACGACAGACUUAUUGCAUUGAUUUCUGUGCACCCAGAAAGGUCUAGCUCUGUAACAGACCCCAGUCCAUGAUCAUCUGUUAACUUAUUCCCAACAAUAGUAAGCUUGUUACAUCCAGCUAGGUCAAGAACAGUAAGUUUGGUAUUAUGCCAAAUCGAUGAAGUCAAUUCAUGUAUAGAAGUGUCACGUAAGGAUAAUUUUGUCAUUUCCUCCGAUGUCACUGAAAAUUCUGUGAGAGAUGAACAACCAUUGAGUAAGAGUUGACGAAGAGAUUUUGAAUGAAUGUUUGUUUUAAGGCUUUCAAUACUUAUGCAACCUCUUAAGUCUAGAUAUUGAAGUUGAGGGAGAGAAAAGAUGGAUGGAUGGAGUUGACGCAAGCUUUCACAUUCCGAGAGAAGUACAACAACAAGAUUUGUAGCCCUAGAUAAGUCUGGGAUCUCAAUCAGAUCUUUGGAGGAUCGAAGCCAAAGUGUUCUUAGAUUCACAAGAUUCUGUAACAAGAAAUAAACAUCCAUGAGUGUUGAUUAAAAGAGAAACAAAACCUAGUUAAACAUAAAGAGAAACAUCCUAGCUCUGCUGCAAUUUAGUGAAAAACAUUUGUACCUGAACUCCAUCCCAGAGCUUUUUAAGCUUGCUAUGACUCAUGCAAAGAUAUACAAGCAUUUCAGCACAAAAGGUUGAUGGCAAAGACUCAAGACAGUAUCUUACCCAUAGAAGAUACCUCAAUUUAUCAGAAAUCCACUCAAGACCGUCAGGAAAGUACACAUUGCCUGUGCUCCCAUCAGAAUCAUUACAGAUAUGAAGAUAUCUUAAAUUUGUCAUCCUUCUAAAGGAAUCAGACUUCAAGUAAAUAUCCCCAACAUUUGUACUAUGGAACCUUAUACCUUCCACAACUUCAGUUCCCUGACAAAUAAAAAUUAGAUUAAUAAUUAGGAAAGGCUGUCAUGUGUACUUUCCUCGUUAUAUUUUAUAAUCACAUACAUGUUUUUUCGUAUAGAAAUGAUUGCAUUCUCUAGUUACCUUGUUUUCUUUUAAUAUAUCAGAUAUUUCUUCAGCUCUCCAUAACCGACUUCGUUUUCCAGGAUCUUUAGACUCUUGAUUAACAAUCUCCCGUCCCAUUUCUUGUAACAAAUCAUGCAUAUCUAAACCAUCAGUUUCCAAUUUGGCCAACGAGUGCCAAUUUGAUUUUAUUUGUAUGAAAGCUUUAUCUAGAAGGACUUCUAUCCCACUUUCUGCAAAGAACUCACAAGCUUCCAAGAAAUGUAUCACAAACAUUUUAUUCUCUCCUCUCAACAAGCAUGCGAUAUCUAGAAAUAUGUCCUUUUGAAAAAUAUCUAAGUUAUCAUAACUCAAUUUUAACAUAUUGUUAAUUUCCCCAUUUGGAAUCCUUUCGAGCUUUUUCAAUUCAUCUUCCCAUACUUUUUUGCCUCUUGAACGGAGAUUUUUACCUAAAACUUUUAAAGCCAAAGGGUUGCCUCUGCAAUAGGCAAUUACACUUUCCGAUAGAUCUUCAUAUCCAAUUUUAGGCUGUUUUUCUCCGAAGGCAAACAAACUGAAUAGUUGAAGAGAAUCAUGUUUGUUCAAUUCAUUAAACUCAUAUAUUUCACAAUUACUCAACUGACUUAGUAUGUGCUUAUCUCUAGUUGUAAUAAUGACCCUACUACCCAAUCCCAACCCAUAAAUUAUUAGGAUAAGAUCAUCUAAUUAAUCUAAGGUAUCCAAACCAUCCAACACAAUAAAAACUUUUUUAAGUGCAAUCCUUCUCACGGAGAAAGAGGAUUCUAUGUAGGAUGCAUCGGGAUGAAUUUUUUCUUCCUCUAACAAUGAAGACAAAAGUUUAUUGUGUAGACCAUUGACUCCAUACUUGUUUGAUUCAUCCAUUACAUAGUGGAAGCAAAGAACUUCAAAUUGGGAAUAAAGUUUACCAAAUAAAGUCCUAGCAAUGGUGGUCUUUCCUAUGCCACCCAUGCCCCAUAUUCCAAUGAUUAUAACAUCAUUUGACCCAAUUUCCAUCAUUGAUUCAAUUUGUUCGUAAUUUUUCUCAAUUCCAACAAGCCCAUUAAUAUCAUAUGGGUAUCUAGGAUUCAGUUUCCGCAAAACAUCUUCAACAAUGGCUUUAAUGAAGUCUGAGUCACUCCUAACAUAUGAAAGAGGGGAAGAAGGUUUAACAUGUCUACUAAAUACAAUAAAUAAACAUCUAUAUGAUUAGAAAUAUAUACAAAAUUUAUAGUCAACAUGAUGGUAGUGGCGUAGUAGAGCAAAAAAAGAAGCAAAAAUGAGAUUCGAGGAAAUGAAAUACCAAACACACAGUGCAAUUAAAGUCUAUUUUUUCUAGGAAGUGAAAUCCUAAAGAAAAUUAUAAAAAAAUAAAAGUUUUAUGAUACUCGAAGCAUGUGUUGCUACUAUUAAGAUUUUAGUGAUACAAAUAGAAUCAGCCAAAUCGAAGUAAAAAAAAUUGUGAGAUAGUGUAUGAUGACUUUGAUAGUUUUGAGAAGGUCAUCAACUAUGGCCAGGCACAUCAAUGUCAUUGUUCACUUCUCGAAAUAAUUUGGCCUGGUUUACUUUCUAAAAUUAUAUUUCGUCUUCAAUUUCUAAAAUUUAUGUUCAUUUCCAACUACAAAUAUGGAGAUGAAAGACUUAUGAAGUAAACAAUUGUGCUAUAUUAGAAACAAAACAUUCAAAUGAUAGGAAAUAGUUUAUUGAUUUUACUUACCUAUAAUUUCGAGAGUCCCAACCAACUAAAUUAGCUGCAUCAGUGAGAGCAGCUUUCCAUUUCUCCAACUUAUCGUUAUUGUGCUUCAAAUUUCGCUUAUGUUUUGCAAAGGCUUGCUUGUAACUCCCGGUCUGCUUCCUCACAUGUGAUGGAUCUAUGUUGUAAAAAACUGGUAUCACAAUCUGUUCCAUAUAUUUCUUGCAUUCAAGAAUCUUUUUGAGCUCAUUCAAGCACCAUUUUGAGGAAGCAUAGUUUUCUGAGAAGAUGACAAUAGAUGCAUGUGACUCCUCAAUGGCUUUGAUGAGUGCUGCCGAGAUCUCAUCUCCUUUUUGAAGCUCAUUGUUGUCUAUAAAGGUUUCAACUUUCUUUCGGCUCAGAGCGUCGUAAAGAUGGCUAGUGAAGUUUCUGCGAGUAUCCUCACCUCGAAAGCUAAGAAAAACCUCAUAUUUUUUCUUAGGGACCACAUCAGAAGAAGAUACAGAGGAAAAAGCACUGCUCAUUUUCUCCUCGUGACGGUUAUGAAUUCCCAGGGCCUGUACUAAGCCACUAAUCACAAUGCUACAAUAAAAAAAAAAAGUAAUGUUUAUUGUGUUCUUGAUACUUUUGACCACACUCAUUCUCGUUGUAAUUAGAGAAACUAGUUGUUAAAUUAAAAUUAAGAAGAAAAAAGAUCAUACCAAAGUCAGAAUCAAGCUUCAUGCAAGAAGACUUUAAAGUCAUAAAUCCCAACAGUAGUAUGGCUUAGCUUCUGCUGGAAUCAAUUUUAGAUGAAAAUUAAUUAAGGAUAAACACACACAAACACUUCAUAUAGAUGUAAUGAUUCAAAAUUAAAAUAUAAAAUAGUAAGUGUGGUUUCGUGGUUAUCCUUCAAGGAAGUUUCGUGGUUUUAUUUUCAGUUUUUCUUUCUUCCUUUGAAUAGUUUCUUUAAAUAUUCAAAUGUGUACGUCGUGGUGUUCUUCAGAAGGUAUGGCCAUCACAUUAUUCUUUAUAACAACCAUAUAAAAAAAAAAAUGACAUUAUGAAUUUGUCAUCAUGUGUGGUCAGAUCAGAUGCAUAAUGUGUAAGACGCCGGCUGAAUAAAAUAUGGCAACAAGAGAAUAUUUAGACAAACAAUGAUGCACAUAAUAUAGUGUGAAUCUAAUUUCCUAUAUUAAACUAAAUAGUUGUUACAUAAGGUUCCAUUUCUUUCUAUUUGUUUUUUUACCAAUCAAAUUAAGUAACCUUUAAACAAAUAUCAUAUAUAGUUGAACCGUUGAAUCUUGAACCUUAUUCACAUGUUCAAUGGCUGGUCCAAUCAUUUGUUUAAUGGUUGGUCCAAUUUAGAAAAUAUUAAUGAAGACGGCCUGCUUUGAUAAAUUAUUUAUUUAAAAACUUAUUUAUAUCCUUUUUUACUAACAAGGAAUUGAGACGUAACCAAAAAAAAAACAAGGAAUUGAGAUGGCCCUCUUCCGAUCUCAUCCCAACCCCACCAAUGGCCAACUUUAAAGCUAUGUUUGGAUUGGUAGAGAGUGGUGGAAUGGAAUUGAAUGAAGUGGGAUAGAUUCACAUUCUAUUGUUUGGUUUUGUAAAAAAAGGAAUAGAAUGGAAUGUAGUGUAAUGGAACUCAUUGCAUCCAAUACCACCUAUUUAACCAAUUUUCCAGUUCCUCCCAAUUUGGGGUGUAUGCAAUGAAAAAACAACAAUCUUCCUAGUAAAUACUAUAAAACAACAAUCAUCACCAAUGGUGGAAAUUAAUCAACAAAAAUUGAAAAAGACUUCCAUAAAAAUGAGUGCCUCAAAAGUAACCUUCAAAAGAUUCAAUUGAUAAGCAAUAAUCCAGCUUAACAUUGAGCUUCUCAUACGUAGCAUUCCAAUUUAUUAUGUCUGAAUUACAAGCAAUCAGAAGUUGAGGACAAGCCUAUAGAAGCUCAAAUUUUUCUGAAUAAAACCAUACCCUACACCGAAUUAGGGCUCUAUGAAGCCUCUAAUACUCGAAACAAUCGAAGAAGCAUUGGGGCUCUAAGACUAAGAAGGAGAAGAUGAAAAGAAACUAGCUACAAAAUUAAAACAUAUGUUUUCAUUGAUUAAUUACAUUCCUAAAGAUACAACACACUUAUCCCCUCUGUUGAACACCACAAUUGUUCCUUGUGACCUUGAAGUAGAAAUUGAAAUGAUAAGUUGCAAAAAUCAUAAAUUUCACUAUCUUGUCUGUUGUGAACAUGCCAGCAUACCAGUACAUAAUCAGAAAUGAAUGUCCCAAGAUAACUGUCACUAAUACAACGUAUGUCGGCUUCUUUUCCGUUUUCAAAGAUAAUACAGUGAACGGCAUCAGGGGCGGUUCUAAGGCCCGGCGACCCCCGGCUCCGGGCCAAAUUUUUUGUGUAAAUCCCUAUGAAUUUCUUAUAUAAACCCCUAUAAAUUGGGCAAUUUCUUUACAUUUUUUAUUAUUUGCUUGCAAUUUCUUAUGUACGCCCUAUAAAUGUGUUGCAAAAAAAUUUUCCGCCCAGGCUUUACAAUAUUCCUGGCUCCGCCACUGAACGGCAUGGUGGUAAACAUUAAAGCCCUCAGAAAGAAUGAUGGAAAAUAUAAAACUGCACAAAUCAGAUUUUGGAAUAGGAGGAAUAAUUAUUGAAGCCUCUAUUGUCUGAAAAUCAAACAUGCAUGCAAUGGAGUCUUCAGAGAAGGUUUGUAACAUGUUAUUAAAAAAUGACGGUUGAAUGGAGUAUGUGUCCAGAUAACUGCAAUUAACGGCAGGGAUGGUGGAAGCUCUGUUAGAGACACAAUUUUCCUGCAAUCAUCUAAAUCAAGCCAUUCCCAACAUUGAAUGGUUUUGGAUAUUGUCGGGGAGAACAUCUAAGUUGCAACACUCUUUCAAUUUUAGCCGUUUUAAAGACUAUAUACCAUCGAGGAUGGACCACAGACUUAAUGCAUCGAUUUCUGUGCACCCUGAAAGGUCUAGUUCGGUAACAAACCCAAGCCCAUGAUCAUCUGAUAACUUCUUCCCAACAGUGUUGAGCUUGUUACACUCAGUUAGACCAAGAGAAGUAAGUUUGCAAUUACGCCAAAUCGAUAAAGAUAAUUCACGUAUAGCAGUGCCAUGUAAGGAUAACUCUGUCAUUUCCUCUGAUGUCACCGAAAAUUCCAUGAGGGAUGAACAACCAUCAACUAAGAGAGAUUUUGAAUGAAAAUUGGUUUUUAGGCUAUGACUCAUGCAAAUCUCUACAAGCAUUUCAGCACAAAAGGUUGAUGGCAAAGAUUCAAGACAGUAUCCAUCCCAUCGAAGGUACCUCAAUUUAUCAGAAAUCCACUCAAGACCAUCGGGAAAGUACACAUUGCAUGUGCUCCCAUCAGAUAUAUUAUAGAUUUUAAGAUAUCUUAUAUUUUUCAUCCUUCUAAAGGAAUCAGACUUCAAUAAAGAUCCCCAACAUCUGUACAAUGGAACGUUAUACCUUCCACAGCUUCAGUUCCCUAAUAAAAACAUUUUUUUUUAAUAAUUAGGAAUGGUUCCCUGAUGAACUUUCCUUGUUAUAUUUCCCUGACGCAUUUUUGUUAUAAUUAGGAAUUGCAAACUCUAUUACCUUGUUGUUUUUCAAUAAUUCAGAUAUUUCUUCAGCCCUCCACAAUCUACUUCUUUUCCCAGGGUCUUUAGAUUCUUGAUUAACAAUCUCCCGACCCAUUUCUUGUAACAAAACAUGCAUUUCUAUUGUAUCAACAUCCAGAUUUACAUGCCAAAUAAGUUUUAGUUCUAUGAGAGCUUUAUCUAGAAGGACUUCUAUCCCAAUUGUUGCAAAGAAUCGACAAGCUUCCAAUACAUGUUUUACAAAAUCUUUAUGCUCUUCUCUCAACAAGCAUGCGAUAUCUAGAAAUAUGGCCUUUUGACAACAAUCUAAGUCAUCAUAACUCAAUUUUAACACAUUAAAAAUUUUCCUAUUGGGAAUCUUUUGGAGCAUUUUCAAUUCAUUGUCCCAUGCUUCCUUGCUUCUUGAACUCGGAUUUGCACCUAAAACUUUUAUAGCCAGAGGAUUGCCUUUGCAAUAGGCAAUUACACUCUCUGAUAGAUCUUCAUAUCCAAUUUUAGGAUGUUUUUCUCCGAAGAUAGUCAAACUCAAUAGUUGAAGAGAAUCAUGUUUGUUCAAUUCCUUAACCUCACAUAUUUGCACAUUUUGUGAAUUGACUAAAUAUGUGUUUAUAUCUAGUUGUAAUAAUGACCCCACUACCCGGUGCCAGUCCAUCAAUUUUUAGCAUAAGAUCUUCUAUUUGCUCUACAGUUUCUCUACACUAUCCAGCACAAUGUAAAAUUCUUUACGUGCAAUCCUUCUCACAGAGAAAGGGGUUUCUACGUGCAAUAAUUCUCACUCUGUUUUUUUAUUUUUUUAUUUUUUUUUCUUCUUUCUAAUCCUUUGAAUAUCUCCAGGUUCUUACUUUAUUGAAGGAAAUGUAACAUGAAGAAAAUAUAAGGAAAUGUAACAUGAAGCAAAAUUUGAGGAAAGAAAAGUUAGGCCUCAUCCUCAAGUAGUAGGAAUGUAGUCCAAUUUUGAUGGCAAAUUACACCCUAUUUCCAUUAACUUUUCAUCGGUAAGAACCAUGUCAUGGACGAGUCUUCAGAUAAGCAGAGACUUUGAGGGAGGAAUAUCUUUGCUCCAAAGUAGGAGCAAUGUGUUUUUUAAAAGAAUAAGUAUCUUUUAAAAGCUAAAUUUCCAUCAGAGGUUCUUUUCCAAAUCAAAGAAUCUUCACAGUCUUCAUCAGGAAUAGUUGCAGCACAAGCAAGCUAAUAGUAGGGAACAUCAACAGGACAUCACGAAGAAUGUUCCAGUGAAAAUUGGUGAAAUAGUAUUAGUCAGACACUUUUGAAGGGAAAGUGUUGAUAAAUAUAUUUUUCCUUAUAAAUAUAAAAAUAAAUAUUUGUCACCGAUACAAUAAAAAAAAUACACAAGACAAAUAUUCAUAAAAAAUUGGAUUAUUAUUUUUCAUUGAUAAACAAUCUAUGACACAAGAUAUAAACGGAGAAAUAAUUGUCACUAUUAAGCAGUAGUAAUUGACACAAGAUAUAAAUACUUUCAUGUACUUGAAGCUGCUCAUUCUAACCAAGGAAUUUCACUACUUCAACACCAAUGUUGCUCAGAUUUGUUUGCAAACUCAUGCUUACUUUGCUCAGAACCCUUCUCAACAUCCUCUGACCCCUCCAUGAAGUUACAGAAGCAUCAUAGCUCGAUAUCAAACAGUCUAAUGCAUAAACAGAUAUUGCGAUGAAGUAUUGUGCGAGAAACAAUGAGACAGAAAACGUUUCUGACUAUUAUAAUUCUUUGGACCCUCGAUAAAAUACAGCCGGUCAUUAUUUUCUAGAAUCAUGAGAAUUUUAAAACAAUUCUUCAAUUGAAGGAUUUAAAUCUUUUAAUAAAAUAAGCUAAGGUGGAAGGUAUGAUUGAAAAAGUGGAAAUUAUAUAGUGCUACAAUCAAAAUAAUUAACGGCUACUAACUAGCAUAACCUCUAGGAAUUAGAAAGCUUCUGCCUUGUUUAAAGAUACAAACAUACAAUUACACAGACUUGGGUCUAAUUACUUGGCGCCUGCGUCUAACAGAAGGUUGUUCCUCUACUUUGUAAGAAUAAGAAGGUUGUUCCUGAUCAUCUUCAUUUUCAUUGUUAUAGCUUCUGCCUUCACCUCCAAUUGCUAUAGACACAUAAGAGUCUUGAGCAAUGGAUUUUAACUUACCAAUUUCCUUACUAAUGCUACUACCCCAAUAUUCCCAUACAGGUAAGACCCCACACCCCUUUAUCCCCUCCUUUGACCACCGUAAUUCUUCAUUGGGACCUUGAAGUAUGAAUUGAAAUGAUAAGUUGCAAAUAUCAUAACUUCCAUUUUCUUGUCUGUUGUAACCAUGCCAACAUAUCAAUGCAUGAUCUGAAAUUAAUGUCCCAAAAUAAUUGUGACUAAUGCGACGUCUGUUGACUUCUUUUCCGCGUUCAAAAAUAAUACAAUGAAGGGCAUGGUGGUUAAUAGUGAAGCCCUCAGAAAAAAGGAUGCGAAAUAUGAAACCACAUAAGACAGAUUUUUUAAUAGGAAGAAUAGUUAUUGAAGCCUCGAUUGUCUGAAAAUCAAAAAUUAUUGGAUCUUGUGCUCCUGGCAGGAAAGAGAAAGCAUUUAUCACACCUUCUUCAAUAGAAGGGUCUUCAAAGAUCUUUCGUACCAUGUUUUCAAGCAAUGACCAUUGUGUGGAAUCUGUGUCCAGAUAAGUGCAAUUAACAGCUUUAAAAUAUAACAGGGAUGGCGGAAGCUCUAUCAGAGUCACGAGGUUCCUGCAAUCAUCUAAUUCAAGCCAUUCUAGCAUUGAAUGGUUUUGGAUAUUCUCUGGGAGACUUUCUAAGUUGCAACACUCUUUCAAUUUUAGCUGUUUUAAAGAUUGUAUGCCAUCAAGGAUGGACCACAAACUUAAUGCAUUAAUUUCUGUGCACCCUGAAAGGUCUAGUUCCGUAACAAACCCAAGUCCAUGAUCAUCUGAUAACUUAUUCCCGACAAUGUUAAGCUUGUUACAUCCAGUUAGGUUAAUAACAGUCAUUUUGGUAUUACGCCAAAUUGAUGAAGACAAUUGAUGUAUAUCAGUGCCACAUAAGGAUAACUCUGUCAUUUCCUCCGAUGUCACUGAAAAUUCCAUGAGAGAUGAACAACCAUCAAGUUUAAGGUUUCGGAGAGAAUUUGAAUGAAUAUUGGUUUUAAGGCUUUCGAUCUUUAUGCAACCUCCUAAAUCUAGUACAAUAAGUCGAGGGAGAGAAAAGAUGUAUGGAUGGAGAUGACGCAGGCUUUCACAUUUAUAGAGAUGUACUUUUUCAAGAUUUGUAGCCCUAGAUAAGUUUGGGAUCUCAAUCAGAUCUUUGGAGUAAUUAAGGCUAAAUGUGAUUAGAUUCACAAGAUUCUGUAACAAGAAAUAAACAUGCAUUAGUGUCGAUUAAAAGAGAAACAAAACCUAGUUAAGAAUAAACAGAAGCAUGCCAUACUAACUCUGCUGCAUUUUUGUGAAUGACAUUAGACUUCCUCUUGUACCUCUAUAAAGUUAACAAGUACAUCCAAACAUUUUGUACCUGAACUCCAUCCCAGAGCUUUUUAAGCUUGCUAUGAGUCAUGUGAAGCUCUACAAGCAUUUCAGCACAAAAGUUUGAUGGAAAAGACUCAGGACAAUAUCCCUCCCAUUGAAGGUACCUCAAUUUAUCAGAAAGCCACUCGAGACCAUCAGGAAAAUGUACAUUGCAUAUGCUCCCGUUGGAUAUAUUAUGAAUCUUAAGAUAUCUUAAGUUUGUCAUCCUUCUAAAGGAAUCAGACUUCAAGUAUAGAUCCCCAACUUCCGUACUAUCGAAUAUUAUACCUUCCCCAACUUUAGUUCCCUGACAACGAAAAUUAGAUUAAUAAUUAGGAAAGGCUGUCAUAUGUACUUUCAUUGUUAUAUUUUAUAAUUACAUACAUAUAUUUUCAUAUAUAAGUGAUUGCAUCCUCUGCUUACCUUGUUUUCUUUUAAUAUAUCAGAUAUUUCUUUAGCUCUCCACAACCGACUUCGUUUUCCAGGGUUUAUAGAUUCUUGAUUAACAAUCUCCUGUCCCAUUUCUUGUAACAAAUCAUGUAUAUGUAAACUAUCAACUUCCAACUUGGCAUACGAGUGCCAAUUUGGUUUUACUUGUAUGAGAGCUUUAUCUAAAACGACUUCUAUCCCACUUUCUGCAAAGAACUCACAAGCUUCCAACAAAUCUAUUAUAAAUAUUUUAUGCUCUCCUCUCAAAAAGCAUGCAAUAUCUAAAAAUAUGGCCUGUUGAAAAAAAUCUAAGUCAUCAUAACUGAAUUUUAACACGAUAUAAAUUUUCCUAUUUGGAAUCUUUUCGAGCUUUUUCAAUUCAUUUUCCCAUGCCUCUUUGCCUCUUGAGCGGAGAUUUACCCCUAAAACUUUUAAAGCCAGAGGAUUGCCUUUGCAAUAGGCAAUUACACUUUCUGAUAGAUCUUCAUAUCCAAUUUUAGGCUGUUUUCCUCCGAAGGCAUUCAAACUGAAUAGCUGAAGAGAAUCAUGAUUGUUCAAUUACAUGACCUCAUAUAUCUCACAUUUACUGAACUGACUAAAUAUGUGCUUAUCUCUAGUUGUCAUAAUGACCCUACUACCCGGUCCCAGCCCAUCAAUUUUUAGGAUAAGAUCUUCUAUUUGCUCUAAGGUUUCUAUGCCAUCUAACACAAUUAAAACUUUAAUUUUACGUGAAAUCCUUCUCUUGGAUAAAGUGGCUUCUAUGUAGGAUGCAUCAGGAUGAAUAUUUUCCUCCUCUAACAAUGAGGAUAAAAGUUUAUUGUAUACAACAUUAUGUCCAUACCUGUUUGAUUCAUCCAUUACAUUGAGAAAGCAACAACCUUCAAAUUGAGAAUAAAUUAUAGCAUAUGAAGCCCUAGCAAGAGUGGUCUUUCCUAUGCCACCCAUGCCCCAUAUUCCAAGGACUCUAACAUCAUUUGAGCCAAUUUUCAGUAUUGACUCAAUUUGGUCAUAAUUUUUCUCAACUCCAACAAGCCCCUUAAUUUCACAUGGGUAACUAAGAUUCAGUUUCCGCAAAACAUAUUUAACAAUGUCCUUAAUGAAGUCCGAUUCGAUCCUAGAAUAUGAAAGAGAGGAAGAAGAUUUUACAAGUCUAACAAAUACAAUAGUAGAAAAGUACAUCUAUAUGAUUAGUAUACAAAAUUUAUAGUCAAUAAGGUGACAGUGGCUUAGUAGAGCAAGAAACAAACAAAAAUUAGAUUUGGGGAAACAAAAUACCAAAGACACAAGGUAAUAAAUGUAUAUUUUCUAUGACUUUGGUAGUUUUCAGAAGGUUGUGUCAACUAUUACUUUGGCCUGUUUAUUUUCAAAAAUUAUUUUUAGUGUUUGUUUUCUAAAAUUUAUGUUCAUUUCCAAUUAAGAAAAUGGAGAUGAAAGACUCAUGUAGUAAAUAGCUGUGCUAUAUUAGAAAACAAAACAUGUAAAUGAUAUGAAAUAGUUUAUUUAUUUUACUUCGAAUUUUUUCGUUUUGUUUACCUGUAAUUUUGAGAGUCCCAACCAACUAAACUAGCUGCCUCAGUGAGUGCAUCUUUCCAUUCCUGUAACUUGUCAUUAUUGCUCUUCAAAUCUCGCUUAUGUUUUGCGAAGGCUUGCUUGUAACUCCCAGUCUGCUUCCUCACAUGUGAUGGAUCUAUGUUGUAAAAAACAGGUAUCACAAUCUGUACCAUAUAUUUCUUGCAUUCAAGAAUCUUUUUGAGCUCAUUCAAGCACCAUUUUGAGGAAGCAUAGUUUUCUGAGAAGAUGACAAUAGACACAUGUGACUCCUCAAUGGCUCUGAUGAGUGCUGGCGAUAUCUUAUCUCCUUUUUGAAGCUCAUUGUUGUCUAUAAAGGUUUCAACUUUCUUUCGGCUCAGAGCAUCAUAAAGAUGGCAUGUGAAGUUUCUGCGGGUAUCCUCACCUCGAAAGCUAAGAAAAACGUCAUAUUUUUUCACAGAUGCCACAGAAGAAGAAAAAACACUGUUUGUUUGCUUCCUAGCCAUUAUGAAUUCCAAGCGCUGCGCUAAUCACAAUGCUACACUCAAACAUAAAAAAUAUUUGAUGUUUAAAUUUGUUCUCGGUUACUAUUUGUACUGGCACUCGUGAUAGUGUUACAUAUUGAGAUUUAUAAAUCAGAUUGACAUCAGAUCAGGCAGUUCAAAGUCCACAUAUUGCUCAUAUAUCGACCUAGGUAAUGUGUAUUUUUUGAUCUAGGAAAGCUAUAGAAUAUGGCAAUUCCACGGGCCAGAUUAAUUAUUACUUCACAUUCAUAGGCUAUUUAAGUCUAGUUUUAUGUAUGGACUCCAAUCAUGUUUAACCUUGUUGCUUGAAUUGAAUUCUAGGUUUUAUCAGGGUUUCUCUUCAUUAGCCUUUUAAACAUUGAGUAGUAAUUAACAAAUAUGAAGACUAACUUAGCAUUCAUUCUUCAGAACCAAUUUGAAAGACUAAUUUGAAAUAUUUGCCAAUAUUGAUUUCAAAUUCAAGGAUAAAAUUAUGAAUAAACUACAAUUAGAGAAACUAACUAGUUAAAUUAUAAUUGACGGAAAAUAGAUCAUACCAAAGUCAGAAUCCAGCAAUAAUUGAGGAGGAAAAGAAUGUACAAUGACAGUCACAAUCCCAGCAGGGCAAUUAGCUUCUACCGGAAUCAAUAAAUAGCUUCUACCGGAAUCAAAAGCAGGCCUAACCAAAUAAUUCCAAUAAUUUAGAUGAAUGUCUUUAGACACCAAUUUUUUCAUUUUUAAGUGUUUAGGUACAACAGUUCAUAAUGCUUUGGUCGUGAUUUUAUAUGGAUUGAUCAAAAUUAAAAUAUAAAAUAACAUGUGGAUUUCAUGGUUUCCCUUCAUAGAAGUUUCGAUUCCAAUGCGUAGUCAGAUCAGAUGCAUAAAUGUGCAAGACGCCGGCUGAUUAAAAUAUGGCUACAAGAGGAUAUAUAUUUAGAGAGAAUUCAAAUCCUUCUAAGUAAAUUUUAUUGUUUGGAUGAUUAAUUUAGAGAAUUUUUUAAUUUAAUGAAAUUUUAUAAAGUAUUUUGUUCAAGUUAAAUUGAGUGAAUUUCAAAUGACAAAUAAGAUCUAGGAAUUUCAAAUUUCAAGUAUCAUUGUAACAUACAUUUUACUUUGAAAACCUGGUUACUUUUUCUUAUCUAGUUAAAAUAAAUAAAUUUCAAGUAUUGUAAGUGCUGGGUUGAAAGAGAUGUGGUUUGAUCAUUAUGUAGGAUAAAAAAAAUAAAAAAAUAAAAAAAUAAAAUAAAAAAAUCAUGAAUAAAUGUUACUCACUCCAUCUCAAAAUAUAUAAUUUGCUGAGUUUCUGCCUAAUUUCAAUACAUGAUAAUUAGUCUAACAGAUAACUUAGUCUGCAUGAUGCCAAGUUGAUUUCCAAAUUUGGCAUACGGCAUAAAAUACCUUACCUUCCCCAGUCAGUUUGGCAAAGUGGUAAGUUCUUAUUGGUUGUCAGUGUGAAAGAAAUUUACACCGACAGUGCAUGCCCCUAACUCUAUUGAUAAAUGGUAUUUUACAAUGAUCUGAGUAUAGUUUUGACAGUUGACAUCAUUGGAAUGGGAAAUUUUUAGUUGACAAUGCCAAAUACAGUAAGAACUGUAAACAAUAGAACCAACAUUAUAGACUGUUAUUUUGUGGGAAACACCAAUAUCUUAGACCUGUAUCAUUUAAACAGGAAAACCCAUUUACAGAACCAUUGUUCUUCUUAUGUUUCUUUCAUAUGACUCAACCAUGAAAAUCGAGCAGCUACUGCAGAAAGGGGAAAGAGAAACGGGAAUGAAAAUUCUUUUGGCGGUAAAGCGUAUUAUGCUUGGAGAAAGUGGCGCUUCAACCAUUAUGAUCAAGAACAUGAAACCACAAGGGAAUAGGGAUCCAUACACAAAUUGAUUAAUAUACCAACAAGUUCAGCACAAAAAAACUGAAUAAAAUUAGGAAUAUUUCUGAAAUGGUAUAAGUAACAAGCAACGUAUCACAAGAUUUUACAUGAAAAACAGGAGAAAGAGAUCACAACAUUUCUGACUUGUAUUAUUCUUUUGACCCUCUUAGCAAGUGCCUCAAAAAAAGACCUGUCCAGGAAUCAUGAGAAUUUUAAAACAAUUAUUCAUUUGAAGGAUUAAACUCUUUCUAUAUCAAAAUAAACUAAUAUGGAAUUUAUAAUUAGAAAGUAGAUGAGAAGAUUCAUACCGAUUGAACAGCAAGGAUGUUUCUGGUCAUCUUCAUUUUCAAUGUUGGAGCUUAUGACUUCACCUCCAAUUGCUGAAGGCUGUAACUCAUCAUUAUAAUUUUCCUGGCCAUCUUCAAUUUCAUUGUUAGACCAAUAAGACCUGUCAGAAUAUUGAUUACUGAAUUUUAAUUUACCAAUUUCCCUACCAGCCAGAUCCGACUUAUGUUCUAAGUUAUAUACAGGUAAGAUCCCACACCCUUUGAUCCCCUCCGUUGACCACCCCAAUUCUACGUUAUGUAUGAAUUGAAAUGAUAGUUUACAAUCAUUACUUCCAAAUUUUUCUCUUUUGUAACAAUACCAACAUAACAAUACAUGAUCUGAAAUUAAUCUCACAAUAUAAAGGGCAAAACAAAUAAUACACCUGUCGACUUCUUUGCCGUGUUCUAAGAUGAUACAAUGCAGGGGGUGACUCUGAAAAAGGAAGCCCUCAGAAAGAAUGGUGCAGAAUAUGAAACCAGACAGGUUAUAUUUUGGAAUAGGAGGAAUGGUUAUUGAAGCCUUCAUUGUUUGAAAAUCAAACUUGCAAGGAACUUGUGCUCCUGGCCAGAAAAGGUAAUUGGCAUCUUUAUUUACAUGAAAAGGGUCUUUAGAGAAAAUUUGUACCAUGUUCUCAAGAAAUGACCGUUGAGUGGAGUCUGUAUCCAGAUAAGUGCAAUUAAUGCCACUCAAAGUUAUUAGGGAUGACGGAAGUUCUGUUAGAGACACAAGUUUCCUGCAACCAUCUAAAUCAAGCCAUUUUAGCAUUGAAUGGUUUCGGAUAUUCUCAGGGAGACAUUCCAAGUUGCAACACUCUUGUAAUGUUAGCCCUUUUAAAGAUUGUAUGCCAUCAAGGAUGGACCACAGACUUAAUGCAUUCAUUUCUGUGCACCCUGAAAGGUCUAGUUCUGUAACAGACCCAAGUCCAUGAUCAUCUGAUAACUUAUUCCCAACAAUGUUAAGCUUGUUACACUUGGAUAGGCCAAGCGAAGUAAGUUUUCUAUUACGCCAAAUCGAUGAAGACAAUUCACGUAUAGCAGUGCCACCUAAGGUCAACUCUGUCAUUUCAUCCGAUGUCACUGAAAAUUCUGUGAGAGAAUAACAACCAUCAAGUAAGAGUUCACGAAGAGAUUUUGAAUGAAUGUUGGUUUUAAGGCUUUCAAUCUUUUUGCAACCUCGUAAAUCUAGAUAUCUAAGAUCAGGGAGAGAAAAGAUAGAAGAAUGGAGCUGACCCAGGCUUUCACAUUGAAAAAGAUAUACUCUAUGAAGAUUUGUAGCCUUAGAUAAGUCUGGGAUCUCAAUCAGAUUUUUGGAGGAUUCAAGCCAAAGUAUGUUUAGAUUCACAAGAUUCUGUAACAAGAAAUAAAAACACCAUUUAAAUUCAUAAAUAGAGAAACUAAACCUAAUUAAGCAUAAAUAGAGACUUUUUAAGAAUGAGCAUUAGACUUCCUCUCAUACUUCAAAAAAUUAACAAGUAUAUCCAAACACAUUUGUACCUGAACUCCAUCCCAUAGCUUUUUAAGCUUGCUAUGACUCAAGUGAAGCUCUAUGAGCAUUUCAGCACAAAAGGUUGAUGGCAAAAACUCAAGACAGUAUCCUUCCCAUCGAAGAUACCUCAAUUUAUCAGAAAUCCACUCAAGACCAUCGGGAAAGUACACAUUGCAUGUGUUUCCUCUAGAUAUAUUAUAGAUUUUAAGAUAUCUUAAAUUUUUCAUCCUUCUAAAGGAAUUAGACUUCAAGUAAAGAUCCCCCACAUCUGUACUAUCGAAUGUUAUCCCUUCGACAGCUUCAGUUCCCUGAUAAAAAUUACAUUAAUAAUUAGGAAUGAUUGUCACAUAUACUUUCCUUGUUAUAUUUCAUAAUCACAUAGAUGUGUUAUUUUGAUGUAGAAGGGAAUAGAUCCUCUACUUACUUUGUUAUAUUUUAAUACAUCGGAUAUCUCUUCAGCUUUCCACAGUCGACUUCGUUUUCCAGGAUCUUCAGAUUCUUGAUUAACAAUCUCCCGUCCCAUUUCUUGUAACAAAUCAUGCAUUUCUAUAGUACAAACUUCCCUUUUGACAUGCAAAAUUGAAUCUAGUUGAAUGAGAGCUUUAUCUAGAAGGACGUCUAUCCCACUUAUUGCAAAGAAAUCAGAAGCUUCCAGUAGAUCUCUUACAAAAUCUUUACCCUGUCCACUCAACAAGCAUGCGAUGUCUAGAAAUAUGGCCUUUUGACAACGAUCUAACUCAUCAUAACUCAAUUUUAACACAUUAUGAAUUUUUCGAUUGGGAAUCUUUUGGAGCUUUUUCAAUUCAUUUUCCCACGCUUCUUGGCCCCUUGAACUGAGAUUUGCACCUAAAACUUUUAAUGCCAGAGGGUUACCUUUGCAAUAGGCAAUUACACUUUCUGAUAGAUCUUCAUAUCCAAUUUUAGGUUGUUUUUCUUUGAAGGCAGUCAAACUGAAUAGCUGAAAAGAAUCAUGCUUGUUCAAUUCUUUAAGCUCAUAUAUUUCACAUUUACUCACCUGACUAAAUAUGUGCUUAUCUCUAGUUGUAAUAAUGACCCUACUACCUGGUCCCAGACCAUCAAUUUUUGGGAUAAGAUCAUCUAUUUGCUCUAAGGUUUCUACACCAUCCAACACAAUUAAAACUUUUUUACGCCCAAUCCUUCUCUCGGAGAAAGGGGCUUCUAUGUAGGAUGCAUCAGGAUGAAUAUUUUCUUCCUCUAACAAUGAAGACAAAAGUUUAUUGAGUACAACAUUAAGUCCAUACUUGUUUGAUUCAUCCAUUACAUUGAGUAAGCAACAACCUUCGAAUUGAGAAUACAUUUUAGCAUAUAAAGCCCUAGCAAGGGUGGUCUUUCCUAUGCCACCCAUGCCCCAUAUUCCAAGGACUCUGACUUCAUGUGACCCAAUUUUCAGCUUUGAUUCAAUUUGGUCAUAAUUUUUCUCAAUUCCAACAAGCCCGGCCUUAAUUUCAUAUGGGUAUUUAAGAUUCAGUUUCUGCAAAACAUCUUCAACGAUAUCCUUAAUGAAGCGUGAUUCAGUCCUAGCAUACGAAAGAGGGGAAGAAGGUUUGAUAAGUCUACAAAUACAAUGGAAGGAAAAUACAUCUAUAUGAUUGGUAAAUAAAAUUUAUAGUCGACAUGGUGGCACUGGCAGUUCCUUAGCAGAGCAAGAAAGAAAGAAAAUUAGAUUUGAGGAAAUAAAUACCAAUGAUAGAGAAUGUAAUUAAUGUCUAAAUUUUCUAGGAAGUGAAAUCCUAAUGAAAAUUCGAAAAAAAUAAAUAAAUGUUUUAUGCUAGAAAUAUAACACAACUGUGUGGGAUGGAUAGUGCAGAUUUCAAAAAUUGUGUGUAUGCAGGGUACAAGCAUAUGAUUAUUAAAUAGUUUUCAGAAGGUCAUAUCAACUAUGGCCAGGCACAUAAACAUCAUUGUUCACUUCUCCAAAUAAUUCGGCCUGUUUACUUUCUAAAAUUAAUUUUAGCUUUCAUUUUUUAAAAUCUAUGUUCAUUUCCAACCAUGAAUAAGGAGAUGAAAGACUCAUGUAGUAUAUAAUUGUGCUAUAUUAGAAAACAAAACAUGAAAAUUAUAUAAAAUAGUUUAUUGGUUUUACUUAGAAUUUUGAGAACAUACAAGUCAUGGCAUGUACAAAGCUCGAUAGUUCGUUUUACUUACUCAAAAUUUUGAAAGUCCCAACCGCCUAAACUAGCUGCCUCAGUGAGAGCGGCUUUCCAUUCCUGUAACUUGUCAUUAUUGCUCUUCAAAUCUCGCUUAUGUUUUGCAAAAGCUUGCUCGUAACUCCCGGUCUGGUUCCUCACAUGUGAUGGAUCUAUUUUGUAAAAAACUGGUAUCACAAUGUGUUCCUUAUAUUUCUUGCAUUCAAGAAUCUUCUUGAGCUCAUUCAAGCACCAUUUUGAAGAAGCAUAGUUUUCUGAGAAGAUGACAAUAGAUGCAUGUGACUUCUCAAUGGCUUUGAUGAGUGCUGGCGAGAUCUCAUCUCCUUUUUGAAGCUUAUUGUUGUCUAUAAAGGUUUCAACUUUCUUUCGGCUCAGAGCAUCAUAAAGAUGGCUGGUGAAGUUUCUGCGAGUAUCCUCACCUCGAAAGCUAAGAAAAACGUCAUAUUUUUUCAGAGGCACCACAUCAGAAGAAGAUAUGGAAGAAAAAGCACUGCUCAUUUUCUACCUAGUGAUUAUGAAUUCCAAGUGCCUGCACUAAUCACAAUGCUACACUCAAAAAUAAAAUAAAAAUUUAUGUUUAAAUGUGUUCUUGAUACUUGUCAAUGAUAUUUUUGACAGGUACUCGGUUCAUAUAUCUGAUUGACAUCAGAUCAAGCAGUUCAAGGUUCACAUAUUGCUCAUCUAUGGAUAUAAUAAAUAAACAGCAUUUGUUAUUUCAAGUCGUUUGUGAUUCUUGGAAAUUUGUUUGUCUUAUAUUAAUGGCUUGCUUAUGAUGUGGAAAACCUAUACAGUUAUUUUGAAGAUGAAAAAACUUGAAUAGACAUUAAAAGCUUAAUGACAUGAAAUAGUAAAGAAUCUUAACAUUUUUUUGAAUGACAAAUCCUAGUAGUUAGUUGUUAGAUUAAGUAUUGACUAUUUCGUCCAGGUUUGAACCGAGAGUCUCCAACUUCUUAUCCGUGAGUUCAAAUUUCAAACCAGUUGAGCUACUCAACCUCCCAAAUAAAAAAACUUAACUCAGAUUAAGUGAAGAGCAACCAAAAUAAAACAUAGAAUUCAAUUCAAGCAACAAGGUUAAGCAUCAUUGGAGUCCAUACAUAAAAUUAGUCAUAAAUAACCAGCCUAUGAAUGUAAAGCAAAAACAAAUCUGGCCCAUGUAUGAUACUUUUUUCUCAAGCAGCAUUUUCAGAUACAAAACAGAGUAAUUUCCUAAUCAGUAAAAAUGGGGUACAAAUAAGAAAUAUGAAGACUAAUUAAACAUUCAUAUACAAUUCUUGAAGACCAAUUUAAUCUUAUAAGUUAAAUUAAAAUUGAUGGAAAAAAGAUGAUACCAAAGUCAGAUCCAGCUUAAUGCAAUAGAGGAGAAAAAGACUGUAUGGCUUAGCUUCUGCUGGAAUCAAUUUUGGAUCAAAAUAACAAAUGUGAUUUCACUGUUAUGCAAUCCUAAGUAAAAUGGCUUCAUUGCUCUUUAACAGAUACCAUAAGAUAAAAUAUACUGUAACAUACAGUAACCUUGUUGACUUGGGGGCUUCACUUGGGUUCCAACUACUUUUAAGUUUUAACCAGAAAAAUAAAUACAUGUGUAUUUAAGGCCACAAGAUUAAAUACAAACUUUAUCUUAAAAAUAACUCAUUCAACAUCUAAAAUUUAUAAAAUUGAUUUUUUUUUUAAAAUAGAAUUUAUCACUUGUUUCCUUUUUAGUUUUAUACUAAAUGUUUAGCUCAGUUGAUACAGUGCAUAAUAUAUGCAAAAUCCAGGGUUCGAAUAUUGGACGCCAUCAAAAAGAAAUGUUUUUAAAAAGUUAUUAACAAGAUUUUUUCAUGGUAAAUUCUAUCCACUAAACUACUUGAUAAAAAAAAUAUAAAAAAAAAAAAAAAAGACAGCAUCCAUAUUGACGUUAGUAAAUCUUAUGAUAAUUUAUCGAAAAAAUAAUAAUAAAUAAGAAUUUACAUAGAUAUGUUAUUUCGGCCAUACCCCAGUGAAAGUUGAGAAUAGAUAAAAGGUGUUUGUAUUUGACAUUUUUGUCGAAUAUCUAUACUUUUAAAAAAUUAAAAAAAUACAUGGUUUUUGGAAUAACUUUUUCAUUUCUAAUUAUACCUCUAAGCAAAUCUGUCUAGAAGAAAUAGAAGAAAUAUAUAAUUGAAUCCUGUCAUCUUUUAAUUUUUCUAAUUACAUUUCAUGUAUUCAUGGUUACACACUAAAAUGAUAAAAUUAUCCUUAAAUAAAAUUUAAUUUAAUCUUAAACUCGGUUUAAGUAGGUCAUGUAAACUUAAUUUUAGUAGACAAUGUAAACUGAGUUUAAGUGUAACACUUUAAGUAAGUUAUAUAAACUUAGCUUAAGUAGGUCAUGUAAAAUGAUCAGUUUAAGUGUACAUACUAAAAGUUAAAUUUUGCUUUAACCUCUUCAACCUUGUUUAAUGAUUCUACAUAAUCUUAUUUUAAGUAUGUACUUGUAAACUCAACUUAGGUAGACUAUGUGACUAAAUUUACAUGUACCCACUUAAACUGAAUUUAAGUUAACCUCAACGAUGUUAAUUAACGUUGUUUAUGUUGCACCAUUAAAUAAUCGUGUUGUAAAGUGCAUAACAUAUCAACGUUUGAACAACAAAGAAAAAAAAUCGAAACUCUAGCAUCAAUGAAAAAGAAGAAGAAAUUCAAUUAUUUAUAUGCAAUAGAGUAUGGACGAAAGAUGUUUUGAUUCACUCUUUAAUCUUCUAUAUAGAUUGAUUGACCAUCCAUAAUUGUUUGUGGGGGAAAGCGGGUGAAAUUUUAGAGUGACAAUGAAUGAAAUCAAGGUUUUAAGAAAAUUUAUAUAAAAGAACAAUUUUAAUUUUAUUAUAAAAUUUUAAGUAAAUAUAUGUGUAAUAAGAAAUACAUAGGAUGUAAAAAGAAAAACUCUUGUUAUCAUCAAAACUCAAAGUGGUGUUGUCAAACACAUUUUAUUCCAACAAUAUGUUCGAUAAAACGCAUACAAGUCUGGGAUCAUCCUUGACUUUAUAAUGUUGCGUGCAUUUUACCAACUACUUAUCAACAUUUGUAGUGGCCAUAUAUCAUUGUUUUAAACCUGUUGAUUACACCUAAGCAGCAAUGGAGCUAAUUAAUGGAUUUUUUUGACAAUAAUAGAACCAUAACUACAUGACUGCCUACUUGGAAGCUUGAGAAUGAUGGUGUUUAUACAGUUAAGAAUCCAUACAAGGACAUUAUGAAUCAUGAUAUGGCCCUUUUGCAACAUCGUGUGCCGAGAAAUUGGAAUUAUGUUUGAGUUUAAAGUUGCCACCGUAGCUACCACAAUUGUUUGCCUACUACAAUUCGAUUGCAAUUGAAAGGUGUUUCGUGUACUGAUUUGUGCGCGAUGUGUGAAGACUUUGGUGAAGAUAAUACUUAUUUGUUUUUAUGUGUAGUAAAAGUGUGCUUUGUUGGAAGCACACGAUUUUGGAUUCCUUUGAUGGUAGUCUUCGAUCUUGCUGCAAGUUUCUCGAAAAAUGUGUUUUCUAUUCUAUAACAUCUGGACCAGCAGCAAAAACAAAUCUUUGGUGUGACGCUAUGGAGUAUUUGGAAGAAUAGAAAUAACAAGGUUUGUAACAAUGUUACUGAAACAUCUCAAACUAUUUGUGAACGUGCACGUUCCUUCUCGCUAGCUGGAUGAAUGCCCAAACUAUUCGACACCAUACUUUUCGGCAUUCCAUUACACAGAGCGAUCUACAUAUUGACAUAACCAAGUCCCGACAGGUUCAAAUGCAAUGUAGAUGCUUUCUUUUCUCAUGCUCUGAAUCGAGUCGGGCUAGGUAUGUGUAUUCGAGAUGAUUGUUGAACCAAAAAUCUUUUUGAUGAAUGUUUUAAUAAUAACAAACUUUAUGGAAUAAACACUAAGUUUUAUGAAUGGUGAUCUACUGAUGUUUGCACUUAAGUCUUUUCCGAGAAGUAAACAAGAAAUAAGUCUUUUACAAGUGCAUAGAUAUAUUCAAUGAAAGAAUACCAAAACAAUAGCAUCACAAGCUCAAAGAAGAUAUAGAAAAAAUAUUGUUUGAAUCAAAUGAGUAUUGAUUGAAGAUUCAACAAGAAGAUGUAUUUUAUGAUCAAUUGACUCAUCCUCAUCACCACAUGGUUUUCAACAAAGCAUUAAAAAAUUUGAGGAAUAAAGGGUUAAUAUUUGAAAGACACUUAAUGAACAAGAAACAUUGUGUGGAAUCACUAAGAGGAACUAUGAGAAGAAUUGUAUCAUCAAACAAUUCAAGGUUAAUUGACCAAGAAGAUAUUGUCUUCUUAUAUAGAAGAGAACAUUAUCAACUUUGAUGAAAAGAAGGUUCUCAUGAUGAAGAUGAUUAUUACACUCGAAAUAAUUAGAAUCAACUUUGAAGAGAAACCAACCGAUGAAUAAAUUAUUUAUUAAGUCAUUCAUUAAUUGGAGAACUAUCAAGGAAGACAAAUCAUGAUCAUAUGCAUGAAGAUUCUAUCAUAAAAGACUUAGGAUGAUCCAAGAAUCUUCAAUCAUUUUUCAAGAUAUAAUUUGGGAGAAUAGAAAUCAAUAAAAGGAAUUUUUACUUUGAGAAAGGUUUCUCAUGUUCUUACAAAAGAACAUUAUGGUCAUAAAAAGUGAAGAGAACACCUUCACUUUAUGUUUUUAAAGAUAACACAUAUUUACAUUUAUUAUCUUGUUAUCUACUAAUGUGAGAAUGUUUCAGUGAGAAUGUUCUCAAGAACGUUCUGACCUCGCAAAGAUAACAAAACAUCUUUAACAAAGCAAAUGACAAAAAUCAUCUUUUGAUAAAUGUCAAGAAUGUGCAUAAUCAAAGAUCAAGAAUAAUUGUUAUUCUCUUUGUCUCACCAAAAGAAGGAUCAAUGAUCAUAAAAAUCAAGAUCCUUAAAGGCAUUAAAUGGCAAGAAAUCAAGACAAAUCAAAGCAUUAUGGCACAUGGGCCAUGAUAGCAAAAGAACAAAGAUUAAAUCAUAAUGGCCUUAAAAGAGUGAAAAGAUUCAUUAAAGAAAGGCUUAAAUAUGAUAUUAGUCCCUGUAAUUUGGGUCGGUUUUGAAUUUCGUCCCUGUAAAAAAAAAACUUUGAAUUACAUCCCUGUAAAAAAAAAUUUGUUUGAAAAAGGUCUAUGGCCCCACAUUUUUGAUGAUAUGGCAUGGGUUUUGCCACAUGGCAGUUGCUGACUGUGCAACUUAUGCCACAUGGCGCUGACGUGGCAUGCCACAUAAUAUUAAAUUUAAAAAAAUAAUUUUUAAAUUCUAAAAAUUGUUUUUAAAAUUUAAAAAUAUAAAAAAAAAAUCUGAAAAAAAUUUAAAAAUAUUAAAAUUAUUUUUAUCAUAUAAUUUUCAAAAAAAUUUUUUUUUUUAAAUUAUAAAAUCUGAAAUUUCUGAAAAAAAAAAAUGAAAUGAUUUUUUUUUAAAAUAUGAAGAAAAAAAUAUAAUUUUCAAAUUAAAAAAAAUUAAUGAUCGAAAAUUUAAUUUUAACUGUUUUUUUUCGAUUUUUUAAAUGAUUUUUGAAUUUAUUUUCAUAUUUUUUUAAAUUUUUUAAUUACGUGGCUGCCACGUGGCAAAACCUAUGCCAUAUCAUAAAAAAUGUGGGGCCAGGGACCUUUUUCAAACAAAAAAAAAAUUUACAGGGAUGUUUUUCAAACUUUUAUUUUACAGGGACGAAAAUGAUAUUUAAGCCUUAAAGAAAUAUCUCAAAGUUGUUCCUUGUGGAAAAAGCAUAUGACAUCAUCAUAUAGCAUAAAGAUGACAUAAACACAUCUUAUCAAGUGGCUAGCAAGCUUCUACAACAAUAUUACAGCUGAUAACAACUUGCAAAACGUGUUCCUUCUUUGUACAAGUUUGGCUGGUACAGAGAGAACGUUAUGGAGAACGUUCUGGGUAAGAAAAACCAUCAAAGAAAGAUCUCAAAGUUGUGCCUUAGCAUAUGACAUCAUGCAAUGACAUCAAGCUUGCAUCAUCUUAAGUGGCCUCCAAGGCUUCUACAAUCAGGCAUAUAACUCGUUACAUCUUGCAAAAACGUGUUGCUCUGUGCCCAAGUUAUGGCUGGAAUAGAGAGAACGUUCUCGGUGAACAGUUUCAUGCUUUCUCUCCAAGCAUCAAAUGGAGCCAAUUUAUUUUGAAUUUGAAUUGAGCUCCAAUAGCUCUUUUUUGACUUGUUCUCCAAGGAUACAUCUCCUAUAAAUAGAGGACGUCCAUGAAGGUUAAUAGCAAGAGUUUUGAUAUACAAAAGCUUUGACAUCUCUCUCUCUCUCAAAGCUAAAGAAAUCAUUAUCUUCAUCAAUCUCUUUAACAUCUCUUUCGACAAUCACAAAGCAAACUCCAUAAUCUUUCACUAUAUUUAUCAUCUUUAUCUCUCAUUGAGAACAUCUUUCUGAGUUUGUAUUUGUACAAGGAUAGUUUGUUUGAGACGCUAGAUCCAAACAACAUCUUUCUCAUUUUCGUUUGAGACAUUAGAUCCAAACAAUCAUCUUACAAAGAGAUAACUAGAUCUCAAGUCUAUUGGGCUUAAUAGUUUGAGAUAGGAAGAGUUCCAAGCUUUCUUGUGCAAAAGCAAAGAAUUGUAGAAGCCUGCUGAGGUUGAUAAUACAAGGGUUACAGACUGAUCUGGUGUGAUCAAGACCUUAUAGUGUUGGUUAGAAGUUUCUACCAACUGAAUACUAUAGUGGAUAAUCUCACACGAAAUGUGGGGACUGUGGAAGUAACCGGGAUUGGUGAACCAGGAUAACUCUCCUGUGUUAUUCUUCUUUCUCUCUCCCUCUCUAUCUUUUAUUUUUACACAAUAUGCACACACUAUCACACUCAUUAAUAUUUAUAACUCCUCUCUCCCUCCCUCUCUCCUGUGUUAUUCUUCUUUCUCUCUCCCUCUCUCUAUCUCUAAGAUAUUCUGGUCCUAAUUAAUCACAACCAAAUUAAUCCAGAGUUCUCUGGUCGUUAAAUAACCAUUAAUAUUGUUUUAUCAUUCAGCUUAAUAAUUAAUUAUAACUGCUUUAUAUUUAUCCAGAGUUCUCUCGUCCUUAAUUAACCAUAAGAUUAUUUUAUCAUUCAGUUUAAAUAAUUAAUUAUAUAAUUAUUAUCCAGAACAUUCUGGUCCUUAGUAAAACUGCUUAAUUAUUUAAACCUUACUUUAUCCAAAACAUUCUGGUCCUUGAUAAAACAAUUGUUUAAAUAUCUAAAUAUUUUAUAAUCUUCUUUUAUCUAACAUUUACCAAGAAUUUUCUUGAGUACAUAAACUUGUUAAGUUUCAGGAUUAAAUUUAAAAAGGGUCACAAUUCAAACCCCCCCUUUCUUGUGACUAUUUCUUCCACUUCAAUGAUGAGAGGUUGUUUUGUGUUACCUAAAACCAAAUGGUUGACUCCGGUCCUUGAUGUGGACUUGAAGAGGCUUUAGGUUUAUUAUAAACAUUGUAUUGGGUGCGUGAUCUAUAGCUAGGUAUUGUGGAUUUUGGCCUUGAUUCCAAAAAUGUGGUGGAUAGUCUCUAUGGUAGAAAAAGUAACGUUACUAAUUAUAGUGCAGUUAUAAUUGAUUGUAGACGCAUGUUAGCUUGUGAUUUAGCAAUUGAUGAUGUUAGGUUUAAUCAGAGACAAGCCUACGAAGUCGCUGAUGUUAGUUUCUAUAUUCAUACUAAGAUUACAUCGUGUAUCUCAACUAUUAUGCAAUAAGUUUCUUUAUGUCUAAAAAUAAUAAUUCAUUUUCUACUCAUUGUCCAAGAGUAGCACCUCUUAAGCAACCAUACAUCAACACCACUUCAGCGCCACCGUCAAGGGCACCACCAAACAAUGACUCUACCAUAACUCUUACAUCCUCGCCGUAGUCAAAGUCAUUGAAUCCCACCCCCAUCGUCGAUCUAUGAUUUUCCCCUGGUUCCGUCCUGGCCUCGACCAAAACUACAAUCGCCACCAUAAAAGGUUCUAUCUUCACUCCCGUCAUCGGCACCACCUCCAAAACCACCUAAUUGCAUCUCUAUUUACGGAAUCAUUGACUUUGAGGACAAGGUCAAUUUUGAAGAGCAGAGUAGUGAUAACAUUAACCAAGAGGAAGAAAUUUCGGAUAACGUAUAACAAAUGAUGUUAAAGUGAAGGGAUUGCAUUACUAUCCAGGAACAAUAAGAUUAGCAGAUAAUAAUAGGAAGGUAGUUUUAUAUUUGUUUGUUAUGUUCUGAGUAAUAAUAGAUAAUUUAGUUGUAUAUCCUUAGAUAUUAAUAACUUCGUUUUUUUUUGUCAAAUUGUCUAGUGGUUAAAACUCACAUAUUUUUUAUUAAAAAAAAAAUAACUAACACAUUUUAAAUAUGGACAUAAGUAUUUCGUGAUUAUAUAUUACCGAAACUUCUCUGAAGGACAUAAAUCUAUAUUUCAUUUCUUGAUUGCUUUUCAGAGAAGUUUCGAUAAUAUAUAAUACAAUAACAAUAUUGACUUGGGUUCCAGUCUACUUUCUAUAAAAAAUAAAAAAUAAAAUGGGUUUAUGCCACGUUGUAUAAAAUAACAAUAAUAAAAUAAAUAUAAUAACCAUAUUAAUUAAUAAAAAACAAAGAUAAGAAAUGUGAUUAAGAAAGGAAGGAAGGAAAAAUCCAAAGUGUCUUCUAGGAGCAAAGGUGUCAUGACAUUAUUAUUAGUAUUUUUAUGGAACAAUAUUUAGGGUAGCAUGCCUCAUUCUAGUUAAGAAAAAAUUCAAGGUUCAAUAAAUGCUUGCAUAAAUUCUUACAUACUAUUCAUUAAUUAAAUAUAAGUUGUAUUCUUACUAAAUUGCUGACAUGACAUUAUUCUUUAACAAGCAUACAAAAGAUAUGACAUUAGAGAUAGUGACCCUUUAAGUAAAAAUAUGUACAUCCUCUAGUUAAUAUUAUAAACAAAAAUUAGCAUUUUAUAUUCAUUCAUUAAAUUAUAUAUGUGGUUAAUAAUAAAGACUAUAUACAUUAUUUAAUGAAUGAAUUUGUCAAUAUGCGUGGUCAGAUCAGAUGCAUAAAUGUGUAAGACGCUGGGUGAAUAAAAGAUCUGGAGUACAAAUCCGAACCACCAAAAAAAACUUACAUUGUGAAUUCAAUUUCCUAUAUUAAAACUUACGGUGUGAAUCUAAUUUCCUGUAUUAAAACUUAAGGUGUGAAUCUAAUUUUCUAUAUUAAACUAAAUAGCUGUUAGAUGAGGUCCAUUUCUUUUUAUUUGUUUCUUACCAAUCAAUUUCAGUAACCUUUAAACAAAUGUCAUAUUGUUGAAUCGUGAACUUUCUUCACACGUUCAAUGGCUGGUCCAAUUUAGAAAAUAUUAAUGAAUACAUGCUUUGAUAAAUUAUUUAUCAAAAACUGAUUUAUAUACUUUUUACACACAAGGAAUUGAGUUGGACAAACCCCUUCACUCCGACCUCAUCCCCCAAUCCCUCCCACCGCCAAUUUCAAGUGUGUUUAGCUGAGAAAAAGUUAUGUAAUGUUUUGAAAAAGUUAUAAAGUAUUAUGUUUAAGUUAAAUUGAGUGAAUUUUAAAUGAUAUUUAAGAUCUAAGAAUUUCAAAUUAUUUCCUAUUAGAUAUAUCUUUCAAAAUUUCCAAGUUGGUCCCCAUAUUUUUCAAAAAAAAUAAAUUAACCCUUAAAUAUUUAAAAUAAAUUGCAAAUUGAUCCUUACAAUUUCUUGAAAAUUAUAAACCGCUUUCAAUUUUUGAAUUCUACAAAUCAGCCCUCAAUUUUUCAAUUUUUCAAUUUGGCCCAAAAUUUUAUAAAAUAUAAAAGUAAGUAGCACAAAAAUAUAACUGAAGUAUUUUAUCACUGUAUCCAAACAAAAAUAUUAAAAAAUAAAGGGAUCUAGCGUCGAUCAUCUCACAAGGUGUUGGGAUGAUUUAUACCGCCGCUAUGAAAAUUAGAACUUUAAGUGCUUGUUUGGUGUAACACUCCUAUUUCUAUUAAAGCAAUUAAACAUGCAAAUAAUACAUUUAUUCAAGAAAUAGAGGCUACGCCACAUUCAAAAUUCAAAAACCAAUAAACAUGUAUAUAAACCUCAACAGUUGCAGCGGAAUAUAAAUCAGAGUAAUCCAAAUGUAUACAUGUCAUGAAUAAUAAAUUACAUCACAUAGAUGCAUCUCAAAAAUCCCAAACAAAACGGAUAAUCUCCAACAUAACAAAAUCCAAAAAUAACCUAAUCUAGACCGACACAACAAGCCUAGAUCAGAGCCAACUCAACACCGAUAUCGGAGAAAGCUCCCGAUAUCCCAAGCACAAACUCACCAAGCACUACUCCUGCACAACGUCUACCCAUCCAUACAGAUAGGUAGGCGGUUAAAACCACUAGGGUAAGUAUUACAUUAUCAUAAUCCAAAUAACAGAUAACAUGAGUAUUUCAAUAUAAACAUCAUGCAUUUGAUCAAUAGUAAUCACACAUUAAUACUUACAUCACAUCCCAAUAUCUCACAUCAAUAAUCAUCAAUCACAUAAACAGUUAACAAUUCACAAAUAUUCAUUCACAAUCUCCAAACACAAAUAUUCAUGAAUAGUCAUUAAUCACAUUUCACGAACAAUCACCAAUCACAUUUAUCAAACAAGACUCAUGUCAUGAUAUGCACUUAUUGACACAUAAAUGCAUGUGGUACCAAAUCUCCAAAAGGUCGUCACCUCCGAUGGAACAACUCAACAUCGUAUGUAAGGGUUCACACCCGCCUUACAUAAUCUCCGAAGUAAAAGAGCACAACCUUUUUACAACUACACGACUAUGAUGCAUGGACAUGUAAAAAAACUAGAUAAUGCGACAACAAUCACAAUUUUCUCCACAAUAUAUAGGAAAACACCCAAUUAUAUUGUUCAUCUCCACAUCAUUUGCAUUAUCAAGAAAACAUGCCCAUUCAUAAUUAAAUCAUAGUAUUCAUCAUUACACAUCAACGUGAUUAUCAAUAAUCAACGAUGUCAUUCAAUCAUCAACUAUCACAUAUAGUUUCACAAAUUCAAACAUUCCUUACAUCUUAAGUAAGAUAGCAUACACUUCUCAUGAUAAUUAUCAUAUCCAAAAUACAAUCAUUCAUUCAUACAACUUCACUUAGUCAUAUAAGAAUGAUCACAACAAUUCAUAAGACAAUACGACUUAAAGAUUCACUAGACCCCCUUUUCACAAGGUUAAUUCUUCCAUAAAAACACCCCUAGAUGAUUAGGAUAAAGUCCCUAUACAUAGAAAUAAGUUUGGAAACAAUUGGAUCAAAGAAAAUUGCAUUUUAAAAGUUUCUGGUCAGGCAAAAUCGUAGUCCGAAUUUUCCCCAUCGUAGUACGAUUUUUUUCGAGCUGAAACAACCCAAAAUCUGGUCAAAAUCGUAGCCCGAUGGAUAAAAUUGUAGUCCGAUUUCUGCCUGACAGACAACAUCAGAUUUUCCAAUUUUCACGUUUUCGCGCGUAAAAACCAAACCGUUAAUCCGUUUUCGGUGCCGUUUUCACCUACUUGUUCAUGACACUUAGCCCUAUCUUAAUGUACAGAAAAAUUCAAGUUUCAACAUUCCCAAAUUCAUUUUUCAAAGCCUUACACAACACUCAUUUUCCAAAACGGUUAACAAUUGAAUUUUCACCCGAAUCUCCCGUUUUCUCCCAAAACGACUCGACUAUCACAACUACAACCUAAAAACAGAAAUUCCAUCAAGUUUAACUCAUCCAACCACAUAGACAACUCAGUCAACAACUUUGUAUAUCAAAUUUCACUUUGGUCCUUCACAUGACCAUCUAGCACAACUUCACCAAUACAAACAACUUACUUCAUGAAAUGGAAUACCCAUGUUAUCAUUCAACAACAUCAACAUAUCUACUUUAACAACACCUCAUUUAGACAUGAAUUCAAUCAUAAUUCAAUUACACAAUAUCCCAAUCCAACAAUUGAGCAAAACACAUAAGUAUCCAUUUUCACCAAACCAACAACAACAACUUAUUUCACAACAACAAACUAUGAAUCAUGCAUACCCAAGCCAUGAAUUAGCAUCCAUAACAUCACUUAACAACAACAACAUCUAUUGAUCAUGAAACAUAUCACAAUUCAUCAACAACCAUCCAUAAUUCACCAUUUGAGCAUAAUUUACAAACUACCCAUUUUCAUACAUCAUGAACUUGCAAUUUCAUAAUCAACAAUUCAUUUAACAUCAAAUUAACACAUUCAAACAUAUCUCUACAACAUAAGCAAGAAUUUCAAAGAUUGGGUUCAUGAUAAUCACUUAUUCCCAUAAUCAAUUAUGCAUAGAACAAGAGAAAAAGAAUUAACUAAAUGAUUAUGAUAAAGACUAACCCCCUUACCUUAGAUGAAGAUUAACCCAAACUCUUGCUUCAAUUCAGCUCCUAAGCUUACCCAAAUUGAUUCCUCAAGCUAUUCUCUUCAAAACCCUUGUUCUUCUCUUCACCUCUUUCUCUCUCUACCUCUCUCUCUAGGAAAAUUUUAUGAAGUGAAUGAAAGAUAUUUUUUUUCUAUGACAACCCUAAUGUUAUCUCCCUUAAUGGGCUUAACUUAGUUUCUAGUGGGCUUAACCCAUUUCUAUUCAAACCACAAAUAUUUCUCUUUAACUAAUAACGGUAAAAUAUAACCAACGGUCACUAAACGGUAAAAACUAAUCACUACACUAGUAACUUAGUAAAAUAAGGGUUCUCACUAAAUAUUAAAGAUAAUUCUUACCAAAAUUUCCAUUUUACCCUUACCCGCCAAAUGACCAAAUACCCUUCUAAUACGGUAAUCUAUGUAAAUGCACCCAAUGACAAUUAAAUACACACAAGCACAAAUAAUCACAAACAAACACAUAAUAAAAGUAAUUAAAAUAAAUCUAGCUAAAAAUCGGGCUGUUACAUUUGGCACCACGUUUUUGGGCUCCAAACGUGGUUUAUUUUUGCCAAACGUGGUGUUGCACUUUUACAUGCUGUUUGGAUGACGAAAAAGCAAGUUUCUGAAAAGCGGUUUAUGUCUCCAAAACGCAAUUUUCUUGAAGCUGGAAUUCGGAGCUUCUACGGCAGAUAAAAACCACGUUUAAGCCUUUAAUUUCUCAAGUGGCAGGUACUUACCUAAUUACCCCUAAAUUCAAGCCUUCAAUUUCUCUUUCUCAUAGUUUUCUUCCUUUUCAUUACUUCACAUCACUUUCAAACUUAAAUUUUCUGCUAAUUGUGAAGAUUUUGCAUAUCCAAGAUUUCAAUUAUCUUCAGCUUUUCCCCAAUUUUUUCAGAUUUCAUGGUUAAUCUCAUUACUCAUGGUAGAUGUGUUGUUUGGGUGAAUUUAUUCCUUCAGCUUUUCCCCUAUAUAUGAUGCUUAUGAGCUACUUGUGAGAACCAUUCCAUUGCUCUGCCAAGGCCUGAAGGUAAAUACAUAUUCAUAUUUUUUUUGCUUUGAUUACUUGCUUCAAUAUUGUUAAUUUCUAUUUCUCUUUGCUCUAUUUGUUACAAGUUUUACAUUAAUUUUUCCAUCCUACAUCAAUGCAUUGUAUGUGUUUGAUAAAUAGUCUCAAAGAAAAAAAAAAUUCUUAUAUUGAUAUGUUUAUGUUGAUGAAUUUUCUUGACCUGUAGAAGUGAUUGUUUUGUUAUUAUUGAUGUUUAUCUUUAUUUUUAUUUUUUUUUAUUUUUUUGUGUUUUUAGCAAGGAGUCUAUUGUUUUUGUUUAAGGUACUUGGUGUGUUCAAAGUAAUUGAAUGAACUAACGUAAGAAAAGAAACUUAUAGCUUCAAGCCAUUGUUGUAAUUCUAAUUUUUGUGCCUUUACAAAAAAUUCCAAAGUAACAGAAUUUCUUCUAACACAAAGUAACAGAACUCACUCUUAGCACAAAGUAACAGAACUUCUUCUUGUAUUGUUUUUGUUUUCUGUUAUCAUUUUCAUUUGCACAAAACAAGGAUAUUGGUGUUAGUUUGAUCAAGUUGCUUAUGUAUAGUUUGUUUCAUUUUUUUUUUUGGGUUAAUAUGUCUUUACCCCCUGUAAUUUGGGCGAGUUUCGGUUUACCUCCUGUAAAAAUAAAAGUUUAGAUUCCAACCCUUUAAUAUGAAGAUUCUUCAAAAAACACCCCUAUAAUAUUAAGAUUCUCCACAAAACACCCCUGACCCCAUCCAGACGCUGAUGUGGCACGCCAUUGUGUAAUUAUUUUAAUUUUUUUUAAAACCUGACACAUGUGUAAUGGACGCUGACUGUAUAAUUUUUUUUAUUUUUUUUUAUUUUUUUAAAGGGUACACGUGGCAUUUGUGAUUUUAAAAAAAAAUAAAAAACGAAAACAAUUAUGGAAAAAUUAAUAAAAAUAAAAAAUAUUCUGAAAAAUAAAAAAAAAUAGCGAAAAAAUUAAUUAAAAUAAAAAAUAUGAUUAAACAAAUUCCGGAAAAUUUAAUAAAAUAAAAAAUAAUCUGAAAAUUUUAAUAAAAAUGAAAAAGAAUCUGGUAAAAUGAAAAAUAAUGAAAAAAAUUUGGAAAAAUUUUAAAAAGUUCUAGAAAAUUUUAAAAAAUAAUAAAAAAAUCUGGAAAAAGUUAAAAAUAUGAGAAAAAAAAUUUAUAUUUCUGGAAAAUUCAGGACCUUAAAAUAUUUCAAAAUUCUUGAAUAUAAUAAGAAAAUAUAUUUUAUUUUUAAAAAAAAAAGGUUCAGAUUUUUCUUUCGAAAUUAAUUUUUUUUUUAUUUUUUUAUACAAAAAAUAAAAAUAUUGGAAAAUAUUUCAAUAAUUAGAAAAACAUAACAUUAGAACAUGAAGAAUAGAAUUAAGGGCUUGUUUUUCAAUAGUAUAACAUGACUUAUAUACCGGUGUCAAUCAAAAUUCAUUGUAUCUUGUUAUUCAUCUAGAUUAUAUUUUCGAAUAAAAUAAAAUUCUAGAAAUAAAUUUUCAUAAUCAAAAUAACUAUAUAAUAUUAUAUUUUUCGAUUUUUUUAUAAUUUAAAUUUAAUUCAGAUUUUUUUUUAUAUUUUUUGAAAAUUUUGAUAUAUAUAAAUUUUUUCCAGAAUUUUUUAUUUUUUUUGAACUUUUUCCAGAUUGUUUUGUUUAUUGUCGUGAUUUUUUUCUUAAAUUUUCUAGAUUUUUUAAUUUUUUCAGAUUUUUUUUAUUAAAUUUUCUAUAUUUUUUCAUAAUUGUUUUUUCAUUUUAAUAAUGUUUCUAGAAUUUAUUAUUUUAUUUUUAUUUUAAAAAAAUAUAUACAAAUGCCACGUGUACCCUUUAAAAAUAAUAAUAAUACAGUCGUCACGCUACAUAAUCAGAUAUGCACAGUCAGCAUGCCAUUUCAGCUCGCCACGUCAGCAAUUCUGUACAGUCACAUAGGUCAGGGGCUAAAGUCAAAUAAUCUUAUUUUACAGGGUUGGAAUCUAAUCUUUUUUUUUACAGGGGGUAAACCGAAACUCGCCUAAAUUACAGGGGGUAAAUACAUAUUAACCUUUUUUUUUUUUUUUAUCAUACUUUUGUGUAUAUAGUAAUAUGGACUCACUUAAGAGAAAAGUUUCUGCUAACCCCCCUUCAACUAACAAUGAGGGUCAAAGUUUCAAAGCUAGUUUAAAUAUUAGUUUGCAAUAAUUUUCAAUAUUAUAUUGCACUUGAACUUAUAUUAUCUAUUAUCUAUAUGUAAUAUACUUUAGAGCCUUGCCAUUUUUUAUACAUAUUUAGAAAUCUAUGAUUAUGUAUUAAUAAUUUACGUAUAUUUUAGUUUACAAUUGUGUAAUUUCUCAUUUGUUUUACAUCUUUUUAUGCUUAUAUUAUUUUAUUAAAAAUCACCCAAUUGAUAAAAAAAAAUAAUAUUAAAAAUAACAUAAAUUUAUAUUAUUUUAAAAUUAAUUUUAGAACCAAUAGAAUUCAUGUAUGAUAAGUUGAAAUAAUUUUUUUUUAUGAGAAUGAGUUUUAAAUACAAUUAAAAUGAUAGUUUAGUCAUUAUACAUUCAAAAUCAAUUUUGAUUCAAACUAUCCAAACAACAUCAACCCGCAAGAAUCACUUUUAGUAUCCAAACAUAAAUCAAUUCACAUUCAACUCACUUUUAACCAAAAUCAAUUCUCUCAAACUCAAUUCUAUCAAAAUCAAUUCUCCUCGCCGCCAUACCAAACACACACUAAGAUUAAGAAGGAAAAGAUGAAGGGAACUGGCUACAAAUGGUAUUAUUAAUGUGGCUUGGUGGAACUCUUUACCCUUCUUUACUAGGGAUGACUUUUAUAAAGACCACUAUGGAUUUUUAAAUUAUCGUUCUCCAUAUCUCUUUGUAUUUUAAUUUUGUUUUUUGUUUUGGUUUGGUCCUCCUCUAGUACGGUUUUUCAUUUUUUUAAUAAUUUUUUUUUAGAUCAAGCUGGCAUAGGAUGGGGUGGUUUUGGAGUGUGAACAUAGUUGGAAUGUCAAACCUUCUUUUGAUGUCUUCUUUUGCUCAUGAUUUAGAAGGAAAAAAAAAAUUUAAUUACAAUAUAUUUCUCUAAAUUGAUUGAUUUCUUUCCUAAAGACACAACAGAAUUAAUCAACUAUAAUUGAUUUAUUUUUUUUACUUGGAUGAAAGUGAUUCAUAUGCCAAACAGAGCCUAAGUAAUUAAAAUAACAAAUUAGUUUAAAAAGGUAACUACCUGGAAUACGCAUUAGAAUGAAUCAGUAUUAGAGAGAUUAGAAACACCAGUAUUGAUUUGUGAGAAAACCAAGAUCUUUGAUCUGUAUCAUUUAAAAAGGAAAGACCAUCAACAGAACCAUUAUCAUUCUUCUUGUCUUUCUUCUUUUUUGACACAAAAUCAUGAAACUUGAGUAGCUAUACUGCAAUAGGGAGAAAAAGGAAGAAGAAAGACGAUUCAUUUAGUGAUGAAGCAGAAGAAGUUUGAAGAAAGUGGUAUUGCUAGCUUCAAUGACAUUGCUGAGGAAAAUAAAUAGAGAUCUAUACACAAAAUUAUGAAAGACAAGAAGAUUCAUACCAAUUGAACAGCAAGGAUGUUUCUGGUCAUCUUCAUUUUCAAUGUUGGAGCUUAUGACUUCACCUCCAAUUGAUGUAGGUUGUAACUCAUCAUUAUAAUUUCCCUGGCCAUCUUCACUUUCAUUGUUAGACCAAUCAGACCCCACACCAAUUUCCCAACCAUCCAGAUUCGACUUAUGUUCUAAGUUAUAUACAGGUAAGACCCCACACCCCUUUAUCCCCUCUGUUGACCACCACAAUUCUUCAUUGAAAUCUUGAUGCAUGAAUUGAAAUGAUAGGUUGCAAUCAUUACUUCCAUGUUUCCGUCUGUUGUAAGGAUGCCAACAUAUCAAUACGUGAUCUGAAAUUAAUGUCCCAUUAUAUUCGUAAACAACAAGAAUACACUUGUCGACUUCUUUGCCGUGUUCAAAGAUGACACAAUGCAGGGGGUGAUUGAGAUCAUGGAAGCCCUUAGAAAGAAUGGUGCAGAAUACGAAACCAGACAGGUUAUAUUUUGGAAUCGGAGGAAUGGUUAUUGAAGCCUUCAUUGUUUGAAAAUCAAACUUGCGAGGAACUUGUGCUCCUGGCAAGAAAUAGACAUCAUAAUAGGAACGGUUAUUGACAUCUUUAUUUGCAUGAAAAGGGUCUUUAGAGAAGAUUUGUACUAUGUUCUCAAGAAAUGACCGUUGAGUGGAGUCUGUGUCCAGAUAAGUGCAAUUAAUGGCACUCAAACAUAAUAGGGAUGGCGGAAGCUCUGUUAGAGACACAAGUUUCCUGCAAUCAUCUAAAACUAGCCAUUUUAGCAUUGAAUGGUUUCGUAUGUUCUCAGGGACACAUUCCAAGUUGCAACAAUCUUGCAAUGAGAGCCGUUUCAAAGAUUGUAUGCCAUCAAGGAUGGACCACAGACUUAAUGCAUUGAUUUCUGUGCACCGUGAAAGGUUUAGUUCUAUAACAGACCCAAGUCCAUGAUCAUCUGAUAACUUAUUCCCAACAAUGUUAAGCUUGUUACACUCGGUUAGGGAAAGAGAAGUAAGUUUUCUGUUACGCCAAAUCGAUGAAGACAAUUCACGUAUAGCAGUGCCAUCUAAGGUCAACUCUGUCAUUUCAUCCGAUGUCACUGAGAAUUCUGUGAGAGAAGAACAACCAUCGAGUAAGAGUUCACAAAGAGAUUUUGAAUGAAUGUUGGUUUUAAGGCUUUCAAUCUUUUUGCAACCUCGUAAAUCUAGAUAUCUA